RNAcentral lists this long non-coding RNA (146796 nucleotides) under Citrus maxima (pomelo). Its description in RNAcentral is "long non-coding RNA (CMAX_LNC004224)". Lineage: Eukaryota; Viridiplantae; Streptophyta; Magnoliopsida; Sapindales; Rutaceae. The record is from RNAcentral.
UGCCUCCGCAUUUUCCUAAUCAUCCCUCUUCUCUAAUCUCUAGAGUUCUCUGAAAUCUCUUCUUCAUUUUCUGUCUCCCUUUUCUGAAUCGUUCUUGUCCUCGAUCCUACACCUUCUUUGCAAAGCUUUCAUUUUCUGCCUUUACAAAGGAUCCCCUUUGUUUUAUCUCUAGAUUUUUCACUCUUUGCCUCUCCUCCUCCCUUAAAUCUAUUCAACCUCUUAUUUUAGCAAUUUAUCCAAACUUCUUAUUUCCCUCUUCCCAGCUGAUUGAUUAGUUCUGCUCAGUUUGAUUAGUUUUGCUUUCCCCUGUUUUCUGAAAGGGAAAAAUAAAAAAGAAAAGGAUAAUGGAAAUUGUUAUCUCCGUUGCUGCAAAAGUUGCCGAGUACUUCGUUGCUCCCAUAAUUCAUCCAUUUACUUACUGCUGCACUUAUAAGACCAACUUCGAAAAGCUGAAUAAUGAAGUUGAUAAGCUCAAGAAUGCUAGAGACAGUGUGCAGUAUAAGGUUGAUGAUUCCAGAAUUAAAGGGGACGGAAUCCAACUGCACGUUGAGGAGUGGCUGAUUGCUGCGAACAAGGAGAUCAAUGAAGUCGAAACACUUAUUGAAGGCAAAGAGAAUUCAAACAACCGGUGUUUGAAGGGGUUAUGUCCUAAUUUGAGGACUCGGUACCGGCUUAGCAAGAAAGCAGAAAGAGAGGCGAAUGCUAUUGUUGGACUCCAUGAAAAAGGGAGAUUCGACAGUGUUUCUUUCCGUACCAUUCCAGAGGAGACAUGGCUUAAGUCUACCCAGGAUUUCAUGCACUUUGAAUCGAGAAAGUCCACCUUGAAGGAGAUACUAGAUGCACUGAGCAACCGUAACUUCAACAUGAUUGGAGUGUACGGGAUGGGUGGGAUUGGAAAGACAACGCUGGUGAAAGAAGUUGGCAGGCAGGUCAAGGAAAAUAAUCUCUUUGAGAAGGUCAUUUCUUCACGUGUUUCACAAACACCGCAAAUAAAAAAUAUACAAGGAGAAAUCGCAGAGAAGAUAGGCUUAGAAUUGGCCGAACAGAGUCAUGAAACUGUAAGAGCAGGGAGGCUGCUUGAACGAUUGAAGAAAGAGACGAAGAUCCUUAUAAUCUUGGAUGAUAUUUGGGGGAGUAUGGAUUUGGAGGCGAUUGGAAUUCCAUUGGCAGAUGACAACGGCGGAUGUAAAGUUCUGCUGACAGCAAGAAGUCAGGAUGUGUUAUCUUGUAAGAUGGAUUGUCAACAUAAUUUUUUUGUUGAUGUUCUGAACGAAAAAGAAGCUUGGAGUCUUUUCAAAAAGAUGACAGGUGAUUGCAUAGAAAAUGGUGAACUGAAAUCUGUAGCAACAGAGAUAGUCAAGGAAUGUGCUGGUUUGCCCAUUGCCAUUGUACCCGUAGCAAGGGCAUUGAGAAAUAAGAGAUUGUCUGAAUGGAAGGAUGCUUUGCUGGAAUUUAGAAGGCCUUCCUUGAGAAACUUCACUGGAACAACGGAGGUGGCGUACAAUAGUAUAGAGCUAAGUUACAAUCAUUUAAACGGAGAGGAACUGAAGAAAACAUUUUUGCUAAUCGGGUACACGUUCUUCUCUUGUGUUGAAGACCUACUCUAUUAUGGCAUGGGUUUGGGUCUGUUUCAAAACAUCAACACGUUGGAAGAGGCACGGGAUAGAGCACAUACAUUGAUUGAUAAACUCAAGAACUCUUGUUUGUUGCUUGAUGGCGGUUCAAGUGAAUGGUUUUCAAUGCAUGAUGUUGUUCGUGAUGUAGCCAGAUCAAUUGCAUCAAGAGACCAACAUGUGUUUGUGGUGGAAAAUGAGGUUGUUCCGCUGACCAACUGGCCAGAUAAGGAUACACUGAAGGUUUGCACCGCAAUCUCCUUAAAUAAUAGUAAUAUUAGUGAGCCUCCUCAAGGGUUCGAAUGCCCGCAACUUAAAUUCCUUUGUAUUGGCCGUCAUGCUUCUUUGAGGAUCCCAGAUAAAUUUUUUACUGGGAUGACAGAGCUUAGAGUUUUAGAUUUCACUAUGAUGCAUUUAAAACCAUUGCCUUCAUCUCUUGGUCUCUUACAAAACCUUCAAACAUUGUCUCUCGAUGAUUGUGAAGUAGGAGACAUGGCCAUUAUUGGAGACCUAAAGAAAUUAGUUAUCCUUACGCUUCGAGGUUCUAAUAUGGAGGAACUGGCUGGAGAGAUAGGCCAGCUGACUCAAUUGAGGUUGUUGAAUCUGGGCAACUGUUUCAAUCUACAAGUUAUUCCACCAAAUGUCAUAUCAAGCUUAUCACGAUUAGAAGAAUUGUAUAUCGGUGAGAGUCCCAUUAUGUGGGGGAAGGUUGGAGGAGUCGACGGUGAAAGAAGAAAUGCCAGCCUUGAUGAGUUGAAUAAUUUAUCUAAAUUGACCUCUUUAGAAAUACUCAUCCAAGAUGAAAAGGCUCUACCAAGAGACUUGUCGUUCUUCAAAAUGCUGCAAAGGUACAGGAUAUUGAUAGGAAAUUGCAGGGAGUAUGGCGCAUGGGAUGGGAUUUCUAGAACGUUCAGACUGGGGCUCACAAAUGGUGACAACAUUUGCUUGAACGAGGGGCAUAUCAUGCAAUUGAAGGGUAUUGAAGGCCUAACUUUGGAUGGAUUGCCGGACAUUAAGAAUAUUCUUUGUGAACUAGGCAGAGAAGGUUUUCCACAGCUGAAUCGUCUCGAAAUCCGACGUAAUGGCAACAUUGUUCGUCUUGUUGACACAAUGGAUUGUACGCCAGCUCGGACGACUGCAUUCCCACUUUUGGAGUCAUUAUUUCUGAGAGAUUUAAGGAACCUUGAGGAAAUAUGUCGUGGUCCACUCACACCAAAGUCUUUUAGCAAAUUAAAGACCAUAAGGGUGGAAGGGUGUGAUAAAUUGAAAAAAGUAUUUCCAUUGGUCAUUGGCAGAGGCCUUCAACAACUUCAGUCCGUUAAAGUGAGUAGUUGCCAAAAUAUGGAAGUGAUUUUUGCUGCCGAGAGAGGAGAUGAAUCCAGCAAUAAUAACGGUACUGAAGUGAUUGAACUCACUCAAUUAAGGACACUUGAGCUUCGUUCUCUUCCGCAGCUUACAAGCUUCGGCACAGGAGAUCUGCAUUUUGAAAAGGUAUUUCUACUUUUGAGAGUUCAGAGUUUUAUUGUCGUCAUCGCCCUCAUCACUUCGUCUUUUAGAAACAAAAUGUUAGUUCUAUAAAUCAGUUUAUUUAAUUAUACUUUAUAAUAUCCUUAUAAACAUAAUUAUCACUCUUCAGUAAUUCUUCUCAUUAUCGAAUAUUGAAUUGGCUACAACCAUAGAUGGAUUUGGAUGUCAGUUAGACCGAAUAAAAAAAAAAAGAAAAGAUAUUUAUACAACCAUGAUAACAGAAAUAGUGGCAGAUGAGGAUGAUGAGGGAGAUAAUUAUGCAGCAAAAGAUGAAAUUGUUUUCAGCGAAUUAAAGGAAUUGUUGCUUUGGGACUUAAAAAGUCUGACUAGUUUCAGCUGCUCUGGGAAUAAUUGCGACUUCAAAUUCCCAUCUCUAGAAAGAUUAGUGGUGGAAAAUUGCCCCAAUAUGAAGAUUUUCUCAGAAGGGGAAUUAAGCACACCCAAGUUACAGAAAGUGCAGCUGAGCGUGUUUGAUAAUAAACUUUGGGCUUGGGAUCGGGACCUUAAUACAACCAUUCAAUACCUUAAUACAACCAUUAAAAGAAAAAAGGUAAGUAUUCAUUCACUAUGAGAUGUUGAUUUUUUUUUUAAAUUACUGAUUUAAUAACAGAUAUAUAUAAAAAAGUAAAAAGAAAAAAAUACAUAUUAAUUUUUUUAUAAAUUCAUUUUAAAUCUGAAUAGGAAGAGGAGGAAGAAGAGAAAGAGAAGUCUGCCAAGGCGAAUGAAAAGGAGAAAGAUGCGAAAGACAGUGGUAAGAUAAAAUCUAUACAAUUUAGGAGGUUUUGAUUUGAUUCUAUUUUGCUGACUAAAAAUGUUUUAUUUAUGUUGAAUUUUUUGUUAUACGUAUUUUACUCUUUGUCUACAGAGUCUCGAAACUUAUGAAGACGAUUCAUGCUACUUGUGCAGCAUUUUGGAUAAGGCUCGAGCUCGAGUUCUUUGUAUAUAUUGAGAGUCAGAUGGUGUUGGUGAGAGGAUUUUUUGUUUCAGUUUUCAUUCAUUUUUAUGCUUUUAGCUUUGUUUGAGUGCUCAGAAAUCCAAUUUGAAUUUAGUUUUAUUUCUUAUGGAUGGUGUCCAAGAUCUGCCAUAUUCAAUUUGUAGGCAUCUGAAAAUCUCUUUAAGCCCUAAAUUAAUUAAAGAGAUGUGUGCAUCAUAUUUGUGUUCGUACACCUAUUGGUAUUUUUUGGAGACAAUUAUGUAAGAAAUUAUGUAAUUUCAUGAAAAUAUGAAGAUUUUAUAUAGAAAAUUAUGGAAAAAUAAAAGUUUACGGGUCGAUUGCUGUUGACAAGUUCCUCCAUUUACAUUAUUAUUAAUUAUUUUUGUUGGUGAAAGCUAAGAUUAGAAGAAUGCGACAAUAAGAAGAUUAAAUACUUUGACAAGUUCCUCCAUGUUCAUUGUAGUAGAUAUUCAACAAAGAUGAUAAUACAGCAACAGAAAUUGGAGUUUUAAGCCAUCAGACACAAACAAUUGUGAAACAAGUGGGUAGAGGGAAUAAUAAAAAUCGAAAGACAUGGAUGGGAAGAAUAUGAGAUCAUUGAUAGAACCUAAAUACAAAUUCAAUCAAUUCAUUAAGCCAUCAAAAGUUAGUUACAAACCACUCUAUCUUAACAUAUGUAAUUUACCAUCAUCUAAAACCACUAUAUCCUAACAUAUGUAAUGUACCAUUAUCAAUUUUCGCUAUGUUAUGUCUGUAUAGCCUAAUAUGUUUGGCUUGGUUUUGUCUAAUAUGUUUAGCUUGGUUUUGUAUCCUUUCCAAACAUAUGAAUAUUUACUCAAGCGCAUGUUUGGGCCAUCUGAACAUUGAGUGGUUUGAUAUCUCUGCAGCGCAUGUAGGUCAGAAACUGACCAGGCAGCUCCUCCAAAAGUGCUUGUACAACAGAAAUUUGCCCACCUGUUCAGAAAACAAUGGGUUCGUUUGUUCAGGCAUGAAAAAAUUCAGAAACUUUUGUGAAUUAACUCCUAAAUUCAAUAGUUUGAACUAAUUUUGUCAAUGAAUCAUAUGCACUCACUAUGAACUUCUUGCAUUGGAACAAAUUGUACUAUAUCUCUGGUAGCUACCCGAUCGGUAGAGCUCUCUAAUCUACGGCCAUUAUCAGCAUCAAGAAUCUGCCAACAAAGUUAUCAGCGUCAAGAAUCUGCAACAAAAGUGGGAUAAUACCACACUGCAUAUAUACUCUAAAUUGAAUCUAUCAAACUAUAGAAAAAAGAAGUUCAAUGCUAGUAAGAAGAUAUUCCAGUUGGAAAACAUUGCGUACCUCCAUUUGUGUAAAAUCUGCACCUCCCACACCCACAAUUAGAAUUGACAGGGGAAGAUCAGAAGCCCUUACCAAAGCAUCUUUCGUUUCUUGGAGAUCUGUCAGAACUCCAUCCUAGAUAGACCAUGCAAAUUUACAAAUCACCCAAAAAGAAUGAUAGAAAGAGAAAACUGUGAAUAUAUAGAAUCAUUGUAAUCACCGUUAUAAUGAGUAAGACGAAAUACUUGCUUCUGUCGUAUGAGAGGGAUUGUCCAGCAAUUCGUGCAGCUGUGUUGAUCACUUGACCAAACAGAGUCGGUCCUGCCAAAGAAACAUUGUUUAGAGCGCUUGCAUAAGCAGCCAUAAUGCCUUCAACUCCAUCUACCUAUUAAAUAAAGAAACCAGCAGUUAAUAAAAAAAAUGGAAGAGGAUAAAAUAUACAUCUUUUAGGAUAAAAUUCCAAGGAAAUUUUCAGAAAAUGUAGAAACAUAUUAUAAUGUUUGUUAUUAAAAAUGAAAAGUUAUGGGAGACAAGCCAACCAAAUAAGGAUUACAGCAAAGUAGCGAACUCCAGUUACCCCUACCUCAAAGCCACCUGCUCUUCCAUUCAAGUUAAAACAAUGUGAUACAGUGCCAUCAAAUGUCUUCCCUCCAAAUCCCCAUGCAAAAGCGUCUAUCAGAAUCAUAAAAUUGUAUGACCUCCCCAAUUUCCGUUAUUGCCUGUAAAUGGUUUAAGUGGCCAAUAACUAAUCAGUGAUAUUCUCUCUCAACUUCUACGAACUAUUGAAAUAUCUAUUUCCCUAUGACGGCCAUAGAAAGACUUGAAAGUCACAUGCAUUUUCUAAGUCGAAAACACUGGACAAAAUGACCAUUUUAUGACCUUCAGAGUUCAGAGAUCACUUGUCAAAAUGUGAGUCAUAACAAAACCUUACCUGCUGGUAAGAAUUCAAUCUGCCUGAAGGAUCAAUAUAGUGCAAAGAAUUUGGAUUUCGAGGAUUUCCAUUUGAAGCUGGAUGAUUUUGCAUUUAACGAGAGGCAAGAUGAAGUUGGACCAAAUAAGAGGAAAUAAACAAAACAAACCGAUUAUAUUGCCAAUUUAUCUUCAACAAGCAAUCUCUUUCUAAUUACCUGUAAAGUCGACUGCAACCAUAAAAUUCAACUCAAAGCCACUAGAUAUGUAAUCCAGAAAACUAUAUUGCUCUUUCUCAACAAACUUUUCAACAAACAACUGACUUUUCAGAACCUAGGAAAAAGUCAGAUAAAAAAUAAAGUGAUAUUAAAUUAUCAAAAACCGUAAGCAUGAACAAACACCUUUGGUGGAGUUAAAACAAAAAAGAAUAAACACCUUGUCAUGGCCACGUUGAGUUGAUGGUAACAUAAAAGUUGCACCAGUUCUUUCUUGAUGAAGUUUCUCAAGGUCUCCAACUGAUUUCUGAAUUUUACUAAUAACAGAAAUAGAAAACCUUGACAUCAGAAAGGCAAAAGGAUAAAAGAGGGAAGCUGAUGACAUUAAGAAAUUUAACAGUUACCCCAUCAGUACGUGAUUUCCACUGGUAUUGAAAUCAAAACAUUCAAUGAUUAAUGGGUUUUCCUGUACCAAAGAGAAUCAUAAACUAAAAAACAUUUCCCCAUGACCAAACUUCACUACCUAAUAUACAUUUAAGUAACAAGCACAAGAAGAUGAUAAGGUUACCUUGCUCACAAAUUGCUGCAUGCUCAAAGUUAUUGGUCUCCAAAUGGGAUUCAAGUUAUUGUUUAUCACCUCCGUCUUGUAGAUAGGAACAGAAUUUCCACUCUCAACAAUUCUAGAUAUUCUUAAGAAUGGAUCCUAUAGAAUAUAAGAAGAAGAAGAAUGAGCAUCUAAAUUAAUAGAUUAAUUAGUGAACCUCCAAACUUAGCUACUUUGUCAGAACUUACACUUUUGGAAAACAGGUCUACAUUUUGCAAAUGUGAGCAACGGAAUGCUAUUUCAACAGCACUCUUGGAAGCAACCGUUUCCUCAGCAUGGACAGAGAGUGUCCCAAAGUUUCUUGAAACUCGAAGUCCAUAAUUGUUAUGGAGUUUUAAGGUUAAAGUUCGAUUUUGUUUGGUCACUAUCUGCCAUUUAAAAGGAAAAUAUGACACUUGUUAGUGCAAAAGAAGAAUGCUAAAGAAGAAGACGAAUGCUAGUAAAAAGCAUCUGAGAAUAUUUUGCCCUUUUUUUGAUAGGAAACAGAUUUUUACAGAAAAUUAGAUGGGCAUAUUUUGCCCAUUGAAUAAAGAGAAUACAUAAAUUCAUCAAACAAAAUAUAACCCAGAAACUUACCUCAGAGAGAACACAGCUAGCUUCUCCCAGGAAGUCUUGAUCCUCCAACUUUAGCAUCUGCAGGGCAAUGUAAAUAAGAAGUUUGAGCUUUAAACUUCACACUUCAACAAAUAUUUUGUCAUGAGAUAAUAAUGACUUGAAAGUAAUUAGGGAUCACUGCAGCAAAGAAUCAAAAGAACACUAGAUUUCCUACUUAAUGUCUUAGAAUCCAUCUGGAUUUGUUCAUUUUCUCUUUCCACUGGUAUAAAUUUACAUAUUUAUCAUUUUUCCCAGUAAUGUUAAUACCAUUUACAAUUGACAUAAAUAAUCAUCACAUUUUUAGAUUAUCUAACUGUUUUCAGCAAAUGCUUCCAAAUGAUUACAGUUUCUAGGAUUAUAACCAUCAAAAAAUUUUCAUUUUGACUCAAAUUCCACAGACGAAUACAUCAUAGGCUCUAAAGAUUUACUUAUCCAUUUCAAUACUGACAAUAUGGUCAUUUUUUACAGAAACUUCUUUAGGUCAUGGCAGCAACUAUUUAACUGUAUUGUUUUUAACAACAUAGAUCAAAAUUCCAUUUUGGAAAAAAGAAAAUUUAUCCGUAAGGACCAUCAGAAAAAUUGUUCUUUCCCAGUUAUGGUAGCAGGACAAAUAUGUCAAACCUUGCAAGAUGCAAUAGCAGAAAGUUCCAUAAUAACUACCCUGGCCUUAAGAUUUGUUUAUGGUAUAUGACAGCCAACUUUUUAAGUUUCUUUCCAUGCUAAAUGUUAGUUUAUAAUCAAUCAAGUAUUCCCAAAUUUCCCGAAAUUGAUAGAAACUAUUGCUGAUGCAAUUUAGUUUAGACGUAUGCUUAGACAACAAAUGGAUCAGUCAAAUGCCUUGGCUAACUCUAAACUUUGGAACUGAAGUAUGUGCGUAUCAUUUACAUCUGAAUUGAGAGAAAAAAAAAUAAUUAAGAAAUUUUAUACCUUCACUGGAAUAUUGUGGUACUUGGUAUCCACAUCAUACACACGAAAGCUGGAAAAAGAAGAAAAGCAUUAAGAAAUUCGAAAACAUUAAAUAUUAUCAAAUCAAGCAAGGCUUAAGCGCAUGACCUAUCAAGAAAAAAAAAACUUUAAAAAGAACACACUAAAAACUUACACCAAGGGCUGGACGAUCUCAAACUGAAAAGCAAUUGAAAUCUUUCCAAUCCAAGCAGGAUUCAAAUUGUUCAUAAUCACCUCUGUACGUCCAAUCUCGUCCAGCCUCCCAUCUCUUUUCUUUGCAUACACAACUGCCGUGGGAUCACUCUAUGACACAAAAAGACAUGUAAAUACAUUUGCUUGUGAAUAUAAAAAUAAUAAAAAAAAAAACAGAAGGCAUAUGGGUAUGUAUCCACUUAUGUCAUAUAAAUAUAGACAUAUAUUAGUUAAAUAACUUUAGUUGUCAUAUAAAUAUAGACAUUUAUUAGUUAAAUAACUUUAGUUAGUAAUCCAUCGUUAAAAUACAGCAGCAUUUUAUGUAUGCUAGUAUCAGCCAGUAAAAAGAUAUACGGCUGAUAAAUGUUCAUUAUCAAAGAAUUUUAUCUUGCACAUAUAACAUAUUUGACUAGUGCUCAAAAUUGCAAAAACAAUAAAACCACCAACCAUGACUUGUUAUACAUUAUCUGGAACUCUCAAGUUACUGCUCCUUACUGGAUUACAUUGGAGAUAGACAGUGUAUAUAACAAACUAUUCUUCUUUGUCUAAGUUUAGAAUUUUGGUGCCAGCACUAAGCGUUAUUAAGAUCAUAUAUCCCUAGACCCUUUAUGAACAGAGAAAGGAAAUUGACAGGGCCAUUAUGAACAAAUAAGCAGAUCAUAUAAGGAGGAUACAAGAUAACAUGAGAAUCAAUCACCAAGACUAUCAACAGCAUGAACAUGGCAUUAUCAGACAUAAGACAACAAUAAUAUGAAGGCGUACCUUUGAUGCGAUGUCAAGAUCACGUAACUUUGAAGCAGAUAAAGAUAACUGCAAUAUAUAUUCAAAAACAUAAGAACGAAUACAGAUACAUGAAAAAGCAGAAAAGGAGUAAUCCAUGCAUAUGCUGCACGAAAUGAAAAUUGUCAGUACGAUGUGGGUCAACUGACAGGCAAUAUAUAUCUGUCAUAAACAGAACAUGCAGAAAACCAUCAUUUCGGAUUCUGACAAUCACUUCUAAUAUUAAAUCUUAUAAGCAGGCAAUAAUAUAUGUAAUUAAGUUUUAUAUAACAACAGGAUGUGACACGUCAAUUACAAGCAUUGAACCACAUUUAAUUUGUUAUCAUAUGACUUGUUUCCUUUUCUCCAGGAAAGUUUCCAAGGAGAUCCUCAGGUAAGGUCCACAUCAAUACAGGAAUAUUACAAUUACUUGGUGGUCCAUGUUAUGGAAAGACAUUCUUAUCCUCGUAACAACAUAAUCCUUAAUCCACAAUUUUUUAUAAAGUUAAUGGUUUGUCUUAUGCAAACCAGCAUUCACAAAAUCAUGUUCCAUUCAGGAGAGCAUUAUCAUGGGGAAUCUUCACAGUGGUACAAGUCAAAUUUGAUCACGAGGGGUAUGAGUCAAAUUUGAUAAAUGAGGCAUAACAGAAUAGUCAACUUUGAGGAUACACAGGAAAACCACUGUGCAUUCAACAGGAUCAAACAUCAACUUUCUCAACGUUCACAAGGCCUUUGUGCAUUCAACACCAUUCUUUUUUUAUUUACGUUAUCCAAUCUUAAUCUAAAAUUCACUUCACAGAAUGUUGUCAUUGGGUAUAAGCAGUUAAACUUACUGUUCUCCCUAUGCAAAACAAAAGCAGUUGCUUGGUGUGAAACCGUCAAACCAACACCAGCAAAAGAUCAGCCACAAGAAAAAAAAAAAUGCUUCUCAAAGAAGCACUUGACAGGCGAAUAUUCUUUUGAGAAGGUGCUUAACUCCUUUGUCCUUUGAAGAAGCACCAAGUAAAAUAUUCGCCCUCCAAAAUUCCGAAUACUUCUCUUACAUUAUUAAAAAAAGGCAUGUUUGGAAUUGCAGUUGAUUCUUGAAUAAGAAUUUACUCCCGAUUAUGUUCGAAUUAUCAAAUAAUUUUUAUCAAAUAUAAACAAUUUAAGUUGUUCUUUUAGGGAUGUUACACUGACAAGUCAUCAAAGAAGUAAUAAUAACAAACAUAAUUUGGGUAUAGAUUUUCAAACGAGUGACCAUUUGAGAAUCCAUCACAAUUACAGAAACCAACGAAGUCAGAUUUAAAAAAGUAAAAUAAAAAAUUAUAAAUAAAUUAAAAAACAUAAACUAAUCAUAAAUUUACAAAUUUUUAAUUAAUUAAUUAAUUAAUUAACUGAAAAUAGUUUAUUAAUAGUGGCAGCGAAAGACUCAUAUAAAUUCAGGUAUACAGAUAUACCUCGAUUUGGGUGAAAAGGGCUUGAAGACCGCGAGAUUUGAAGAAGAAAUCAACGGCGUCGUUUUGUCCAGAAACAUUGUUCUGAUCAGCCGCGGUGGUGGGCCGAAGCUGGGCCCCACCUACGGCUUGUUUCCCUCCCCUCACAUCACUCCCAGACAAACAUAAUCCCAUCUGUUUUUUUUUUUCUCUCUCUCUGUCUUUAUUCUCAAGAGUACGGAGUCUCACUGUUCGGUCGAUGUUCUUUAAUCGCUCAAAUCCGUAGCCUCUGACAGAGAACUGGGGCGGGGCUUUACUUUUGCCCUCUAUUUAUAGGCUUCUGCGCUUGAGUCGUAUUUGAAUUUGACUCUGUUUCUGCUGCGAAAAUGUCAAGAAAAAAAAAAAAGUUUUUUUUUUUUUGUAUUUGAAUUUGAAUACUUCUAGGGGGAUUGAUGAUGGAUUGUUUUACUGUAUUUGGAAGUUGGAACGUUUAGGCCCACCUAAUUAUCAUUAAUAAUAGAUAGUUAUAUCAAAAUUUACCAACUUCAUUUUAGCUAUGAUAUUAGCUUGCGCACUAUGAAAUGAUUAGGUUUUGUAAAUUUUUUUUUUUUUUUUUACAGUAUCUUAGAGAAUAAGUUUCCAUUGUAUGUAACCGGCUAGAGCCCCUCCCUCACAAAUGUGAGGGAAGGGGUUCGAGCCUCCGCAGUCGCAUUGUAGGGGUUUAAUUUAAAUAUCCUUCCUUGUAGCCCUUGAGCUCGAGUGAAGGCAGUCUUUCUCCCAGGAUGGGAGUUUGACAUCCCUCGAAUAUUUGAGAGGGUUAAAAAAUCUUAGCGGUGCCAUAUCAGCAUUAAUGUCAACAGAGCUCAGUAUAAAUAUAUGAUUGUACAUAUCAAUUAUACUCUCAUGUAAUAUGAGUUAAGCCCUUGAGCUCGAGUGAAGGCAGUCUUUCUCCCAGGAUGGGAGUUUGACAUCCCUCGAAUAUUUGAGAGGGUUAAAAAAUCUGAGCGGUGCCAUAUCAGCAUUAAUGUUUAAGACAAAUUCUAGAAUCUAAAGUAAAGAAUCGGUAAAUUUAUAAAGAAAUAUGAAGAAACAGCAAGGUAUUGAAGAAUUCAAUUUCUCAUUAUAUUUGGACAUUUGGACGUCAUUAAUGUUAAUUGAUUUUUUUCCGCGUAAAAAAGUUUCGGAUUUAUUUUGUUCCUCCAAACGCCAUUCAUUGGAAAUAAGUUUAUUUUUCUGACAACUUCAACUCAUAAAUUUUAAUUAUUUUGUUAUAAUAAUAGUACGAACAAUUCUAUGUAUUACGAACAAAAAAAAAAAAGAAUCUUAAUUUUAUAUCAUAUAUAAUUAUAUAUAUAUAGACUCAAUAAGAGUAUUAUUUAUCAUGUAAUUUAUUAAACUAAUCUCACCUAAAAAGUUGUUGAGAAAAGACAGUAAGUUAAUAAAUAUUUCGUCUUCCCCAAGGUUUUUGAUUAGAAGAAUGACUUGAUAUGGCUGAUAUUGAUAAAUUAAAAAGGGAAAAAUAAUAAACAAUGGAGGAAUUUUCAAAUUAGGUCAACAAUCGUAGUCUAUUUUAUUUCGUAAUAAUGGCAAUGACGAAGCCCUUAUAACAUAAGCUUGCAAACGUAAUCAAGAUAUCCGUGGAAAACAAGCAACAAUUCCAAUGGGGUGGAAUAAAAUGUCUAAUAUUUAAAUUUUUUAUUUCAAUUUCUGUUUAUAUAAUUUAUUUAAUUUAUAAUAAAGAUGAAUAAUUAAAUAAAUUUUAAAAUAUCUUAAAAUAAGAAUAAUACUAUAAAAUUAUGAUAAAUGAAAGUUAUUGAUUAUUAUGAAAACAAUAAGAAGAGAAAUGGUAUGUAUUAAUUUCUACAUGAAGGAAACUGCCAACCUCCCUUUAAUAUGUUGUGACAAUCAUUAGAAUUUCAAUAAAAUGAUAAACUCCUCUACAUAAUCGAUAGUCAUUGAUCACGUACGUGUACAUUUAAGUUGGAAAAAAGAAGAAGAAGAUAAUUCAAGUAUAAUAAAAUCAGAAUGCGUAUGUCAUAACUAAUUUCACUAAAUGGUUAUAAUACGUUUUAUGCACUUGAGAUUUUCUCAAAAUGAGAAAAGAAAAAGGCUCAUUAGUCACUCCUAUAUAUAUGUGUGUGUGUGCGCGCGCGCUUAAACUUAACUCAGGAUAAUCUAUAUUAUAUAGAACGUAAAAUUGAGUUACGUAUAAAAACGUAACUCAAGUGUCACAUUAUACGGCGCGCUUAAACUUUGAUAAUCUAUAUUAUAUGCCCAUAAAAUCAAGAAUUUUACAAUACAUUAAAACCAAUACAAUCAUCUAAUGUAUAUAUAAUAUAUAUAGUUAAAUUUGAUAUAAUCAUCAAUUGCAUGAUAAUUUUACAAAAUAUAAAUAUUAUCUAUUUGUUGAAUGACUAACUUUGUAGUAUGAUGUUUAUAGAAUUUUUCCGUAAAAUCAUUAUUGUAAUGAGGAUUGUUGAGGGACGUGUUAUUAAUGAAAAGGACUGCACAUGUUAUCCAAUAAUUGAGACACUUGUCUUGUUAGAGGACAUUUUCAAAGAUUAAAGGUAUAGAAGCCAUUUGCAAAAUUUCCAAGCGUGGAGAACAUGCAUGCAUGCACGUGGAAUUCCAUGCAUAAAAUGAUAAAAUACUCGUCAAGUCUCACCUUAAAUUGUAGUUUCUAUCGUUUGCAAAGAAGUUUCAUUAUUUAGGUUGUGUUUGGGAUUGAAGUUGGGCAGCUGUAGCUUAAAAACUACAGUACUAAAGUGUUUGGUAAACACUAGCUGCUGUAACUUUUAAGCUAUAUUGAUAUGAUUUUUCACUUGUAUAAUACAAAAUCUAUUAUAUCUUUAAUAAUUUUAUCAAAAUUAUUAUUUAAAAUUUAUAUUUACUAUAUAUUAUUAACUUUUAUUUCAUAAUUACAGCUUGUUUUUCACAACAGCUGUAGCUUAAAAGCUACAGCACCUCAAUCCCAAACGCACCCUUAAUUUCCAAAUCUUGGGUCGUGCCGCCUCGUACAUGAAUAAGAUUACUUGCCACGAUUACCAAUUUUUUAUCACUUUAUUAAUUCCUUUUCUUCCUAUACAUGAAUCUUGUUAAAUUUUACUUGCUAUUUUACUUUUUUUUUUUAAUUUUAAAUUCUUUUCUAUAUCAUACUUUGAAUCUUGUUUAAGGAAUCUUUGUAUUCUUUUGUCCGCAUGUCAUGUGCAACACAAAUAAUAUUUUACGUUACACUUGAUAUUCAUUCAUAUAAAUUAAUCAAGGAUAAGAUAUAUAUUGCCAAAUUGAUUAAAAUAAUUAUUAAUUUAAAAUUAAUAAUUUUUUUAUCCAUAACACUGAUAAUAAAGUCCGAUUAUAUAUAGGCAUGCACACUUUUUCCAUGGGGGAUUGAUAAUAAAAUUUUAUAGUGGGUAAUUAGGUGCAACCGUGUUGGUAGAUCUACCUACCUAAUAUUAAUUAAUGAUUGAAAAGAAGAACAUUUAGUUCAUAAUUAAACCAAGAUUGAAUCUUUUUUUUUCUGUUUUUCUUUUUUAAAUGACAAAUGAGAGAUGAAUUCAAAUUAAUCAGGAAUUUUUAUCCGUUAUUUAUUAGAGUUGUGCUAGUAUUUUUUUUUUUUUAAAAAACUACUAAUUACAACAACCUUAAGUAAAACCAACAUAUAUUAUAUAGGUCAUCAUGUGAGCACAGAAUCCGACAUUCCUUUGAGACUUAUAUCUCUCUCAAAUUAAAAUACCGCAAACAAGAAUAUUAAACAAAGUAAUAAUCAAAAGGGAUAUUAUCAUUUUACUACUAAAGUUUUUCUGACAUAUCAAGUCAGUAUUAUGCUUUGGUAAAAACUACAUUUUACUACCAAACAUUUAAUUUAUUAUCACUUUACUACUUUUCCGUUAAAAAUAAGUUAAUAUUUAACGGAAUAUGAGUUAAAAGACUAUUUUAGCCAUGAAAAGAAAAGAAAUAACAAAAAAGAAAACUACAAAUUACUGUAGCACGCAUCCAUUGUAAUGUGUAACACCGUAUCACGUUUUUUGUCCUUAUUGUAAAGUGUCGUUAGAUGUAAAACGAUUGAAUCCAACGAUCAAAAUCGCUUAAUAGAUUAUUGAGGCAUGAACUGUCAACCGUUGAAGCCAGUUAUCAUCAGAACCUUUCUCCAACUCUUGAUCCUCAUUCUCCUCUCCCUGACCAUUAACUUUUUCUCCAGACCUCUCCUCUGACCUGGUCUCACCCUCAUUGCUAUCAGAUUUCUUCUUACCAUCAUCCGAAUCAGAUUUGUUGCAAGCAAUUAAUUUAUUCCCACAACUGGCUUUUGAGUGCGAAGUAGAAGAAAGCUAAGUACAAUCACACUCACAAGGCAAGCAUUUCUUCAAACCGAAUUAUUUCCCACAUCACACAUCCAAUGACAGAGUCCCCUGGUUUCUCUAUACGGCUUUCCCCUUAAUCAUUUUAACAAACAGCUUCAAUACACAAAGAUUAGAGCAAAAAAAGGAAAAAUAAUGGCUAUGUCAACGCUAGGUGAUGACGAAUUAAUGAAAACUAGUUGCCGAGGCAACUCUUGAGAGUCAAGAGUCGCCACGCAAACACAAUCGUGGUCCCUUUUUGCUGUAUAUGUAGAAAAAAAAAAAGAAGAAGCAAGCAGCACGUGGUGGGAGAAAAGAAAAGGUGGGAGAAAUCUUUUAUAAAAAAAAAAGAGAGAAAAGAAAAGUUAGAGAUUUGGCUUUGCAAAGAUGUAGGGUCCUGUGUGUGUUUGUGUUUUGUUUGUUGCUUCUUGUGCUUGGUUGACCGUGAGAGAGAGAGGGGCCGUGAGAGAGAGAGAGCGAUCGGAGAUGGAGGGUUACAAUUUGGGAAUAAAUUUUCAAACGAGCGACUAUUUAAGAAUACAUCACAAUUACAAACAUGAACGAAGUCACAUUUAAAAAAGUAAAAUAAAAAAUUAUAAAUAAAUUAAAAAACAUAAACUAAUCAUAAAUUUUUAAUUAAUUAAUUAACUGAAAAUAGUUUAUUAAUAGUGGCAGUGAAAGACUCAUAUAAUUCAGGUACACACAUAUACCUCGAUUUGGGUGAAAAGGGCAUGAAGGCCGCGAGAUUUGAAGAAGAAAUCAACGGCGUCAUUUUGACCAGAGACAUUGUGGUGAUAAGCCGCGCUGGUGGGCCGGAGGUGGGCCCCACCUACGGCUUGUUUCCCUCCCCUCACAUCACUCCCAGACAAACAUAAUCCCAUCUGUUUUUCUUUUUCUCUCUCUCUCUCUUUAUUCUCGAAAAUUAAAAAAUUAAUCGAAAAAAUUUACCUAAAAGUUUUUGCAAGUUUGUGUCAAGAGUACGGAGUCUCACUGUUCGGUUGAUGUUCUUUAAUCUCUCAAAUCCGUAGCCUCUGACAGGGAACUGGAGCGGGGCUUUAUUUAUAGGCUUUUUGCGCUUGAGUCGUCGUAUUUGAAUUUGACUCUGUUUCUCCGGCGAAAAUGUAAAGAAAUUUCUACUUUUUAAUUCAAUUGUUUUUUCAUGAGGAAAAAAAAAAGUUUUUUUUCUUAUCUAAAAGAUUUUGUCUUUUCCUUUUCCUCUCCAAAAUAUAGAAUAAUGUAGAUGAUGGAUUUUUUUACUGUAUUUGGAACGUUUAGGUCCACCUAAUUAUCAUUAAUAAUAGAUAAUUAUAUCAAAAUUUACCAACUGAUUAGGUUUUGUUAAUUUUUUUUUUACAGUAUCUUAGAGAAUAAGUUUCCAUUGUAUGAAGACAAAUUCUAGAAUUUAAAGUAAAGAAUUGGUAGAUUUGUAAAGAGAUAAAACAAAUUCUCCGGCGAAAAUGUAAAGAAAUUUCUACUUUUUAAUUCAAUUCCUUUUUAAUGAGGAAAAGAUUUUGUCUUUUCCUUUUUCUCUCCAAAAUAUAGAAUAAUGUAGAUGAUGGAUUGUUUUACUGUAUUUGGAACGUUUAGGCCCACCUAAUCAUUAAUAAUAGAUAAUAAUUAUAUCAGAAUUUACCAACUUCAUUUUAGCUAUGAUAUUAGUUUGCGCACUACCAAAUGAUUAGAUUUUAUUAAUUUUUUUUAACCAUAUCUUAGGGAAUAAGUUUAUAAAGAAAUAUGAAGAAACAGCAAGGUAUUGAAGAAUUCAAUUUCUCAUUAUAUUUGGACAUUUGGACGUCAUUAAUGUUAAUUGAUUUUUUUCCGCGUAAAAAAGUUUCGGAUUUAUUUUGUUCCUCCAAAUGCCAUUCAUUGGAUAUAAGUUUAUUUUUCUGACAACUUCAACUCAUAAAUUUUAAUUAUUUUGUUAUAAUAAUAGUACGAACAAUUCUAUGUAUUAUGACAAAAAAAAAUAAUUUAAAUUUAUAUCAUAUAUAAUUAUAUAUAGAGCUAAUGCUAAGUUACAUGCAUGUAACUUACAACCUUUUCACAUAAAUAGUGAGUGAGCUCACAUCACUCACUAUUAAUGUGAGAGGGUUAUAAGUUACAUGCAUGUAACAUAGGGGAUCCUUAUAUAUCGGCUCAAGAGUAUUAUUUAUCAUGUAAUUUAUUAAACUAAUCUCACCUAAAAAGUUGUUGAGAAAAGACAGUAAGUUAAUAUUUCUUCUUCCCCAAGGUUUUUGAUUAAAAGAAUGACUUGAUAUGGCUGAUAUUGAUAAAUUAAAAAGGGAAAAAUAAUAAACAAUGGAGGAAUUUUCAAAUUAGGUCAACAAGUAAUCUUAGUCUAUUUAAUUUCGUAAUAAUGGCAAUGACGAAGCCCUUAUAACAUAAGCUUGCAAACGUAAUCAAGAUAUCCGUGGAAAACAAGCAACAAUUGCAAUGGGGUGGAAUAAAAUGGCAUUCACAGUCAACUACUAAGAUACUGAAGGUUCAAUCGUUUAAGGGUAUUGAUAGUUUCUCCCCCGUCGAAAUUUUAUGUAAAAUAUGUACACCUCUAUUGUUUUCAUAAUAGCUAAUAAUCUUUUGGUAUGAAAAGUUUAAAGGAGAGUAAAGGUAAAUGGGUCAUUUGCUUAAUAUUUUAUUUUGAAAAUAUAAAAUAUAUAUUUACCAUAAAAAAAUAUGUUUAAAGAUAAAAAAAAAUAAGAAAACUAUAUUCAUACUAAUUUUUUAUCAACACUGAAAAUUAUAUUUCUUAUUUCUAAUCUUUAAAUUUUUUUAUUUCAAUUUCUGUUUAUAUAAUUUAUUUAAUUUAUAAUAAAGAUGAAUAAUUAAAUAAAUUUUAAAUAUCUUAAAAUAAGAAUAAUACUAUAAAAUUAUGAUGAAUGAAAGUUAUUGAUUAUUAAUUUCUACAUGAAGGAAACUGCCAACCUCCCUUUAAUAUGUUGUGACAAUCAUUAGAAUUUCAAUAAAAUGAUAAACUCCUCUACAUAAUCCAUAGUCAUUGAUCACGUACGUGUACAUUUAAGUUGGAAUAAAAAGAAGAAGAUAAUUAUAGUAUAAUAAAAUCAAAAUGCGUAAGUCAUAACUAAUUUCACUAAAUGGUUAUAAUACGUUUUAUGUACUCAAAAUGAGAAAAGAAAAAGGUUCAUUAGUCACUCCUAUAUUUAUGUGUGCGCGCGUGCGCUUAAACUUUGAUAAUUUAUAUUAUAUGCCCAUAAAAUCAAGAAUUUUAUAAUAUAUCAGAGACAAUACAAUCAUCUAAUGUAUAUAUAAUAUAUAUAGUUAAAUUUGAUAUAAUCAUCAAUUGCAUAAUAAUUUUACAAAAUAUAAAUAUUAUCUAUUUGUUGAAUGACUAUCUUUGUAGUUUGAUGUUUAUAGAAUUUUUCCGUAAAAUCUUUAUUGUAAUGAGGAUUGUUGGGGGACGUGUUAUUAAUGAAAAGGACUGCACAUGUUAUCCAAUAAUUGAGACACUUGUUAGAGGGAGAAGCCAUUUGCAAAAUUUCCAAGCGUGGGGAACAUGCAUGCAUGCACGUGGAAUUCCAUGCAUAAAAUGAUAAAAUACUCGUCAAGACUCUCCAUAAAUUGUAGUUUCUAUAGUUUGCAAAGAAGUUUCACUAUUUAAUUUCCAAGUCUUGGGUCGUGCCGCCGCGUACAUGAAUAAGAUUACUUGCCACGAUUACCAAUUUUUUAUCACUUUAUUAAUUCCUUUUCUUCCUGUACAUGAAUCUUGUUAAAUUCAACUUGCUAUUUUACUUUUUUUUUUUUUUAAAUUUUAAAUUCUUUUCUAUAUCAUACUUUGAAUCUUGUUUAAGGAAUCUUUGCAAGGAUAAGAUAUAUAUUGCCAAAUUGAUUAAAAUAAUUAUUAAUUUAAAAUUAAUAAUUCCUUUAUCCAUAACAGUACUGAUAAUAAAAUCCGAUUAUAUAUAGGCAUGCACACUUUUCCAUGGAGGAUUGAGAGUAAAAUUUUAUAGUGGGUAAUUAGGUGCAACCGUGUUGGUAGAUCUACCUACCUAAUAUUAAUUAAUGAUUGAAAAGAAGAACAUUUAGUUCAUAGUUAAACCAAGAUUGUUACAGAAAAGGGAAAAGACUAAGACAGUGCUCAUGAAGUGGAUAGAAAUAACAGAGAAAGAAAUAGCUAUAUACAAUAAAAUAUUUCUCCUAUAUAGCCAUAUAUACUUUAUAUACAAAUAAAAUAUUUCUCCUAUGUAGUCAUACUUUAUAUAGAAAUAAUUUUUAUUUAAUUAUAAAAAAGAUUUAAUCUCAAUUUAAGUUAGUUAUUAAUUUCAUACUCAAUUAAUGACACAUCAUUUGGAAUAACUUUUUGGGAUAAAAAAUUUGGGAUGUGUAGCACUACUGUCUAUGCUCUAUAUUAUAAUAAGUUAUAAUUUUUUAAGUCUUGUCUAAAAAGAAUUUGUCCCCGCAUAGUAAUUGUAUUUGUAUAUUGCAAAAAAGUAUAGACUCUUUUUUUUUAAUUAAGCCUACCUUUGCUAUCAAUUUCUGACAUAAUCCAGUAAUUAAUUAUUAAUAUAGUAAAUAUUUUACCUCUAAUUUAAUUACACGAAGGAUAACUAAGUGAAAACGAUAAUUUCUGUAACUAUAUCUUUACUAAGUUAAUUAUAAUAUUCUCGUAUUAAUAAAAUUAACUUACCCCAAUAUUAUGAUUAUAGAGAAAUUGGACUAUAUUUGCGAAUUUUGAAAAUGAUGGUCAUGACUUAUGUGCUCAAUCUGUGAUUUUACGUUGAGGUUGAUAGAGCUGAACCAUCAAAAACGUUUAAAGCAUAUUGUCGUUAGUCUUUGUUUCCGAAUAGACAAAAGUGUCAAAUACUAUGUUUAUCAAUAAGAACAUUAUUGAAUCUUUUUUUUUUUCUUUUUUAAAUGACAAAUGAGAGAUGAAUUCAAAUUAAUUAGGAAUUUUUAUCCGUUAUUUAUUAGAGUUGUGCUAGUUAUUUUUUUAAAAAAACUACUAAUUACAACAACCUUAAGUAAAACCAACAUAUAUUAUAUAGCUCAUCAUGUGAGCACAGAAUCCGACAUUCCUUUGAGACUUAUAUCUCUCUCAAAUUAAAAUGCCGCAAUCAAGAAUAUUAAACAAAGUAAUAAUCAAAAUAACAUUUUCCUUGCAACGACUCAUUAUGAUUCCUAGUGAAAUGGUUCGUUCGACCAAAAAAUGCUGGAAAAAAUGUAAUUCAAGUUGGCUUCCUCUUUCAUUCAGUUCAGAACUUUAGAUUAUUUGGUGUAAAUGAAGGGAAAAUGCCUACGAAUAUGUUUUCAGCUUGCCCGUCGUCUUUGGCCAGCUUCGAGUUGUUUUCGUAAUUACGUCGUCACAAAGACUGAUGCGGAGUAUGUAGAAAAUAGAAAAAGUCAUUCAAAGCCGUACAAAAGUGGAUAACCAAUCCAAUCCACUUUUGGCUCGUCAUUGAGUUCGAGGAUUUGACAAAUCACUUUUUGGUCUCCGGCGUGUGGUAUACACACUCCCUUUUAAUUACUAUUAACACCAUGUAUACAUAAAAGAUUUCAACCCUCCACAUGUAAGACCAUCGCUAAACCAAUAAGUUGUUCUCAGCACAAAAUGAAUAUUACUUAGUUAUGUCAUAAUUUUAUUAAUAAAGAAAGAAAUUAAUCUACAUCUUUUUUAAAAAUAAUUUUAAAAUUUGUUAAAUAGGCAAAUAUGGUUUUAAUCCCCAUAGUUUGAGUCAAUUAUUCAGUUUGGUCAAAUAUUAUAUUUUAAAAGAUUAUCUAAAUUAAGCAUCUCUUUACUUACUUUCUUAAUUAGUUGUUGGACAUAAAUUUUCAAAGCUAAAUUCUAUAUGAUAAAUUUUAAAACUCAAACUAAUUUAAUAUAUAGCAGAUAAAAGAUAAAAAAAUAAUUAAGUAAAUUUUAACCAAAAAAUAUAUAUAUCACGUAGAUUUUUUUGAGUAAAUUUCUAAAAAUAUAUUGACUCCUCCAUGGGUACGUAAACUACAGGGACAUUAUUGACUAUUCGUUGUGCGUGCACGUACAAUGACAUGUCAUGAGUUAUCCAUGGAGACUUUUCCAAGACAACAUUUUGUGAUGUACUAUAUGCAUACUUAAUUACAAGUGCAUUUGUUGGGUACAUGCAUGCAUGGACGUGGAAUUCCAUGCAUAAAAUGAUAAAAAUACUUUUUCAAUUUUUCUCAGUUUAAUUUGCAAAGAUGUUUCACCAUUAAUUUGAAGUCUUUAGGUCCGGAAAUCUCUAUUGAUCGUAUAUUUGUUCGUCUCUUGGCACACGCGCACACGCACACGCACAUCAAUAGAGUAAAACUAGUGCAAGAUAAAUCCACAUUAAUUUUAUUUUAUUUCUAAACAUUCUAUUAAAUUUCUCUAUUUUAGAGUCAAGUCAAAGUUGUACAAAAUGAAAAAGAGGGGGUUAAAAUGGAUGGAAAUGAGAAUAAAGAAAAUAGCUAGCUUUUUGAAGGAUCUUUUGAAGACGAUAGGCUUGUGCUCUUAUCACGAAGCUUUUACGUCUAAAACUGGUAGAAUUGACCCAGCAAAAAGGUUUAAUGAAUCCCCGUGAGAGUCUUUAAUGUGUUUCUGAGAAGAUAAUCAAUUAAUUAACAGCACCAAUUAAGUAGUUGAAUGAUCUACUAAGCAAGUUCAUAAAAUCUUAAUGUAUUCUAAUUGUUCGGAGAAAGUAUUUAAGAUCGAAUGAAAGAUGAAUUUCAAGAACUCUUCCAAUUGCAACCAGUCAUCAUGGAUAUUCCAAUCAGUGAAGGAUUCUUUCGACACAAGGAAAAAUAAAAGAUAAAAAAGGGUCAAUAAAGACGAUGGAGAAUAUUCGUAUAAAGUCUUUAACGUAUGUAAAUGUAAUGUAACUUUAAUUUGACAGCUGCCGCUGUGACGAAUCCCUUGCAACGUAAGCACAAUGACACAAAAGAGAGAGUGGAACACAAGCUAUCCAAAUUAAGUCAGUCAAGGUAGGUCAAACUAUCUUGCCAUUGUCGUUUUCGGGGAAAAAAUGUUAGAAUAAAAUGUUAAAAGAAAAUUUAGAAUGUCUGCUAACUACUAAUAUGAGAAGAGUAAUAAAGACUUUAGAAAAAAAAAAAAAACAGUUAGUGGCAGACAAUUAAUAGUUGUAAAAGGCUUAAAGUUGUUUCAUAUAACAUUUUAGAAUAAACUUCAAUUUGCACCUCACUUAAAAUGAUAGUCUUCGAUUUACUUCCAGGAGGAUAAGGCUCAAACUCACGUCUUUGGCCCUAAGAAGGCAAUGCUCGAGAUAAGUCUUUGGCUCUAUUAUCGACCAUACAAAGAACAUGCAUCUCUUUUUUAUUUUUCCCCCCCAAAAAAAAAGAAAUCCAUCACCGCAUCCUCAAUUUACUCUCACCUUAUUGAAUGAAAAUGAAGGCUAAAUUGAUAUUUUCACUCUUUUAGGUGAUAAAAUCAAGAUUGUUGUUCUAUCGGGAGAAUGAAUUAAAAUUUACCAACUUUUAAAAUUAGAUUUCUCCGGUAUGUCUCGAAAUGAUUGAGGCUAUAAUAAGUAUAGGUUUUAAUAAAAAGAAAUAUCGGUGGAUUGGUUGUCAAAUAUUCCCUUCACAAAGACAAAAUAUAGAUUUUAUUCUAAUUCUUCAUAGGCUUUAUUUGAUUAUUUCCAAUAACAAUCCAUUAUAACAGUGAAUAGCUUUCUGUCAAGAUUAAAAAAAAAAAUGGCAGCCGAAGUUAGUUAAGAUAUUGGAUUAGAAACACAGUUUGAGAAGCCAAACAAAAACGAUUCCUUGCAAGAAAUGUAUUAAAAACCUUGAAUCACUCAAUAUGUGUAACAAAUUUUCAAGUUACCUUCAAAAUUCCCAAAGCAAACUUGGCCAAAAUUUAAUUUUCCUCCCACAGAAACAAUUUUUUUUGCUUUGAGCAGGUAACUUUCACAGUAGGCUUUUCAACUCAAAAAAAGUCAUAUGCUAGUUAAAGACAAAUCCAGGUCUUCUAAAAGUAGCUUAGGAACCCUCGCUGCGAUAGGAAAUUCUUGUGCAUGAACAUGCAACUCAAGCAAGCACACAUUAUGACAUAAUGGAACCAAAUUAAGUGUCGAACAAAAUACAGAAUGAAAAGAGUUAUAUCAUUGGUAGAAAGUUGUAUUGCUAACUGCUUGACACCAUCAUUCAACUAAUUUUAUGGCCUGACCAUCAGUGACAAAAUGCAACAAAUAUUUUCUAUGAAGUCAUAAAGUUUCCCAAGAGAGCUAAUUGGUUUGACAGGUUUAAAAUAUACUUUCAACGCAAAAAAGCUGUCUACAAUUAAACUUUUAUUAAGACUCAUAUACAGAAAGAAAUUUGCUAACGAAGAAACAAACAGUACAAAGGAUGAAUAGUAAAAAUGUCAUCGGUAACACAUAGAUGGACCGGAAAAGGAGUACCUUGAUGAUACUGGUGCAGCUACCAAAUCUGGCUUGCGCCCUUCGUAUGGGUGUUGCCUGUUGUAGUUUGAUAAAGCACUUGUGGCAUACAAUGAGUAUAGCCUAUCAGCUUGAUCAGUUUCUCCCCUUCUUAAGGGAUCAGUUCCGACCAAAUAAUGUUCUCUCUGUCUAGCAGCGGAGUAGGAACCUGAGGUGAUGUCUUCUCUCCUCAAGAAGGGGAUCUGGCUUGGUCUUCUCGCUGCACAUAAACAUCAAACCAUCAAGCUUAUCUUUUCUCAUUUCCUUCUCUUGGCUCUUUCCUGCGUCUCCUUGUUUCUCUUUGUCCUUGUGAUGCUUCGAACUCGUCUGACACAGGAAUCUUCUCUACACAUCUUUGCUUCCAGUGAUUUUUAUCUGCCCCACCAAUCUCCUCUUCACAUCUUUGUUUCCGGUGAUUCUUAUCGGACCGACCAAUCUCCUCUUGCUUCUUUUUUAUUCUGCUGGCUUGUCUUGGGUCCUUUUCUUUAGAAAGGUUCUCAUUUAGGUUUUCUUCCCUUGCAUUUAGCUUCUUAGAACUCUCUCCUUCAAUGUUGUUAUUAUCUCAUUUAGGUUUCCCUCUCUUGAAUUUAGCUUCUUAGAACUCUCUCCUUCAAUGCUGUUAUUAUCAUUCUUCUCAUCUAAUAAAUUUUUGUUCUUCUUCCUUCUGAAUCUACUCCAAGCUCGUGCAGCAACUUUGGCGUUUUCGGUCUUCAAGUCAUUAACUGGUGACUUUGUUAAGCAAAUAAAAGCACCAGGUCGGCCAUGCUACUAUUUCCACCCCGGCACGAAUCACCUCAGCCAAAUGGUACGAGCAGAACAGGGGGCAACAUGAGCUGAUCAGAGACGAAUACUGACCAGAGGUAUAUACCGAGCCGAUACACGUCCCCCAAAAAGCGGAAACACGAUCUCACAGAAUCACGGUAGUUGCGCUUUCCCCAGAACCGUUGCGGGAGACGCGAGAUCCCACGUUUGCCCAUAAUGCAGCAGUUAGAGUCCCAUGAGGGGCUGCCACUACCCGAAAAAGGUGGGAUGAAGGGCAAACGAGAACGUGGGGACAGCGGCUAUAAAAGAAGAAGAAAUCGAUGAAGAAAGGGAUAGAAAAAUUGAGAGAAGGGAAAACUCUGCCAAAUUGCAACCAGGCCAUUUUCUUACAGAUUUCGAACAAACCUCUUGAAUCCAAAUUGUAUUGUUUUCCCGUAAACACCUUGUACUAACUUAGGCAUCGGAGGGUUUACGCCGGCAAAACCACCGGCGUCUCUGAUCCGUUUUUGGUGAACGCAGGUCUAGUAAGAGAAUGGAGGGUGAUUCCAACCUUAGUGGUUCGAGCAACAGUCGAUAACAUAAACGUUGGUGAAAGGAUUUGGUCGGUCAAAAGGGCGAGCAGAUUUCGGCAUCAACAUUUUGGCGCCGUCUGUGGGGAGCUGGAUAAAAAGCUACCACCGAAUUAGUAGUUACCGGAGAAACAACGAACGAUUAGACAUGGAUUUGCCAAGGAAGGACGCUUUGAGGGAGGAUAACGAAGCUGGGGAGACAAUCACUCUUCGGGAAAUUGCAAAUGAGGCCUGGGAGAGGAUGAUGCAAGAUCGAUUUGAGCGGAUGGAGAAACAAAUGGAAACUCUCGCAACCAUACUGCACGAGCUGAGAGAUGAGCGGAGAAGGGAUUGUGAAACCUCCGGGGGGAGAGAUGAUGUUGGAGCAGAACCCAGCCUCCAGAGUCGUAGAGUCGAGGAAAUUCCUCCGCCUGCAGACCAACCUAACGGGGUGCAUCCCCACAGAAGCGUUGGUCCGGUUUCAGGAGAACGAGUAGAUGAAGGAAGGGACCAGCCUCUCCCCGGACGGGUACUGGAAGUCAAUAGCCGAGGGGCCAUUGUUGAUGAAAGAGAGCUCAGACAUUGGUUGCACAAUGCCGAGCUAGAACGAGACCGGAUGGCUGUACGUGAUCCUGACCGUGCCGUAGAAUUAGAAGGGGAGGUGCGCAGAUUGGCGCAGGUGAUGGAGGAGAUACAAGGCAAGAGAAAGCCCCCGAGCUGGAGGAUAAUGCUGGAUGAAGAAUCCCUGUUAUCAACCGAGAUCAUGGGUACGGUAAUCCCAAGAGAUUUCCGCUUCCCCGACCUCAAAUACUCCGGUCGAAGUGACCCUCUGGUGCAUAUUGAGCGUUUCAACGAUAUGACGGGGGUGCAGGGGUUGACACCAGCUCAGAAGUGUAGGGUGUUCCCGUUGACUCUCGAGGGGCGAGCCCGAGAAUGGUACCGCAAGCUGCCCCGAUGAGGUAUAAAAGGGUACGAGCAGAUGUGCCAAGAGUUAGCCGAAUAGUUCCGAGGGGCGGUAACCUCAGAGGAUGACAUGAUGGAACUGAUGGGGAUGAAACAGGAGGAGCAUGAGUCCCUUCGGGAUUUUGUAAAGCGAUAUCACCGGGCCGUGCUAGAUUUGGGAGCCAUUAAUCACCCAUAGGCGCUGAUGGGAUUAAAAGAAGGUGUAAGAAUUGGCCGAUUGUGGUAUAACUUGAGAAGCCCCCUGGUGCAGAAUUAUUCGGCGGGGUAUGAACAGGAGAGGCGAGACAUAGAAUUCGAAGAGGAGAAAUCGGCAAGGAUAAAGAGUGAACAACUAGAAGAGUUGAGGCGAAAAGAACGGAGAGUCCCGAUCGGGAGCAGAUCGGGAAAGCGAGCUGGGGAAUCAUCAGUUAUGGGCGGAAUAUCAGCUCGGUCCCGCCCUUACCCCAUAGCUCAGAGGCCACAACAGUUCCAACACAGCCGAGCCCAACCUCCGCGCACCCCGUUCCCGGAGCGGCAACGAGAAUUCAGGCAGAUGACUGCCCACCCUUAUCACAACACUCCCAGAGGGUUACAUGCAACUGGUUCCAGGGCUGGACGACCAGAUCAACUAGCGACUGUACCAGCCCGAGAUGACAUUCAUGAUAGCCGAGUAGUUCAGCUAGUAGACCAGCGCUUGGCAUAUAGACAGUACACUCCAUUAAAGAUCUCCAUGGAGGAAUUGUAUGAGAGGAUCGAGGGAUGAAGCCUGCUGUACCCUCCAGUCCCUAUAACAAAACCGGCUCACCGACGGGAUAAGAGCAGAUUCUACAAAUUUCACAACACUCACGGUCACACUGUCAGCCAAUGUCGUGACCUGAAGACUCAGGUGGAGGAUUUAGUGAGGAACCGAUACUUGGAUGAGUAUGUAGAUGGAAUGUCCCCCGUCAUUGAAUCACAGUACACGCGGGAUGAAGAAAAUGAGAGGGGCCUGGAACGUGAACAGCCAACUAUCCACGUGAUAGCAGGAGGGCCAACCUUGGCUGGGGAUUCGAACAGGGCACGGAAGAACCAUGGGAGAUACGCCCUGACUAGCAAAGAAGUGCUUUUCAAUCUGCCAGCAACCAAGAAGGCAAAAGUGCGGCAAGUUCCUAUUAUGUGGACAGAUGACGAUGAAGAGGGUAUCUUAUAUCCUCAUGAAGAUGCAUUGGUGAUUAAGGCAAUGGUGGCCGGUACAGAAUUGCGACGAAUACUAGUAGACACAGGCAGCUCGGUUGACAUCCUGUUUAAGUCGGCUCUAGAUGAUAUGGGGAUUGCAGACUUGAAAUUGGAGCGGACAAAUACAUCCUUAAAGGGAUUUGGAGGGGGACGGCUAACUCCCAUGGGGAUCAUCGAACUCCCAGUUACUAUGGAGACAAAGCCAUUUGAAAGAACGAUGAUGCUGGACUUUGUCGUGGUAGAGGAAAGAAGCCCUUACCAGAUGAUACUGGGGAGACCAUUCAUGAGGAUAAGCCAAUGCGUUGUAUCCACGCAUUACUUGGCACUGAAGUACAGAGUAAAUGGGGUGGUUGGUGUAGUAAAAGGUGACCAGAGAAUGGCAAGGAGCUGUUAUGCUACAGCAGCCAAGGAGACACUACAGGUUACUUCUCUAGAUAAUCGAGGAGAUUCUAAAAAGGGUCGCCAAGAGCCUGUCGAGAAACUAGAAGAGAUUUUGAUAAGCAAAAACAAUCCGAGCAGAGUGGUUAGGAUCGGAUCAGGUUUGGUCGGGGCAGUGAAAGGCGAGUUGGUGAAGUGCUUACAGUCUCACGCAGACAUAUUCGCCUGGUCUCACGAGGACAUACCAGGAAUUGAUCGUGAGGUAGCUUGCCAUAAAUUGGCAAUCAAGAAGGGGGCGAGGCCGGUGAGGCAGAAAAGAAGAUGCUUUAACCAAGAAAGGUACGAAGCCAUAAAUGCCGAGGUGGAGAAGCUGUUAAAAGCAGGAUUUAUAAGGGAGGCCAAAUACCCGGAGUGGAUUUCCAACGUAGUACUGGUAAAGAAGGCCAACGGGAAAUAGAGAAUGUGUGUGGAUUUCACAAACCUUAAUAAGGCAUGCCCGAAGGACAAUUUUCCCUUACCAAAGAUAGAUCAAUUGGUAGACUCCAUAGCGGGUCACAGUCUGCUCAGCUUCAUGGAUGCCUUUUCAGGAUACAACCAGAUACCCAUGGACGAGCAGGAUAAGGAGAACACCACCUUUAUAACUAACAUGGGUUUGUUUUGCUACAUGGUGAUGCCUUUCGGCCUGAAAAAUACAGGAGCUACCUAUCAAAGGUUGGUGAACCAGAUCUUCAAGCCCUUGAUCGAUCAUACAAUGGAGGUAUAUGUGGACGAUAUGAUCACAAAGUCUAAAGAACCGAGGGAUCACGUGAAGCACCUUGAAGAAACCUUUGAGUUACUGAGGAAGUAUGAAAUGAAGCUAAACCCGGAGAAAUGUGCAUUUGGGGUCAGCUCGGGCAAAUUUUUGGGAUUCCUGGUGAGUCACCAAGGGAUUGAGGCCAACCCAGAAAAAAUACGGGCGGUUACGGAGAUGAGGUCUCCACGGACAGUUAAGGAGGUGCAGAGCCUUACAGGGAAGUUGGCAACACUGAACCGAUUCAUCUCGAGGGCCACAGAUAAAUGCCACCCUUUCUUCCAAACCAUAAAGAAAUGGAGAAAGAUGGAGUGGACAUCAGAGUGCGAAGAAGCAUUUGGGCAGCUGAAGGAAUAUCUGACCCGCGCCCCGUUGCUAUCAACUCCAAGAGCGGGUGACCAGCUGUUUCUGUACUUAGCAAUCUCUAAAUGGGCUACCAGCUCGGUUUUGGUCAGGGAAGAAGAAGGAAAGCAACACCCGGUAUACUACACAAGCAAGGCCCUGGUAGACGCAGAAACCAGAUAUCCAUUGCUGGAGAGAUGGGCGUUGGCUCUAAUAAUGGCAGCACGAAAACUCCGACCAUAUUUUCAGGCCCACCAGAUUGUUGUGAUGACUGACCAGUCCCUUCGUCAAACGCUUCAAAAAACAGAUGCAUCCGGUCGGUUAGUAAAAUGGUCCGUGGAGCUAAGCGAAUUUGACCUAUCCUACAGGCCCCGAGGAGCAAUCAAAGCUCAAGCUUUGGCAGAAUUUAUGGUAGACCGAGCUGAGCCAGGGGAAGAAAUUCGGGAGGAGCAACCGAUAGAGCAGGAGAAACCAGAGGGGGUGUGGCUAGUAAUGGUUGACGGAUCAUGUAGUGAGCAAGGGUCAGGAGCAGGAGUUGUAAUACGAAGCCCAGAAGGAACCGAAAUAAUGUAUGCAGUGAAGUUCGAAUUUCAGUUCACGAACAACCAAGCUGAAUAUGAAGCCUUUAUCACCGGGCUCGGACUGGCACACGCUUUAAGAGCAGAGAUGGUAGAAAUUCGAGCGGACUCCCAAUUAGUAUGUAAUCAGCUCAAUGACCAGUUCCAAGCAAGGGGAGAGAAGAUGGGUCUUUAUCUGAAGAAAGCAAAGCAGAUGGUUGGGCUUUUCCAAGAGGUGGAGGUAAACCAGAUAUAUCGGAAUGAGAAUUACCGAGCAGAUAUGUUGGCUAGGAUGGCUGCAAUUGCAGAUCCGAAAUUACCUAAGUCGGUUCCACUAGAGGUAAAGACCUCACCAAGUAUAGGAGAGGAGGUAGAGGUGAUGAGAGUAAGCAUUGGAGAGUCAUGGAUGGACCCGAUUCGCGCAUAUGUCCGGGAUGGAAUCUUACCAGAGGACAAAAGGCAAGCAAGGAUAUUAAAAUGCCGAGCAGCGAGGUACACGCUACUAGAUGGAGUGCUGUAUCGCCGAGGAUUCACCUUGCCCCUUUUGAGAUGUGUGGAUGAUGAGGAGGCAGAUUAUGUACUGAGGGAGAUUCAUGAAGGAAUAUGCGGCAAUCACUCGGGAGCAAGAACUUUAGCCUUCAAGGCACUCCGACAAGGAUACUUCUGGCCAACCAUGCACCAGGAUGCGAAAAGGAUGGCAAAGAACUGUAAAACCUGCCAAAGCUUCUCUGAGGUUCCUGCACAACCCCCAGAAAAGCUGACCACUAUGACAUCCCCGUGGCCUUUCGCUCAAUGGGGAAUCAACUUGAUUGGUCCGUUGCCUAAAGGCCGAGGAGCGGCGACACAUGCAAUUGUGGUAAUAGACUACUUCACCAAGUGGGUAGAAGUGGGAGUCCUCAGCCAAAUCACGGAGAGGAAGACAACAGAUUUUAUUUGGAGGAAUAUCAUCUGCAGAUACGGGAUCUCCUAUGCUAUCAUUACAGACAAUGGGAGACAAUUUGACAACAGCAACUUCAGGAAAUUUUGCCGAAAUUUGGGGGUGGACCUGAAGUUCUGCACCCCCGCACACCCCCAGGCAAACGGACAAGUGGAAGCAGCCAACAAAGUAAUAAAGAAGCUCUUGAAAACUAGAUUGGGAGAGAAGAAGGGAGCCUGGGUUGACGAACUACCAGGAGUAUUAUGGGCUUACCGGACAACUCACAAAACCGCCACAGGGGAAACCCCGUUCGCUUUAGCUUUUGGUCAUGAGGCGGUAGUCCCAGCAGAAAUCGGAGUGGGGACACAUCGAACGAAAUAUUUCGCUGAGGAGCAAAACGACGAGCAGAUCUGCUUAAGCCUGGACCUGCUUGAGGAGAAAAGGGAAGGGGCCUCGCAGAAAGUGGCCCAGUGUCAGCAACGGGUCAUGCGCUAUUACAACAAGAACGUACGCAUGAGGCAGUUCCGAGCAGGAGAUUGGGCACUUAGGAAGGUGGACCAAAACACCAGGGAUCCUAACCAUGGCGCUCUUGGCCCAAAAUGGGAAGGCCUGUACAGAGUGAUACGAGCCACUGGACCAGGAGCUUAUAAGUUAGCGUACCAAGAUGGACGAGACGUGAAGAGGUCAUGGAACGCCGAGCACUUGAAGAAGUAUUUCCAGUAAGCAAAGUGCUCUCCUAAAUCCUCAUUUUGACAAAUUGUUUGUGUUAACUGCAUGAUGACUUGAUGCAUAUGUAUGUAUUCAGUAUUUUUGUAAUACAUUCAAGUUUCAAAUAAAGAUGAAUUCAGCAUGAAAUCCCCCUGCUAGCAAGCCAAAUAAAAAUUUUACUAAGGCAAAUAAGUGCCUAUUUCUGCUCGGUCAACGAAAGAUCAGCAGCUAAUUUUACGAGAAUUUUUACUAAGGCAAGCAAGUGCAUGUUUCUGCUCGGUCAACGAAAGAUCAGCAGCUAAUUCUACAAAAAUUCUACUAAGGCAAGCAAGUGCCUGUUUCUGCUCGGUCAACGAAAGACCAGCAGCUAAUUCUACAAAAAUUCUACUAAGGCAAAUAAGUGCCUGUUUAUGCUCGGUCAGCGAAAGAUCAGCAGCUAAUUUUACGAGAAUUUUUACUAAGGCAAGCAAGUGCCUGUUUCUGCUCGGUCAACGAAAGACCAGCAACUAAUUCUACAAAAAUUCUACUAAGGCAAAUAAGUGCCUGCUUCUGUUCGGUCAGCGAAAGAUCAGCAGCUAAUUUUACGGAAUUUUUACUAAGGCAAGCAAGUGCCUGUUUCUGCUCAGUCAGCGAAAGAUCAGCAGUUAAUUUUACAAGAAUUUUAACUAAGGCAAGCAAGUGCCUGUUUCUGCUCGGUCAAAGAAAGACCAGCAACUAAUUCCACAAAAUUCUACUAAGGCAAAUAAGUGCCUAUUUCUACUCGGUCAACGAAAGACCAGCAGCUAUUUUAACGAAAGUUUUACUAAGGCAAGUAAAUGCCUAUUCCUGCUCGGUCCACUAAAGAACCAACAGGAAAAAUCAAAUAAAUUAUCAAAUUAGUUUGCAGAAACAAUCCAGAAGCAAAAAUGAGAAAAGAAGGCCAGUAAAGAACAUCCAAAAAUUUAUAAACAUUUAAAUGUUUACAAAACUAAUGAAAAUCUAAAGUCUAUACAAAAAUAGACCUAAGGAUUAGGAGGGUCAACGGCUUCAGCCGGUGAAGGAUCAGCUAUCUCUAGAGGUGGAAGAUCAGCAAUACCGGGAGGAGGCGGCAUGGACCCUUGUCCCACUUCCAAGGCACGUCCCCCAGCUUCCCCCUCCUACACCCCAUCUAAAGGAGCCUCCACCUAAUCCUGCUCACCCUGCUCCUUAUCUGCUUGGCCGAUCUCCGCCAUAUAUCGCUGCACUCCGGCCUCCAGCUUGCUAAUGUCCAGCUCGGGAUAUUCUUCCUUAAGCACAGACAUGAUGCACUUAUAGGAGAAGGCAACCCCAGAAUCAUACUCGGCAUCCAGCCGAUCGUUCACAUCAGCGGAUUUGCCUUUCUCCUCAGCCAGCUGCUCACCCAAGGAUUUGAUUUCCCCCUCAAGGGCGGCCCUCAGAGUAUCCCUUUCACUUUGAGUAGCCUGAAGAUCAGAUCUCAGGUCACCCAACUCACCCUCGAGUUUGGAGGAAGUGGAUUCAGCAACCGCAACUUUCUCCUCUAGCUCCGUAAUCUGCUUGUUCAGCUCAGCCAGCUUCUCCUUGGAGCGAUCAACAGAUUCAGCUUUCUUCUUCAAUUCCUGAUUGUCAGCUUGAAGCUUCCUCUCAUGGCGCGCGGACCCAGUCUUGUAGCACGAAACCAUGGUGGCCAGCCUGAAGGACACUCUCUGAACAUAAGCAGCUAACUCGGAGAGGUUCAUACUCUCGAUGUCCUUCACCAUCUUGGGCCCCACCGAUUUUUUGUAAUCCUUCUGAUACGGGCUCAGGUAGUCACCUUGAUCCCGAGAUGGUAGAGGAGAAGAUCGGUCCCCAGACUGGAAGCUGACCUCAGGACUCUUGUCAGAAGUUUUCUCCCCACCACUCUUACGGGGUGGGGGAGGGGGCAGAGCAGGGACAUGAGCCUUGGAAGGGCCGACGCUGGUUUUCUUUGGAGGAGGAGGAGGGUUGCUGGAGCUGCUUGGAGCCCGACCACGCUUCCUGCUCAUCGCGCUGAGGAUCUUGUUAUCCAUUCCAGCGGCUAUGUCCACUAGGCCCGAACCGACCAGGUUUGUUGGUGACAGGAGGUCUUGGCAGGUAGACGCGUUCACCAGAGUAGUUUCCACCUGAAGCAAAGGUCGAUCUUCAAGCCCCCCGAUCAAACCCCACAACUCUGAAAUAGCAAAAGAGGUUAAAGAACUCGAUAAGUGACAAUUUGACUAAGAACAUAGGCAAAAAUAAACGACAUGGGGUGACAAAAUGUAUGGGAAGAUAAAUGUCCCCACCAAGCGACCGAACUGCUGGACACCAGUUCCCUCCAGCAAAGAAGAAUUUGUUCUUAUAAUUUUUACAUGAAGAGGGAAACCCAGUGAUCGGUUUCCUCUUUGCAAAACUGGACAUAAAGUAGUACCAGCCCGCUUCCCUCGGGCUACUCCGCAGCUGGUACAGAUGUUUCACUUCAACAAGGGAAGGCUCCUCCGACCCGCACCUCUCCCACAACACAAACAUUGCCGAGAGAACCCUCCACCCAUUUGGGUGUAGCUGACCUGGGGCUAGGUGCAUACCGCCCAGUAUCUUGGCAAAAUAACGUUGAAGGGGCAGCCGAGCUCCUAGUCUGAAACUCUCCAAGUGCAUCGUCACAUACCCUUUCGGAGGCCGACUAGGGACAUCAUCUUUUCCAGGAACUACAAGAAGAACCUCGUUGGGGAUAUUGUAGAGGUUCCUAAGCUUAAAUAGAUCAGUGGGGGUGGUGGCGCAAGCUAUGAAAUCAAUAGGGUAGGAAUCAGCCUCCACAGUAUGGCCAAGAUUCCUUUUCUUAGCAGGUCCGCUCGGUCUGGAACUGCUCCCCUCACCAUCACCAACUCCUUCAGGGAUCCCAACCCCACCGAAGCUGUGGUUCUCACCAGAGCCCGACGUAGGUCCACCUCUAUUCCCUACAAGCUCUAGUUCGGGGGAGGGAGAGACAACCAAGGGGCGUGGGUACUCAAGGGUAUCCAUGCCAUGGGAAUGACCUACACUACUGGAGGGACCUAAGAAAUCGGUCGGUAUUGACACGUUGAGGCCUGAAUCCCCUGAUUCUUUAUCACCCUCAUCAACAAUUAACUUUCUUUUCCUAUUUGACAUAUCGGAAUCCCAAAAGAAAACAAAGAAAACUCGAAUAUACGGAUACAAAAGGGGGCAACACGGAACCCAAUCAACAACAACCAGAGAAGAGAUUAAAAGUAGUACCUGAAAUGAACUGGCCCUGAUAGCGCUGCCGUGACAGAGAAAAAACCAGCAAGUAGAAACUCUGGACGCAGGAAGUGUGAGUAAAGUUCAGAAAGGGGGUAGGUUAACGACGGAGAGACGAGUAACAAAACGAUGACGAUGUAAAUCUAGGUAUUUGAAACGAAAAGGGGGAAAUGAAAGCAUUUAAGUGAUGGAGAUGCCAGCUCACUCAUCGUACAUCGAGGACAGAUAGCCCGUCGUUUCAAAUUUCAAAUACGAAGAGUCUGGAGAUGUCACGUCACUAACCGCUACAAGGGGCCAGGCUAGAUGUGAGCCCAAAUACGCAAUGGACAUGCUCAGGUCAAAAUCUCCCCUGAAGAAAAAUGAUACCUCAGGUCCGUCCCGGUAGACAGAAGACCAGAGGAGAAGCCCCCGGAUUGGUAAGAUUUGACUAUCAGUUUCUACUCUUGACUCAUUUCACUCACAAGACCAGAAACUGGGGGACUGGUGUUAAGCAAAUAAAAGCACCAGGUCGGCCAUGCUACUAUUUCCACCCCGGCACGAAUCACCUCAGCCAAAUGGUACGAGCAGAACAGGGGGCAACAUGAGCUGAUCAGAGACGAAUACUGACCAGAGGUAUAUACCGAGCCGAUACCCGUCCCCCAAAAAGCGGAAACACGAUCUCACAGAAUCACGAUAGUUGCGCUUUCCCCAGAACCGUUGCGGGAGACGCGAGAUCCCACGUUUGCCCAUAAUGCAGCAGUUAGAGUCCUAUGAGGGGCUGCCACUACCCGAAAAAGGUGGGAUGAAGGGCAAACGGGAACGUGGGGACAACGGCUAUAAAAGAAGAAGAAAUCGAUGAAGAAAGGGAUAGAAAAAUUGAGAGAAGGGAAAACUCUGCCAAAUUGCAACCAGGCCAUUUUCUUACAGAUUUCGAACAAACCUCUUGAAUCCAAAUUGUAUUGUUUUCCCGUAAACACCUUGUAAUAACUUAGGCAUCGGAGGGUUUACGCCGGCAAAACCACCGGCGUCUAUGAUCCGUUUUUGGUGAACGCAGGUCUAGUAAGAGAAUGGAGGGUGAUUCCAACCUUAGUGGUUCGAGCAACAGUCGAUAACAUAAACGUUGGUGAAAGGAUUUGGUCAGUCAAAAGGGCGAGCAGAUUUCGGCAUCAACAGACUUCUUUGCAAUUUUAGAUCUGGCCUUCAAUGAUUUAUGGAUUUUAUUUUCAGAUGAUUUUGCUUCGGUUGAGGCUUCCCCAGCAUUCCCAUCUUCCUUCUUCUCUUCAUUUUCUUGUGCCAUAGUCUACCCAAAUAACCAGGCUCCCAACAGACCAUAAUUUAGGGAUUAUUCUGUUGUUCACUAUUUAAAAUAUGAAAUACAAAACUCAAAAGCCCGGCAAAGGAAUGAAAGAAGCUGAAGAAGUGAAAAUGCAUCAAAAUUUGCAAGAAAAUAAUAAAUAUACAAUGCCUUCAUAAUGCAUAUAGCAGAUGGUGGCUAAUUGCCAAUUACUUGACAAUGAUAGGCAAAUUCUUCUGUCAGAAAGCGGGGUGAAAAAGGUCAGAAUCUUGAGACCUGCUCAAUCACAAGAUUGCAACAAAAAGGAGUCUGAUAAUAUACAAUGGGCAAUAAGAGAGAUUGGGUGUAUUGAAAUUAUGGUAGUGAGCUAAAAUAUUAUAAUAUUUGUAAUUCGCAUAUCACUAGAAAAAUAUUUUUCUUAUGUUUUCGCCCAUGAAUCUAGAUUAAAAGUUGAACCACCUAAAUUUUGAUGUCCCUAUGUGAUUUUGUUGUCUCAUGAUUUUUUAAUUUCACUUUAAUUGCAUAUCUGCUUCACCAAUCAAUAUGCAUUGAAGAAUGCUUACAUUAGUUUGUGUUUGGCUCAUCAUCACAACCAUUUCAUUCAAGAAAUCUCCUAUUCCCUCAAAACAAAACUAAAAAGUCUCAUGUAAUAAAAUCCUCCCCCGUUCCCCCCUCCCCUCUUCUUGUGGGAGUUAAUUUUGCUGUAUCUUCAAAGCAACAAAAGCGCAUUAAAAAGUUAAAGAUGAAAUGAAAUCAAUAUAUAUAUAUAUAUAGAGGGAGAGAGAGAGAGACACACACACACACACAAAAUUGGAGCUCAUAUUAUUUUAUUCAUCAUCACUAUCAUGGACUCCUACAUAGUACAAGAACCUCUUGUUGGCAACAAAUAGAACUUGAAGAGAGAAGAAGGAAAACAACAUCUCGUGAAUCCGAUAAUUAUCCGUCAUUAUAAAAAGGAUUACAAUUUUAUUUCUUAUUGUAUACUACAAAUUACAUGCAUAAUAAAUAAAUAAAUAAGAAUUAAAAAUUUUGGAAUUUAGUAAGGUUAACAGCAGAAUAGGCAUGUUGAAUGGCGUAAAAUCUCUUCGUGGCUUCUUUCACAAAAUUUGAAUCUCUUGAAGUUGAACAACGGCUUGGAUAUAUAGAGCCACAAUCACCUUGUAAAAAAAAAUUCAUACAGAUGUUGCAUGAGAAGAUUGGUUGUAUAAAACUAUUAUAGACCCACAUAAUUUACAAAAAUAAUAGUUAUCGCUUUUUAACUAAUGUCUUUAUGCCACAUUAGUUUGUUUACACAAGUUCAUAUAAAAAUGUUUGUGGUUACAUCAUUAUUGAUUUUGAAAAUAAUAUUUUAAUAUUUUUAUCUCAAAUGAUAGGAUAUUUUUUGACACAUUGGAUGCUUUUGGAUUUAAUGAUACCUUUGUAUAUUUUAUUUAUUAUUUCAUCUAACAUUGUUUGAUGAGUGAUGAUAGAGUUAAAAGCUCUUGUAUAAACUUAUUUUAUAUAUAUUGAUGAAAUUUAAAUUUAUUGGUUGAAUAAAAUUACCAAAUAAUAAAAAUAAAUAAUAUGAGCCAAGAGUUAGGGUUAGCCAAACUCAAUCCAACCCGAUGAACACAAUCCAACUCAAUCUAAUCUAAUCAAAUUUUGAUGGGUUGAGUGAAUUAUUAUAAGGUUAAUUAGGUAAAUUUUUUCGAAUCCAAUUAAUAAUUGAGUUGAGUUAGGUUUGGUUAAUUAUGAUGAACCUGUCUUACCCAACCCCAUCCAUGUAAAUAAUAGUAAUAGUAAUAAUAGUUAGGCAUCCAGUACUGCUUACCAAAUAGAAGCUAAUUCCUGCAAUUUACAUGAAAAUUGCACGAAAUAUCACUAUCCUUAUUUUCUUGAUUUCACCUUCAUUGUGUAUUUUUCUCCAGAAAUUCCAAACUUACGAAGAGGAUUCGGGCCACGUUCUAUGCAUCAUAUGGAAUGCGGCCAUUUUUCUGUGUAAUUUGUGAGGCGUUAUAUUACAUGGAGCUUGACUUCUUUCUUUCUAUGAAUGGUCAGAUGGCAUUGGUGAGAGGUUCUUCUGCUUCUUUGUUGAUUGUUCUGCUUUUGGCUUUUUUAUUAAAGUUAUUUUGAAUCCGCUUUCAGAUUGUGUGUUUAAUGAUUUGAUUAAAUUUGUGUUUAGUUAAAUGUAUUUGGAUUUCUGGAGUAUUUCAGCAGUUAAUGAUGAAAUUCAGCAUUAAAUUAACUUAUAAUCAUUCUAAUUAUCGAUUUUUUUUGUCAUGAAACAUCAUUAAGCACCUGCCAAAGACUGAAAGACACCAGUUUAAGGGUGCAUUUGUGAUUGAAGUUGGGCAGCUAUAGUUUAAAAGUUACAGCACUAAAGUGUUUGAUAAACACUAACUGAUGUAGCUUUGAAGAUAUGUUGAUAUGAUUUUUCACUUAUAUAAUAAAAAAUAUAUUAUAUCUUUAAUAAUUUUAUCAAAAUUAUUAUUUAAAAUUUAUAUUUAUUAUAUAUUACUAACUUUUAUUUCAUAAUUAUAAUUUUUUUUCACAGCAGCUGUAGCCCAGUCCCAAACGCACUCUAAUUUUUAUCUCUCAACACUCUGUUUUGCACCAAGGUAUCCAAUAUAUACUAGUUUAUUAAAUAAUUUUGAUUAGUGCUGAUUGCUAGUGUAUCAGUCUCCUAAUUAAUUAAAUGUGAAAACAUUCUAUUAUAUACUAGUCGAUUGAUUUUUCUUUUAAUCUUCCUGUUAUAUUCCACGACAGAGCUGAUUUAAAGACUUGGCCCAACUCUUCCCUCUAUGUUCAUUAAAUGUUAAUAUUUUUCUGCACCAAGGUUGACUUGAUGGUGCGUUAUUUUCAAUUUUUUUCAUUGACUUGUAUUUUUGUUUAAAUAUUGACAAAAAAUUAAGAAAGCAAUCAGCUCUUGUAACGUGCUCUGUUCUGUUUUCCACCAAAAAUAUAAUCAUUUAUUACCUCUAUCUUAUCAAAUAAUCAUGAUUAAUGCUGCUGGGAAAGUUCUAUUAGUCUUUCUUUUGAUAUAUCUUUACCAAUCUCAUCAGCUUUUGCCUCUUUUAUGAUGUGUUUUUUUAUUUUUUAACUCUUCUCAACCUUGGACGUGAGCCUGAUUCAAGCAGUAUUAUCACUCGUGUAAUUUAUUAAUGAGCUCUUUUCCCGUCAUAUAAUGCCGAUGCUUAUAUAUUCUACUCUUACCAUUCGAUUUUUGUACGCCUAGUACUUGUAGAUCAUUUUAAUUAUAUAUAUACUUCAUACUUGAUGGAGUGAAUAUAAUGCAUAAGAUAUUCAUUCAGUUAUAUGUAGAUAUAUUAAACUUUAGUUUAUGUACUAGACUAACUAAUGGACUUCUAACCUAAAUCAUCGAUAGAUUCUUAAGAUAAUUAGGCUUAAAUACGCAAUCGUCACUAAUUAUUAAUAAUUCAUGAAACCUCUAUUGCAACAGUGAUGAGAAUUGAAGUAUUAGUUGCUCUGGUUAUUCACAUCAUGACAAAUAAAUAGAGAGAUUUUGGCGGUUUCCUCCAUAAAUUUAUCACCUCAUCAUCCUCAAUUAUAUCCGAAACUCUUUACAAUCCCUAAUAUAUUUUAAAAGGUUUACUUUUGACAUUUUAAUAACUUCAAUUAGAUUCUCAAAAAAAAAAUUAAUAAUAAUAACUUCAAUUAGACCAAGCAUAUUUAGUUUCUUGAAGAUUUAUUCCUGAAAAAUCCAACCUGAUUUUUUUUAACUUUUUUUUUUAUAUUUUAUUAACAACUACUUUCUAAUAUUUGUUUAUUAAUCAAGAUAGAAUUGGAGUUUAAUGAUAAAAUGAUCACGAUUUUAAUUUAAAGAUUUGAGCCCAAAAUCACUUGGCUAUCAUAUAUACUCAAUAAUCACUUGAUUAUCAUACUCAUAUAUUACUCAAUAAUCAAAGCUAAUUAUUACUGAAUAAUCACUUGAUUAUUUGAAAAAUGCUGGCAGCACUUGCAACUCCCUGGAACCCUCGUGUAAGUGUAGAUUCCGAGUACAUCAACUGUUCGAAAAAAUGCCCAUUUGAAGAAGUUGAGGACCCGGGGACCCGCCACUGGUACUAUAAGUCUCAUCUUUUGUCUUUUUAUUUGUAUAUCUAUUUUUUUUAUUAAAAAAAAUUGAUAAUAAAGUCCGCAAAAAGUUUGUAGGAGGGUAAUUAGAAAAGCACAUGGGUCACUUCACUUUGGGUCUCUUGGCCUUCAUCAGUUCAUUGUAAUUAUCAACAGUAAAAGACAAUACAACUGUGAUGCAUUUUCACAAAAAGUUUGCAAAGUCUUCAUUUUCACAAAAAGUUUGCUAAUAGAAAAUUUUUAAGUAAUAUUGUUGUUAUUGAAUGUAACUGCCAUGUAAUCAUUCUAAGUAAUAUUGUUAUUUAUGUAGAAGGUUUUUCCCGUAACGUUCUUGACAAAGCGCUUGUGUUUGUUGGUUAAUCGGAUUAGCAUUUUGAUUGUUCGUAAAGCACUGGAAAACUCGCCCUGAAUCAAAAAUCAUUCUCAAUCUAUUUAAUUCCCUCUGGUAUUAUUGCUUAUGAACUGUACCUUUUAAAUUACAGUAGUUAAAUAUUUAAUAAACACUUAAAAUUAAUAAAAGUUACCAUAAAAAUUACUUGAGAAGCCUUACAACUACAAGUUGAAAAAUAUCGGCAACACAGCAGUAACUGGUAACAAGAAAAUUCAAUGAGACGCCAAAAUGCCACCUAGCGCUAUCCAAUUAACCUGUGGGUGAGGGUAUUUCCACCCUACUAUUUGUGUAAAUCCACCCCACUUCUAAAAAUAUUUAUAAUAAAUACACUUUUUUUUAAUAAAUACAAAUCAACAGAAAAAAUUAUAUAAUUAAUCAAUUAAAUCAUUCUUAUAUUUUUUUUUCUUAAGUUAUUUACUUGCGCUGUAAGAAUCGGAAUUGGAAUGAACAACAUUCUCAUUGAUGUGUUUACUUUAUUUUAUAAUUGGAAUAACUAUUUCAAGUUAUUAAAAUGCCCUAAUAUUAUUUGUAUAUAUUAUAACUAAAACAACAAUAAUAAUAAAACUAAAAAUAAUACUUCUGACAAUAAUGUUAAUUAAAACAAAAAAUUAAUAAAAUUUAACAAUAAUAAUAAUAACAAAAACAAAAAAAUUAACUGAAAUAAUAAUAUUAAUAAUGAUAAUAAUUAAAAUAAUAAAAAUCAUUAAUAGUUUUAAUACUAUUAUUAAUAAAAAUAAUAACAACAAUAACUAAUAAUAAUUAAAAUAACAAAGUUAAUAUAAUAAUAACAUUAAUUUUAAUCAUAACAAGAUAAAUAUUAAUAAUAAUGAAUUAAUUACGGUAUAAUAACAAUUAAAAUAAUAAAAGUAAUAAAUUUUAAUAAUAAUAAUGACAAUAAUAAUCAUAAAUAAUAAUAAUAAUUAAAAUAAAUAAAAAUAAUAAAAUUUAAUAGAAAUAAUCUUAUAUAAUAAUAAUAAUGAUAAUAAUAAUAAAAAUAAAUUAAAAUUAUUUUCAAAUGUCAUUUUAUCAUAAAAAUGGACUUAUAUGUAAAAAUUUGUAACAUUUAGUGUCUAUUGAAUUUUACAAAAAAUAUAAGGUGGUGUGGUGUAAUCAACUACAAAAGAAUAAAAGUUGUUGUAUAUUACAACUGUUGCAACAUAGGCGGACCCUAUAUAUAUGUAUUUUAAAAAAUAAUGAAACCGUAAUAACCCUUAUAACUAUGUAUCUCAAUCAUUGAGAAUCUAGUUGACUUGGAAGCACGAGUCUUCACCUCAUAUGAAUUUAGUUCGACAUUUUUGCAUUAUUUGGAUUACCCAUUGAGUCUUGAGAUCAAACUUGUGCCCCUGCAUUUUCUUUUAGUCUAAUCGCUUAGCAUACCUUAUUAUUCGUGUAUUAUCGUUUUUUUUUAUGUUUAUUAACAUCUAAUCACUAAUCUUUGUUUGCUUCGGUGAAAACUUUGAUCAAGAUAGAGUUGUAGUUUACUGAUAAAAUGAUCACGAUUUUUAAUUUAAAGAUUUGAUUCCAAGAUCCUAACAUUCACAUUUUUAAUUAUAUUUGUUGAUAAACAAGAAAAAAAUUGAUUAGAAGAAUACGACAAUAAGAAGAUAAAAAUACUUGCUCAAAUACUCUGCCGUGUGCUUACAUACAAAUCCACUCUCUUAGCUUUUUAAUCACAUAUAUAAAUCAUCAUCAUCACUAGAUGAUCAUAUAUUUACUCAAUAAUCAAAGCUAGUUAGUGAAAGCUUUGAAUGGUCUUCCAAGAUUGAAGAUGAGGGCAGCACUAGGAACUUCCAGGAACCUUCUCGUAAAUUUAGAUAGAUGCCGAGUGUAUGGACUGUUCGAUGAAAUGCCUCUAUGAAGUUGAGGAAUGGAGAGAUUGCAUAACGACCACAUGUUUGGAACUUGAAUUCAGACUGUUAUUAUUAGAAGCACAUGUCAUGGGGUCUCUUCACUUUAACCUUUGGUCCCAUCCUCUGGCCUUCUGCCACCUGGAUCUUCGCAGCAACUUUGCUGAGUAAGAUUGACGAUUGCAGUGCUACGCUAUUUGUCACUUUAGUCUAGAUAUAAAGCUUAAAAUCUUAUCACAGGGUAAUAAUAUCAGUAAACAUUUGACAAAUCACUGAUCAAUUGAUCUUUUCAAGUCACUUGUAUCGUUUCCAUCGGAUUUGACGCCAUCAAACUACAAAAAUUUAUGUAAAAUUUUUGAAGUAACAAAAUUGUCUUACCCAUUAUACACGAUAGAAUCUCGGAUCAUGAAUGAAGUGAUGUCAAUUUCAAUUAAAAAGAUUUCAGUCUCAAGACCCUAACCCGUUUAGGUUAUUGAGCGAACGACUUAUCAAAAUGAGAAAGCUACAAAAUAUGUGACAAUACGAGGACAGCAAAGAAAUUAAGCCAUCAGCUCUUGGAGUGUAUUCUGUUUUGCACAAAAAAUAUAAAUCAGUGAUCACCUCUAGUUUAUCAAAGUAAUCAUGAUUAAUGCUGUAAGGAAAGCUUUAGUAGUCUUUCUUUAUGAAUCUCGCCCGCUUUUGCUUUUCUUUUAGCAUAGUCUUUCUUUGUAUCCCCAGUCAACCCAAAGCCUUUAACUAUGAUCUUCUCUUGAAUAGAUCUUGUCUAAUAAAAAAUUGAGAUCCUCUCUUGAAUAGAGUUUACCCUUGAAAAAUAAGUAUACAUUAUCAUUCAUGUACUGUCAAAAUUUGAGCUUAAGUUCCAACUAUUUAAAAAUUAUUGUUUAUUUUUGUUGGUGAAAGCAAAUCGAUUAGAAGAAUGUGGUACUGGUAAUAAGAAGAUAAAAAUGCUUGCUCAAUACUUUGCCGUGUGUGCUUUCUUACAAAUCCACUAGCUUAGCUUUUAAUCACAUAGAUAAGUCGUCAUAUUCACAUAUAUAAGUCGUCAUAUUAUCAUAUAUUACACAAUAAUCAAAGCUAAUUAUUGAAACCUUUCGAGUUUGAAAAUGCCGGCAGCACUUGCAACUUCCAGGAACCUUCGUGGAAGUGCAGAUGCUGAGUGCAUCCAUCUGUUCGAUUAAAUGCCGAAAUGAUUUCGAGGACCCACACGACCACGCAACAUUUUUUUUUUGUUCAUUUUAUUUGUAUAUCUAUUUGUGGGAAAAAAAAAAGAAUCAUAAGGUCCGCAAACUUUGGCUUUAUAGCAGAGUAAUUAAUUUUUUAUUUAUUACUCAUCAACUUAGAUUUUUAAAUUACAACAGUAAUAAAAUAUUUAAUAAACAAUUACAAAUAAUUAAAGCUGCCAUUAAAAAUGUUUGAAAAGUCUUACGAUUACAUGCUGAAAAAUGUCCGCAUCGGCAUCAUAGCACUUACUAGUAACAAGAAAAUUCAAUGAAAUGCCAAAAUGAUACCUUGCGCUGUCCAAUUAACCUAUAACUUUAACACUAUUUACAUGCAAUUAUAACCAUCUAUCUCAGUUAUUAAGAAUCUAUAGUUGACUUGGAAGCACGAGUCUUCUCCUUGUAUGAAUUUAGUUUGGCAUUUUCCUAAUCAUCCCUCUUCUCUAAUCUCUAGAGUUCUCUGAAAUCUCUUCUUCAUUUUCUGUCUCCCUUUUCUUAAUAAUCCUUGUCCUCGAUCCUAUACAUUCUUUAAAAACCUUCCAUUGCACUCGCUUUUCAAUUUGUCUUGGCAGAAAAAGGAUCCCCCUUUGUUUCAUCUCUAGAUCCGUCACUCUUUUUCUCUCCUCCUCCCUUAAAUCUAUUCAACCUCUUAUUUUAGCAAUUUAUCCAAACUUCUUAUUUCCCUUUCCCAGCUGAUUGAUUAGUUCUGCUUAGUUUGAUUAGUUUUGCUUUCCCCUGUUUUCUGAAAGCGAAAAAUAAAAAAGAAAGGGAUAAUGGAAAUUGUUAUCUCCGUUGCUGCAAAAGUUGCAGAGUACUUGGUUGCUCCCAUUGUUCAUCCAUUUACUUACUGCUGCAGCUACAACACCAACUUGGAGAAGCUGAAGAAUGAAUUUGAGAAGCUAAAGAUUGCUAGAGCCAGUCUGCAGUACAAGGUUGAAGAUUCCAGAAAUAAAGGGAACGGAAUUCAGCAGCACGUUGAGGAGUGGCUGAUUAGUGCGGACAAGGUGAUCAAUGAAGUCGAAACACUUAUUGAAGACAAAGAGAAUUCAAACAACCGGUGUUUGAAGGGGUUGUGUCCUAAUUUGAGGACUCGGUACCAGCUUAGCAAGAAAGCAGAAAGAGAGGCGAAUGCUAUUAUUGGACUCCAUGAAAAAGGGGGAUUCGACAGUGUUUCUUUCCGUAUCAUUCCAGAGGAGCCAUGGCUUAACUCUACCCAGGGUUUCAUGCACUUUGAAUCGAGAAAGUUCACUUUGAAUGAGAUACUAGACGCACUGAGCAACCGUAACUUCAACAUGAUCGGGGUGUACGGGAUGGGCGGCAUUGGAAAGACCACUCUGGUGAAAGAAGUUGGCAGGCAGGUCAAGGAAAAUAAUCUCUGCGAGAAGGUCAUUUCUGCACAUGUAUCCCGAACACCGCAAAUAAAAGAAAUACAAAGAGAAAUUGCAGAGAAGCUGGGCCUGAAAAUAGAUGAAGAGAGUGAAACUGCAAGAGCAGGGAGGCUGCUUGAAAGAUUGAAGAAAGAGAAGAAGAUCCUCAUAAUCUUGGAUGAUAUUUGGGGGAGUCUUGAUUUGGAGGCGAUUGGAAUUCCAUUGGCGGAUGAUAACAGCGGACGUAAAGUUCUGCUGACAUCAAGAAGUGUAGAUGUGUUGUCUUGUAAGAUGGAUUGUCAACAGAAUUUUCGUGUUGAUGUUUUGAAUGGAGGAGAAGCUUGGAGUCUUUUUACGAAGACGACAGGUGAUUGCAUAGAAAAUGAUGAAUUGAGAUCGGUAGCAAAAGAUAUAGUCAAGGAAUGUGCUGGUUUGCCCAUUGCCAUUGUACCCGUAGCAAGGGCAUUGAGAAACAAGAGAUUGUGUGAAUGGAAGGAUGCUUUGCUAGAAUUAAGAAGGCCCUCCUUGAGGAACUUCAGUGGAACACUGGAGGUGGCAUAUAAAAGUAUAGAGCUAAGUUACAGUCAUUUAAACGAGGAGCUCAAGAGUACAUUUUUGCUAAUAAGUUGCGCGUUCAUCUCUUGCGUUGAAGACGUGCGCUUUUAUGGAAUGGGUUUGGGUCUGUUUCAAAACAUCAACACGUUGGAAGAGGCGCGGGAUAGAGCACAUACAUUGGUUGACAAACUCAAAAAAUCUUGUUUGUUGCUUGAUGGCAAUACAAGUGAACGAUUCUAUGCACGAUGUUGUUCGUGAUGUAGCCAUAUCAAUUGCAUCUAGAGACCAACAUGUGUUUGCGGUGGAAAAUGAGGUUAUUCCGCUGACCAGCUGGCCACAUAAGGAGAGACUGAAGGUUUGCAGGGGGAGGUGCGCAGGUUGGCGCAGGUGAUAGAGGAGAUACAGGGCAAGAGAAAGCCCCCGAGCUGGAGGAUAAUGUUAGAUGAAGAAUCUCCGUUAUCAAUCGAGAUCAUGGGUACCAUAAUCCCAAGAGAUUUCCGCUUCCCCGACCUCAAAUACUCCGGGCGAAGUGACCCACUGGUGCACAUUGAGCGUUUCAACGAUAUGACGGGUGUGCAGGGGCUGACAUCAGCUCAGAGGUGCAGGGCGUUCCUGUUGACACUAGAGGGACGAGCUCGAGAAUGGUACCGCAAGCUGCCCCGAGGAAGUAUAAAAGGGUAUGAGCAGAUGUGCCAGGAGUUGGCCGAGCAGUUCCGAGGGGUAGUAGCCCCAGAGGACGACAUGAUGGAACUGAUGGGGAUGAAACAGGAGGAGCACGAGUCCCUACGGGAUUUUGUAAAGCGAUACCACCGAGCCGUACUUGAUUUGGGAGCUUUCAAUCACCCGCAGGCGUUGAGGGGUUUAAAGGAGGGUGUGAGGAUAGGCCGGCUAUGGUAUAACCUGAGAAGCCCCCUAGUGCAGAAUUAUUCAGCAGGAUAUGAGCAGGCAAAGAGAGAUAUCGAAAUCGAAGAAGAAAAAUCGGCAAAGAUAAAGAGUGAACAGCUGGAAGAGCUGAGACGAAAGGAAAGGAGAACUCCAAAUGGGAGCGGGUCGGGAAAGCGAGCUGGGGAACCCUCAGUAAGGGGCGGAACAUCAGCUCGAUCCCGCCCUUACCCCAUAGCUCCGAGAUCACAACAGUUCCAGCACAACCGGGCUCAACCUCCACGUCCCCCAUUCCCGGAUCGGCAGCGAGAAUUCCGGCAGAUGGCUGCCGACCCCUAUCAUAACACUCCCAGAGCAUUACAUGCAACCAAUUCCAGGGCUAGACGACCAGAUCAGUCAGCGACUAUGCCAGCCCGAGGUGACGUUCAUGAUAGCCGAGCAGUUCAGCUGGUAGACCAGAGCUUGGCAUAUAGACAAUACACUCCACUAAAGAUCUCCAUGGAGGAAUUGUAUGAGAGGAUCGAGGGACGAGGCCUGCUGUACCCUCCAGCCCCAAUAACAAAACCGACUCACCGACGGGAUAAGAGCCGAUUCUGCAAGUUCCACAACACUCACGGUCACACUAUCAGCCAAUGUCGUGACCUGAAGAUUCAGGUGGAGGAUUUAGUGAGGAACCGAUACUUGGACGAGUAUGUAGAUGGAAUAUCCCCUGUCAUGGAAUCAUAGUACACACGGGAUGAAGGAGUUGAGAGGGAUUUGGAACGUGAACAGCCGACCAUCCGUGUGAUAGCAGGAGGGCCAACAUUGGCCGGAGAUUCGAACAGGGCACGGAAGAACUAUGGGAGAUACGCCCUGACUAGCAAAGAAGUGCUUUUCAAUUUGCCAGCAACCAAGAAGGCAAAAGUGCGACAAGUUCCCAUUAUGUGGACAGAUGAGGAUGAAGAGGGUAUUUUAUAUCCUCACGAGGAUGCACUAGUGUUUAAAGCAUCGGUGGCUAGCACAGAAUUGCGGCGAAUACUGGUGGACACGGGCAGUUCAGUUGACAUUCUAUUUAAGUCAGCCCUAGAUGAUAUGGGGAUUUCAGAUUUAAAGCUGGAGCGGACAAAUACUUCCUUAAAAGGAUUUGGAGGGGGACGGUUAACUCCCUUGGGGAUCAUUGAACUCCCGAUUACUGUGGGGACAAAGCCGUUUGAACGAACGAUGAUGCUGGACUUCGUCGUGGUAGAGGAAAGAAGCCCUUACCAGAUGAUACUGGGGAGACCAUUCAUGAAGAUAAGUCAAUGCGUUGUAUCCACGCAUUACUUGGCGCUGAAAUACAGAAUAAAUGGGGUGGUUGGCGUAGUAAAAGGCGACCAGAGGAUGGCAAGGAGUUGUUAUGCUACGGCGGCCAAGGAGACACUACAGGUUACUUCUCUAGAUAAUCGAGGAGAGUCUAAAAAGGGCCGCCAAGAGCAUGUUGAGAAACUGGAGGAAGUUGCAGUAAGCAAAAGCAACCCGAGCAGAGUAAUGAAGAUCGGGUCAGGAUUGAUUGGGGCAGUAAAAGGCGAGCUGGUAAAUUGCCUACAGUCUCAUGCGGAUAUAUUCGCCUGGUCUCAUGAAGAUAUGCCCGGAAUUGAUCGCGGGGUAGCUUACCACAAGUUGGCAAUCAAGAAGGGGGCAAGGCCGGUGAGACAGAAGAGGAGAUGCUGCAACCAGGAAAGGUACGAGGCCAUAAACGCCGAGGUGGAGAAGUUGUUGAAAGCAGGAUUUAUAAGGGAAGCCAAGUACCCAGAAUGGAUUUCAAAUGUAGUCCUGGUAAAAAAGGCCAACGGGAAGUGGAGAAUGUGUGUGGACUUCACGGACCUCAAUAAGGCAUGCCCAAAGGACAAUUUUCCCCUACCCAAAAUAGAUCAGCUGGUGGACUCAACAGCAGGUCACAGUCUGCUCAGUUUCAUGGAUGCCUUUUCUGGAUACAACCAGAUACCCAUGGACGAGCAGGAUGAGGAAAGCACUGCCUUUAGAACUAACAUGGGUUUGUUUUGUUACAGGGUAAUGCCUUUCGGCCUAAAAAAUGCAGGAGCCACCUAUCAAAGGUUGGUAAACAAGAUCUUCAAACCGUUGAUUGGAUACACUAUGGAGGUAUAUGUGGAUGAUAUGAUUACAAAGUCCAAAGAGCCGACGGAUCAUGUGAAGCAUCUAGAAGAGACCUUUGAAUUACUGAGGAAGUAUGAGAUGAAACUAAACCCGGAGAAAUGUGCAUUUGGGGUCAGCUCGGACAAAUUUUUAGGAUUCCUGGUAAGCCACCGAGGGAUCGAGGCCAACCCGGAGAAAAUACGGGCGGUGACUGAAAUGAGGUCACCACGAACAGUUAAGGAGGUGCAAAGCCUUACAGGGAAGUUGGCAGCAUUAAACCGAUUCAUCUCGCGGGCCACAGAUAAAUGCCACCCUUUCUUCCAAACCAUAAAGAAAGGGAAAAAGAUGGAGUGGACAUCGGAAUGUGAGGAAGCAUUUGGGCAGCUGAAGGAAUACCUAACCCGGGUCCCAUUGUUAUUGACUCCGAGAGAGGGUGACCAGCUGUUGCUGUACUUAGCAAUCUCUAAAUGGGCUACCAGCUCGGUAUUGGUCAGGGAAGAGGAAGGAAAGCAACACCCGGUAUACUACACAAGCAAGGCCUUGGUAGAGGCGGAAACCAGAUACCCAUUGAUGGAGAAGUGGGCGCUAGCUCUAAUAACAGCAGCACGAAAACUCCGACCAUAUUUUCAGGCCCAUCAGGUUAUAGUUAUGACCGACCAGCCCCUUCGGCAAACACUUCAAAAACCAGAUGCAUCGGGUCGACUAGUAAAAUGGUCCGUAGAGCUAAGUGAAUUCGACCUCUCUUACAGGCCCCGAGGAGCAAUCAAGGCCCAAGCUCUGGCUGAAUUUAUGGUUGACCGAGCCGAUACAGGGAAAGAAAUUCGGGAGGAGCAAGUAGCAGAGCAGGAGAAACCAGAAGGGUUGUGGUUGGUAAUGGUUGACGGAUCAUGUAGUGAGCAAGGAUCCAGAGCAGGAGUUGUAAUACAGAGCCCAGAAGGAACCGAAAUAACGUAUGCAGUGAAGUUUGACUUUCAGCUCACAAACAACCAAGCUGAAUAUGAGGCCUUUAUCACCGGGCUCGGACUUACACACGCUCUAAGAGCAGAGAGGGUAGAAAUUCGAGCAGAUUCCCAACUGGUGUGUAAUCAGCUCAAUGAUCAGUUCCAAGCAAGGGGAGAGAAGAUGGGUCUUUAUUUAAAGAAGGCAAAGCAGAUGGUUGGGCUUUUCCAAGCAGUGGAGGUAAAGCAGAUAUCCCGGAAUGAGAAUUUCCGAGCAGAUAUGCUGGCUAGGAUGACAGCCAUUGCAGAUCCGAAAUUACCGAAGUCAGUUCCACUAGAGGUAAGGACCUCACCGAGUAUUGAGGAAGAAGCAGAGGUGAUGAGAGUAAGUAUUGGAGAAUCCUGGAUGGACCUGAUUCGCGCAUAUGUCCGCGAUGGAGUUUUACCAGAAGACAAAAGGCAAGUAAGAAAAUUAAAAUGCCGAGCAGCAAGGUAUACGCUACUGGAUGGAGUGCUGUACCGUCGAGGGUUCACCUUGUCCCUUUUGAGAUGUUUGGAUGAUGAGGAGGCGGAUUAUGUGCUGAGAGAGAUUCAUGAGGGAAUAUGCAGCAAUCACUCGGGAGCAAGAACUUUAGCCUUCAAGGCACUCCGGCAAGGAUACUUCUGGCCAACCAUGCACCAGGAUGCCAAAAGGAUGGCAAAGAAUUGUAAAACAUGCCAAAGCUUCUCCGAGGUUCCUGCACAACCCCCGGAAAAGCUGACGGCUAUGACAUCCCCAUGGCCUUUCGCUCAAUGGGGAGUCGACUUGAUUGGUCCAUUGCCUAAGGGACGAGGAGCGGCGACACAUGCAAUUGUGGCAAUAGACUACUUUACCAAGUGGGUGGAAGUAGGAGUCCUCAGCCAGAUUACGGAGAGGAAGACAACAGAUUUUAUUUGGAAGAAUAUCAUCUGCAGAUAUGGGAUCCCCUACGCCAUCAUCACAGACAAUGGGAGGCAAUUUGACAACGGCAACUUCAGGGAAUUUUGCCGAAACCUGGGGGUGGACCUGAAGUUCUGCACCCCCGCACACCCCCAGGCAAACGGACAAGUGGAAGCAUCCAACAAGGUGAUAAAGAAGCUCCUAAAGACUAGAUUGGGAGAGAAGAAGGGAGCUUGGGUUGACGAGCUACCAGGAGUACUGUGGGCCUACAGGACAACUCACAAAACCGCCACAGGGGAAACACCGUUCGCUUUAGCCUUUGGUCAUGAGGCAGUAAUCCCAGCAGAGGUUGGAGUGGGAACACAUCGGACGGAAUAUUUCACUGAGGAGCAAAAUGACGAGCAGAUUUGCUUAAGUCUGGACCUGCUGGAGGAGAAAAGAGAAGGGGCAGUGCAGAAAGUGGCCCAGUGCCAACAAAGGGUCAUGCGUUAUUACAACAAGAACGUACGCGUGAGGCAGUUCCGAGCAGGAGAUUGGGUACUUAGGAAGGUGAACCAGAACACCAGGGAUCCUAACCAUGGCGCUCUUGGCCCAAAGUGGGAAGGCCCGUACCGGGUGAUACGAGCCACUGGACCAGGAGCCUAUAAAUUAGCGCACCAAGAUGGACGAGAAGUGAAGAGGUCAUGGAACGCCGAACACCUGAAGAAGUAUUUCCAGUAAGCAAAGUGCUCUACUAAAUCCCCAUUUUGACAAGAUAUCUAUGUUAACUGCAUCAUGGCUUUGCUGCACAUAUAUGUAUCCAGUAUUCUUGUAAUGCUUUCAAAUUUCAAAUAAAGAUGAGUUCAGCAUGAAAUCCCCCUGCUAGUCUAAUCAAUAAAAGUUUCUACUAAGGCAAGUAAGUGCCUACUUCUGCUCGGUCAACAAAAGACCAGCAGCUAAAUUUACGAAGUUUCUACUAAGGCAAGUAAGUGCAUACUUCUGCUCGGUCAACGAAAGACCAGCAGCUAAAUUUACGAAGUCUCUACUAAGGCAAGUAAGUGCCUACUUCUGCUCGGUCAACGAAAGACCAGCAGCUAAAUUUACGAAGUUUUUACUAAGGCAAGUAAGUGCCUACUUCUGCUCGGUCAACGAAAGACCAGCAGCUAAAUCUACGAAGAUUCUACUAAGGCAAGUAAGUGCCUACUUUUGCUCGGUCCACGAAAGACCAGCAGCUAAUUCUGCAAAAAAUCCUACUAAGGCAAUAAAGUGCCUGUUUCUGCUCGGUCAACGAAAGACCAACAGCUAAAGCUUCGACAAUUCUACUAAGGCAACAAAGUGCCUGUUUCUGCUCGGUCAACGAAAGACCAGCAGCUAAAGCUUCGAAAAUUUUACUAAGGCAAACGGAUGCCUAUUCCUGUUCGAUGCACCAAAGAACCAACAGGCAAAACCAGACAAGAAAGCCAAUAGAGAGCAUUCAAGAAUUUUUAUAAACGUUCAAAUGUUUACAAAGCAAAUGAAAAUCUAGAGUCUUUUACAAAAAUAGACCUAAGGAUUAGGAAGGUCAACGGCCUCAGCAGGAGAAGGGUCGGCUGUCUUGGGAGGUGGAAGAUCAGCAAUAACGGGAGGAGGAGGCGCGGACCCUUGUCCCACUUCAAAAACACACUGACCAGCACCUCCCUCCCGCACCUCAUCAAAAGGAACCUCCACCUGCUCCUUAUCUCCCUGGCCGGCCCCAGCCAUAUACCUCUCCACCCCAGAUUCCAGCUUGCUCAUGUCGAGCUCAUGGUAUUCUUCCUUAAGCACAGACAUGAUGCACUUAUAGCUGAAAGCAACCCCGGAGUCAUACUCGGCAUCCAGCCGAUCAUCCACGUCAGCGGAUUUGCUUUUCUCCUCAGCCAGCUGGUCCUUCAGGGAUUUGAUCUCUCCUUCAAGGGCGACCCUCAGAGUAUCCCUUUCACUUUGGGUAGCCUGAAGAUCGGACUUCAGAUCACCCAACUCAUCCUCAAGCUUGGAGGAAGUGGACUCAGCAACAGCAACUUUCUCCUAAAGCUCCGUAAGCUGCUUGUUCAGCUCGGCCAGUUUCUCCUUGGAACGGUCAGCAGAUUCGACUUUCUUUUUCAACUCCUGGUUAUCAGCUUGGAGCUUCCUCUCAUGACGCACGGACCCGGUCUUGUAGCACGAGACCAUUGUGGCCAGCCUGAAGGAAACUCUUUGAACAGAAGCAGCUAACUCGGAGAGGCUCAUGCUCUCGAUGUCCUUCACCAUCUUGGGCCCAACCGAUUUUCUGUAAUCCUUCUGAUAUGGGCUCAGGUAGUCACCUUGAUCCCGAGAUGGAAGAGGAGAAGAGCGGUCCCCAGACUGCAAGCUGACCUCAGGACUUUUGUCGGAGGUUUUAUCCCCACCACUCUUACGAGGUGGAGGAGGGGGCAGAGCAGGAACUGGCGCCUUGGAAGGACCGACGCUGGGUUUCUUUGGAGGAGGAGGAGGGUUGUUGGAGCUACUCGGAGCCCGACCACGCUUUCUGCUCAACGCGCUGAGGAUCUUGUUAUCCAUUCCAGUGGCAAUAUCUACUAAGCGGGAACCGACCAAGUUUGUUGGCGACAGGAGGUCUUGGCAAGUAGACGCGUUCAACAGAGCAGUUUCCACCUGAAGCAAAGGUCGGUCUUCAAGAUCCUUCACCAAACCCCACGAUUCUGAAAAAAUAAACAAGGUUAAAGAACCCAAUGAGUGGCAAUUUAAGAAAGAAUAUAGGCAAAAAAUGAACGACCUGGGGUGACAAAAUGGGUGGGAAGAUAAAUGUCCCCACCAAGCGACUGAACCGCUGGACACCAGUUCCCUCCAGCAAAGAAGAAUUUGUUCUUCCAAUUUUUACAUGAAGAUGGAAACCCAGUGAUCGGUUUCCUCUUUGCGGAACUGGACAUGAAAUAGUACCAGCCUGCCUCCUUCGGGCUACUCCGCAGCUGGUACAGAUGUUUCACUUCAACAAGAGAAGGCUCCUCCGACCCGCACCUCUCCCACAACAUAAACAUUGCCGAGAGAACCCUCCACCCAUUUGGGUGUAGCUGACCUGGGGCCAGGUGCAUACCGCCCAGUAUCUUGGCAAAGUAAGGUUGAAGGGGCAGCCGAGCUCCUAGUCUGAAACUCUCCAAGUGCAUCAUCACAUACCCUUUCGGAGGCCGACUAGGGACAUCACCUUUUCCAGGAACUACAAGAAGAACCUCGUUGGGGAUGUUGUAGAGAUUCCUAAGUUUAAAUAGAUCGGUGGGGGUGGUGGCACAAGCCAUGAAAUCAAUAGGGUAGGAAUCAGCCUCCACCCUAUGGCCUAGGUUCCUUUUCUGAGCAGGUCUGCUCGGUCCGGAACUGCUCCCCUCACCAUCACCAACUCCUUCAGGGAUCCCAACCCCACCAAAGCUGUGGUUCUCGCCAGAGCCCGACGCAGGUCCACCCCUAUUUCCUACAAGCUCUAAUUCGGGAGAGGGAGAGACAACCAGGGGGCGUGGGUACUCAAGGGUACCCCUACCAUGAGGAGGACCUACACUACUGGAGGGACCUAAAAAAUCGGUGGGUAUUGGCACGUUGAGGCCUGAAUCCCCUGAUUCGUCAUCACCCUCAUCAACAAUUAACUUCCUCUUCCGAUUUGACAUACCGGAAUCCCAAAAGAAGACAGAGAAAACUCGAGUAUAUGGACACAAAGGGGCAACACAGAACCCAAUCAACAACAACCGAAGAAAAGGUUAAAGGCUAUACCUGGAAUAGACUGACACUGAUAGCGCCGCCAUGACAGAGAAAACACCCAGCAAAUGGAUACUCCGGACGCUGGAAGUGUGAGCAAAGUGCAGAGAAAAUUUGGUUAACGGCGGAGAAACGAGUAACAAGAUGGUGAAGACUCCAGUCUAGGGAUUUAAAACGAAAAGGGGGAAAUGGAAGCAUUUAAGUGAUGGGGACGCCAGCUCACUCACCGUACAUCGAGGACAGAUAGCCCGUCGUUUCAAAUUUCAAAUACGAAGAAUCGGGAGAUGCCACGUCACCAACCGUUACAAGAGGCCGGGCUAGAUGCAAGCCCAGGUGCGCAGUGGACAUGCUCAUUUAGGCCCACGCCCAGAUCAAAAUCUCACCUGAAGAAAAAUGAAUUGCUCAGGUCCGUCCCGGUAGACAGAAGACCAGAGGAGAAACCCCGGAUUGGUAAGAGUCGACUAUCAGUUUCUACUCUUGACUCAUUUCACUCACAAGACCAGAAACUGGGGGACUGGUGUUAAGCAAAUAAAAGCACCAGGUCGUCCAGGAUACUACUUCCACCCCGGCAUGAAUCACCUCAGCCAAAUGGUACGAGCAGAACAGGGGUAACAUGAGUCGAUCAGAGACGAAUACUGACCAGAGCCACAUACCGAGCCGGUACUCGUCCCCCGAAAAGCGGAAACACGAUCUCACAGAAUCACGGUAGUUGUGCUUUCCCAGAACCGUUGCGGGAGACGCGAGAUCCCACGUUUGCCCAUAAUGCAGCAGUUAGAGCCCCAUGAGAGGCUACCACUACCCGAAAAAGGUGGGAUGAAGGGCAAGCGGGAACGUGGGGACAGCGGCUAUAAAAGAAGGAGAAAUCGAUGAAGAAGGAGAUAGAAAAAAUUGAGAGAGGGAAAACGCUGCCAAAUUGAAACCAGGCUAUUUUCUUAUAAAACUCCGAAUAAUUUAGAAACCAUUUUGAGAUCUAAAUUGCACUGUUUUCCCGUAAACACCUUGAGCUAACUUAGGCAUCGGAGGGUUUACGCCGGCAAAACCACCGGCGUCUCUGAUCCGUUUUUGGUGAGCGCAGGUCUAUUGUGAGAAAGGAGGACGAUUCCAAUCCCAGUGAACGAGCAACAGUAGAUAACACAAACGUUGGUGAAAGAAUCUGGUCGGUCCAAAGGUGAGCAGAUUUAAGCAUCAACAAUAAUGAUUUGAAGCAAGUCAGCUAAGGCCAAGUGUUUUUAUUAUUUAGGCAAUUAGAUCAUGAAUGGUAAUCUUUCAUUUGAUCAAUUACCUCAAAAUACUCUCAUUUUACGAAGAACGUCAAAUAAUCAAAACUAAUCGUCAUUAAUUAAAAGCUACUGUAGAAAGCCAGAACGGUCUUCCAAAUUGCAAGUUGGAAGAUGUGGGCGGCAUUAGCAACUGUCAGGAAUCUUCAUCCAAGUUGCGAGCCACCCGACCCGAGUCUCAUCAUUUACUUUUGUUUACUUUUAUUUCAUUUUCGUUUACUUUUGAGAAAAGGAAAAUGUAAAGAUUGAAUAAGAAUCACUUGUUUGAAAAUUGAAAAAUGAUCGGAGGACUAAAAUAAGACACAAAAUUGAUUUUUUUUUUAAAUAUAUAUAUUCAAAAUGAUAUCGUUCUUGUUUUAUUUAAAGAAAAAAAUUCGCCUAAAAUGACAUUAUUUUAAAUAUAUUUUUUUGGCAAUUUUUAAUCAAAUUUUAUUUCAAAUAUCAAUCUUGAAAAUUAGUUUAAGAUUUUAUAAUUAGAAGCACACGGGGAUGGGGAUCUCUUCGUUUUAACUUUUGGCCUUAAUCAGUUUUCUGUGAUAUUUUGUUGACUGAAACGCCAAAGAGUUUCGGAGUGGACCAACUAUUCAAAUGUGAGAGAAACUUGCGUGGGAGCUGAGGUGGUGGCUGGUGGGAUAAUCUAUUGGUGCUCGGCUCCGUGAUGGAAUAAACGAAUCCCAUCAUGAAAUCUAUGGCUGGUGGGAUAAUCUAUUGGUCUACUUAUGAUCCGAUUUUGGGAGAAUCUCACUCUUAUCAUCACCUCACAUUUCGCACAAUUUUUUUCAAUUCUUCGUCCACUCUUCGUUCAUUUCAAUGAAAAAGAAAAAGAAAUUAAUAUAAUCGAAUACACUACCUCAGUUAAUUUAGUUCUGCUGACUUAAUUUUUUUAAAAUAUAAAGUCAGUGAAUGCCGCUGUAAAAAUCAAAUAAUUGGUUACCAUUGGGCCGACGCACAUCUCCCAACUCUGCAAGUCUUUCUCCUUCUCAAUCAACAUACUCAAUCGUCUUUGUUUGGGUGAUUAUACUACCAGCCACACAUGCUUUCAUCUGGUCGAGUUAAGAAUCUCCUCAGGUCGGUGUAUUAUGAGCAGACACAAUAGUACCAGGGUCCUAUUCGGCGUAUGGCUAAAAGUCGACAAGAGAACUGUUCCUUAAAGAUCAGACACGACACCACAUCUAGGCGAUGGUUUCGCCAUUUCCCAACCGUACGGGGAAAGGUACAAUAACUUAUGCACGAUUUUUACAAAUCCUCAAAACCCACGAAGGCCCGAAUAUGUAGGACCUGGGGAUGUUCUAGAUACAUGGGGAGGCUGCCUAUAAAAACCCCGAAAAAAACAACAAAAGGAAAAAAAGAAAAAAGAGGACGUAGGGAUGUUAUGAUGGAAUGUAUCUCCUCACCCACUAUGCAGCUCUUGUGGAAUGGGGAACUUACGGAAUCGUUCAUCCCUUCGAGAGGAAUUCGGCAAGGCGACCCAAUUUCACCCUAGAUAUUUGUGAUUUGCAUUGGGAGGCUGAGCCAUGGUAUUAAUCAAGUUGUUCGGGAAGGUAGAUGGAAACCAAUUAAGCUUGCUUGUCAAGGUAUCCCUAUCACUCAUGUUUUCUUUGCUGAUGACCUUCUGUUGUUGACAAAAGCCUCUGUUUCUCAGGCGCAUGUAAUCAAGGAUGUUCUCAACGUUUUUUGCACGAGUUCUAGGGAAAAAGUUAGCAAUGGCAAAACGUGGACUUUUUUCUCCCAUAAUGUGAAGGCUUCUGAUGCUAAAAAUAUUGGAGAAAAGCUCAGUUUCACCACAACAAAGGACCUUGGUAAUUACCUAGGUAUGCCUUUGUUGCACAAGAGGAUUAGAAAGCAAACUUAUCAAAGCCUGAUUGACCGAGUUCAACAAAGACUCUCGGGUUGGACGGCCAAGCAUCUUUCUCUUUCCGGUCGGAUAACUUUAACACAAUUGGUCAUUCAAGCCCUACCCAUCUAUUCCAUGUAGACUGUCAUGCUACCUGCAAGUAUUCGAAAUAAAAUCGAUCAGAUUUGCACACUUUUUAUCUGGAGCGGGAUUGAAGAGGCCAAGCGCAUGCAUCUUAUUAAGUGGGAUAAGGUACAGCUUCCUAAAUGUUGUGGGGGUCUUGGAAUUAAAAAUCUUAAUCUCAUGAAUAAGGCUUUGCUGAUGAAAAUUGGUUGGAAUCUAUUUGGCUCUCCUCACAGUUUUCUGGAUCCAGGUGUUAAGUAAUAAAAAGUACUAGCUCGGCCAUGCCCUCAUCUCUUACCCUGAGGCGAAUCUCCUCAGUUGAAAGACACGAGAAGAGUUCGGGUAAAACAUCUUAUACGGGUAUGUGCCAACUAGAGACGAGCACCAACUAGAGAAAUAUACUGACCAGAGAGGAGCACUGACCAGAUGCUCGUCACCCAAAGAAAGGGCAUACGAUCUCACGAAAUCGCGACAGUUUCGCUAUGCCCCGAACCGUUGGGAAAGACGUGGCAUCCUACGUUUACCCACAAUCUAGUGGUUGGAGACCCAUGAGGGUUUGCCAUCACCCGAAAAAGGGGGACAUGAAGAGUAUGCAGAAACGUGGGACAACGACUAUAAGAAUCCAGGAAACCGAUGAAAAAAGGGGGAGAAAAAUCGAGAAAAAAAGGAAAACUCUGCCAAAUUAAAACCCGAUGGUAUUCCAUACAAGUUUUUGAGAGCAUUACAAGAAAUCACACAAUCUAAUUUACAUAGUUUUCUUGUAAACACCUUGUGCUAACUUAAGCAUCAGAGAGUUUAUGCCGGUAAAACUACUGGUGACUCUUAUCCAUUUUUGUGAACGCCGGCUUAGGAAGAGGAAAAAUGGUGAUUCCAACCCCAGGGACUCAAGCAAUCGUUGAAACAGAAAGAAGGUGACAUCUUCUCUAUCGACCAUAUAAACGUUGGUGAAAAGAUCUGGUCGGGCAAAGGGCGAGCAAAUUUCAACAUCAACAUUUUGGCGCCGUCUGUGGGGAGCUGGAUAAAAAUCUACCACCAAGUUAGUAGUCAUUAAAGGAGCAGCGAACGAUCGGUUAUGGAUGUGUCAAGGAAGGAUGCCCUAGGGGGCGACAAUGAAACUGGUGAAACAAUCACUCUCCGAGAGAUCGCAAAUGAAGCUAGAGAGAGGGUGAUGCAAGACCGAAUGGAACAGAUGGAGAAGCAAAUGGAGACUCUCACGGCUAUAUUACAUGAGCUGAGGGAUGAGCAGAGAAGGGAUUGUGAAACCACCGUGGCGAGGGAUGAAGCCGUGGCAAAACCCAGCCUGCGAAGGCAUAGAAUUGAGGAGAUCCCUCCGCUGGUACACCAACCCUAUGGGGUGCAUUCCCAUAGAAGUGCAAGUCGGAUCCCAAGAGAGCGCGUAGGUGAAGGGAGAGACCAAUCUCGCUUCGGACGAGUUCUGGAAAUUGAUGGCUGAGGAGCGAAUAUUGAUGAAGGAGAGCUCAGACAGUGGCUGCAUAAUGCCGAGCAGGAGCGAGAUCAAAUAGCUGCGCGCGAUCCUAACUGCGCUUUAGAAUUGGAGGGUGAGGUACGCAGGUUGGCUCAGGUGAUGGAUGAGAUUUAAAGCAAGAGAAAGCCCCCGAGCUGGAGGAUAAUGUUGGAUGAAGAAUCUCCGCUAUCAGCCGAGAUCAUGGGUACUGUAAUCCCAAGAGAUUUCCGCUUUCCCGACCUCAAAUACUCCGAGAGAAGUGACCCGCUGGUGCAUAUUGAGCAUUUCAACGACAUGACGAGUGUACAGGGGCUGACACUAGCUCAAAAGUGCAGGGUGUUUCCAUUGACACUAGAGGGGCGAGCCCGAGAAUGGUACCGUAAGCUGCCACGAGGAAGUAUAGGGGGAUAUGAGCAGAUAUGCCAAGAGUUGGCCGAGCAGUUCCGAGGAACGGUAGCUCCAGAGGACGAUAUGAUGGAAUUGAUGGGGAUGAAGCAGGAGGAACACGAAUCCCUUCGGGAUUUUGUGAAAAGAUAUCAUUGGGUCGUGCUUGAUCUGGGAGCUUUCAAUCACCCGCAGGCAUUGAGGGGAUUAAAAGAGGGAGUGAGGAUAGGCUGAUUGUGGUACAACUUGAGAAGUCCCAUCGUUCAGAACUAUUCGACGGGGUAUGAGCAGGCGAAGAGAGACAUAAAAAUUGAAGAAGAAAAAACGGCAAGGAUAAAGAGUGAGCAGCUAGAGGAGCUGAGGCGAAAGGAAAAGAGAACCCUGAGUGGGAGCGGGUCGGGAAAGCGAGCUGGGGAAUCAUCAGUGAUGGGUGGAAUAUCAGCUCGGUCUCGCCCUUAUCCCAUGACUCAGAGACCGCAACAAUUUCAACACAGCCGAGCUCAGCCUCAACGCCCCUCAUUCGCAGAGCGGCAACAAGAAUUCCGGCAGGUGGCUGCCCAUCCUUAUCAUAAUGCUCCCAGGGCAUUACAUGCAGUUAAUUCCAGGAUUGGUCGACCAAACCAGCUACCUACAGUGCCAGCCCGGGAUGAUAUCUACGAUAGCCGAGCGGUCCAACUGAUUGAUCAGAGCUCAGCGUAUAAACAGUACACCCCAUUGAAAGUCUCUAUGUAGGAGUUGUAUGAGAGGAUCGAGGGACGAGGCCUGCUAUACCCUCCUGCCCCUAUAACCAAACCCGCUCACAAAUGGGAUAAAAGCAGAUUCUGUAAAUUCUACGAUACUCAUGGCCACACUAUCAGCCAGUGUCGUGACCUGAAGACUCAGGUGGAGGAUUUGGUGAGAAACCGAUACUUGGAUGAGUAUGUAGAUGGGGCAUUCUCUAUCCUUGAGUCACAAUAUACUCAGAGGGAUGGAGACGAGAGGAGUCUGGAGCAUGAGCAGCCAACCAUUCGGGUGAUCGCAGGAGGGCCAACAUUGGCUGGGGAUUCAAACAUGGCACGGAAGAAUUACGGGAGAUAUGCCAUGACCAGCAAAGAGGUGCUUUUCAAAUUGCCAACAGCCAAGAGGGCGAAAGUGAGGCAAGUUCUCAUUAUGUAGACAGAUGAUGACAAAGAGGGUGUUUUAUAUCCUCAUGAGGAUGCACUGGUGAUUAAGGCAAUGAUGGCUGGUAAAGAAUUACGGCGAAUAAUGGUGGACACAGGCAGCUCGGUUGAUAUACUGUUUAAGUUGGCCUUAGAUGAUAUGAGAAUUGCGGACUUAAAAUUGGAGCGGACGAAUACAUCCUUGAAGGGAUUUGAAGGAGGACAGUUAAACCCCAUGGGGAUCAUCGAGCUCCCGAUUACUGUAGGGUCGAAGCCGUUUGAAAGAACAAUGAUGUUGGACUUUGUCGUGGUAGAAGAGAAAAGCUCUUACCAGAUGAUACUAGGACGACCUUUCAUGAGGGUAAGCCAAUGUGUCAUAUCCACGCAUUAUCUGGCAUUGAAAUACAGAGUGAAUGGAGUCGUGGGCGUAGUAAAAGGUGAUCAGAGAAUGACGAUGAGUUGUUACGCUACAACGGCCAAGGAAACACUACAAGUUACCACUCUGGAUAACCGAGGAGAUUCUAAAAAGGGUCGCCAGGAACUAGCUGAGAAAUUGGAAGAGGUUUUGGUGAGCAAGAGUAACUCGAGCAGAGUGGUAAGGAUCGGGUCAGGAUUGGGCGAGGCAAUAAAAGGCGAGCUGGUAAAGUGCCUACAGUCCCACGCAGAUAUAUUUGUCUGGUCGCAUGAAGACAUGCCAGGAAUUGAUCCCGGGGUAGCUUGCCACAAGUUGGCAAUUAGGAAAGGGGCAAGACCGGUGAGGCAGAAAAGGAGGUUUUUUAACCAGGAAAGGUACGAGGCCAUGCUGAGGUGGAGAAGUUGUUGAGAGCAGGAUUUAUAAAGGAGGCUAAAUACCCAUAGUGGAUUUCCAAUGUAGUGUUGGUAAAGAAGGCCAACAGGAAAUGAAGAAUGUGUAUGGAUUUCACGGACCUGAACAAGGCAUGCCCAAAGGAUAGUUUUUCCCUACCUAAAAUAGAUCAAUUGGUUGACUCAACAGCGGGUCACAGUCUGCUUAGCUUCAUGGAUGCCUUCUCGGGAUACAACCAGAUACCCAUGGACAAGCAGGAUGAGGAGUGUACCACCUUUAUAACUAACAUGGGUUUGUUUUGCUACAGGGUGAUGCCCUUUGGCCUAAAAAAUGCAGGGGCUACCUAUCAAAGGUUGGUGAAUAAGAUUUUCAAACCAUUGAUCGGUCACACUAUAGAGGUAUACGUGGACGAUAUGAUCAUGAAGUCUAAAAGACCAAUGGAUUAUGUGAAGCACUUGGAAGAGACCUUUGAACUACUGAGGAAAUACCAAAUGAAGUUGAAUCCGGAGAAAUGUGCGUUUGGAGUUAGCUCGGGCAAGUUUUUGGGAUUCCUGGUGAGCCACCGAGGGAUCGAGGCCAACCCGGAAAAAAUACGAGCAGUAAUAGAAAUGAAGUCCCUCCAAACAGUUAAGAAGGUGCAAAGUCUUACGGGGAAAUUGGCAGCAUUGAACCGGUUCAUCUCGCGGGCCACGAAUAAAUGUCACCCUUUCUUCCAAACCAUAAAGAAAGGGAGGAAAAUUGAGUGGACAUCAGAAUGUGAGGAGGCAUUCGGGCAGUUGAAGGAAUAUCUUGCCCGUGCCCCGUUACUAUCGACUCCGAGAGAAGGUGACAAGCUGUAUUUGUACUUGGUUGUCUCUAAAUGGGCUACCAGCUCGGUAUUAGUUAGAGAAGAAGAAGGAAAGCAACACCCCAUGUAAUACAAUAGCAAGGCCCUUGUGGACGCAGAAACUAGAUAUCCACUGAUGGAGAAAUGGGUGUUAGCUUUAAUAACGGUAGCGUACAAGCUCAGACCGUACAUUCAGGCCCACUCGAUAGUAGUGAUGACUGACCAACCUCUUUGGCAAAUGCUCCAAAAACCAGAUGCUUUUGGUCGGCUAGUAAAAUGGUCUGUAGAGCUGAGCGAAUUUGAUCUAUCUUAUAAACCACGAGGAGCAAUCAAAGCCCAAGCCCUGGCCGAUUUUAUGGUUGAUCAUGUUGAACCAGGGGAAGAAGUUCAGGAGGAGCAACCAGCUGAACAGGAGAAACCAAAGAGGGUGUGGCUGGUAAUAGUUGAUGGGUUGCGUAGUGAACAGAGAUCCGAAGCAGGAGUGGUAAUACGAAGCCUAGAAGGGGCCGAGGUAUCCUAUGCAGUAAAAUUUGAAUUCCAGCUCACGAAUAACUAAGCCGAAUAUAAAGCCUUCAUCACUGGGCUCGGGCUUGCACACACAUUACGAGCAGAGAGGGUAGAAAUCCGAGCAGACUCCCAAUUAGUCUGUAAUCAGCUCAGUGACUAAUUCCAAGCGAGGGAAGAGAAGAUGGGACUUUAUUUGAAGAAGGCAAAGCAGAUGGUUGGGCUUUUCCAAAAAGUAGAAAUAAAGCAGAUAUCCCGAAAUGAAAAUUACCGAGCAGAUAUAUUGGCCAAAAUGGCCAUAAUUACGGAUCCAAAGUUACCCAAGUCAGUUCCAUUGGAAGUGAGGACCUCGCCAAGUAUAGGGGAGGAGGUAGAAGUAAUGCGGGUGAACACUAAAAAAUCCUGGAUGGACCCGAUUCUCUCAUACAUCCGCGAUGACAUUUUACCAUAAGACAGGAAGCAAGUAAGAAAGUUAAAAUGUCGGGCAGCAAGGUAUAUGCUACUCGAUGGGGUACUCUACCGUCGAGAAUUCACUUUGCCCCUUUUGAGAUGUUUGGAUGACGAGGAAGAAAAUUAUGUGCUGAGGGAGGUUCAUGAAGGAAUAUGCGGCAACCACUCGGGGGUAUGGACUUUGGUCUUCAAGGCACUCCGGUAAGGGUACUUCUGGCCGACUAUGCACCAGGAUGCGAAGGGGAUGGCAAAAAACUAUAAAGUCUGCCAAAGCUUCUCGGAGGUUCCUACUCAACCCCUAGAAAAGCUAACCGCUAUGUCAUCCCCAUGGCCUUUUGCCCAGUGGGGAAUUGACCUGAUUGGCCCAUUACCCAAAGGCCGAUGAGGCGCAACACAUGCAAUUGUGGCUAUAGAUUACUUUACUAAAUGGGUAGAAGUGGGAGUCCUCAAUCAAAUUACGGAGAGAAAGACAACAGAUUUUAUCUGGAAGAAUAUCAUCUGCAGAUACGGAAUCCCUAUGCAAUCAUAACAGACAAUGAGAGGCAGUUUGACAACCACAACUUUUGAGAAUUUUGCCAAAACUUGGGUGUCGAUCUGAAGUUUUGUACCCCGGCACACCCCUAGGCAAACGGGCAAGUAGAAGCAGCCAACAAAGUAAUAAAGAAACUUCUGAAAACCAAGCUAGGAGAGAAGAAGGGAGCUUAGUUCGACGAGCUACCAAGAGUGUUAUGGGCCUACCGAACAACCCAUAAAACUGCCACAGGAGAAACCCCGUUUGCCUUAGCUUUCGGUCAUGAGGCAGUAAUCCCAGUAGAAAUGGGGGUGGGAACACAUCGGACAGAGUAUUUCAACGAGGAACAAAAUGACAAGCAGAUUUGCAUGAGCCUGGACCUGCUGGAAGAAAAAAGAGAAGGGGCAUCGCAGAGAGUGGCCAAAUGCCAGCAAAGAAUCAUGCGCUAUUACAACAAGAAUGUACGCAUGAGACAAUUUCGAGCAGGAGAUUGGGUACUUAGAAAAGUGAACCAAAACACAAGAGAUUCUAAUCAUGGCGUUCUUGGCCCGAAAUGGGAGGGCCUGUACAGAGUAGUACAAACAACUAGCCCAGGAGCUUACAAGCUGACUUACCCAGAUGGACGAGAUGUGAAGAGGUCGUGGAACGCCGAGCACUUGAAGAAAUACUUCCAGUAAGCAAAGUGCUUUACCAAGUUUUUAUUUUGAUAAGCUAUUUCUGUUAAAUGCAUGAUGAUGAAUUGUGACACAUGCAUGUAUUUCGCCUUUUGUAAUCUAUGCAAAGUUCAAUAAAGAUGAAUUCAGCAUAAAGUUCCCUUGCUAGACAAAUUUUACUAAGACAAGCAAGUGCCUAUUCCUGCUCGGUCGCCUAAAGGGCCAGCAGGCAAAAUCCAUUAAAUUUACUAAGGCAAGCAAGUGUCUAUUCCUGCUCGGUCGCCUAAAGGGCCAGCAGGCAAAAUCCAUUAAAUUUACUAAGGCAAGUAAGUGCCUAUUCCUGUUCGGUCGCCUAAAGGACCAGCGAGCAAAAUCCAUUAAAUUUACUAAGGCAAGCAAGUGCCUAUUCUUGCUCGGUCGCCUAAAGGGCCAGCAGGCAAAAUCCAUUAAAUUUACUAAGGCAAGCAAGUGCCUAUUCCUACUCGGUCGCCUAUAGGACCAGCAGGCAAAAUUCAUUAAAUUUACUAAGGCAAGCAAGUGUCUAUUACUGCUCGAUCGCCUAAAGGACCAGCAGGCAAAAUCCAUUAAAUUUAUUAAGGCAAGCAAGUGCCUAUUCCUGCUCAGUCGCCUAAAGGACCAGCAGGCAAAAUCCAUCAAAUUUACUAAGGCAAGCAAGUGUCUAUUCCUGCUCGGUCACCUAAAGGACCAGCAGGCAAAAUCCAUUAAAUUUACUAAGGUAAGCAAGUGCCUAUUCCUUCUCGGUCAUUGAAGGACCAGUAUGCAAAAUUCUACGAAACCGUUAAAGCAAGGAAUCGUCUAUUUUUCCUCAGUCACCCAGAGACAAGCAAACAUAUUUUUUAAAGUAAUUUGCAAAAACAACUCGUAAGCAAAAUCAUGGCAAGAAAGCAACCAAAAAGUGUCAAACAUUUAUAAACAUCCAAGCGUUUGUAAACAAAUGAAAAUUCAGAAUUUACAUAAAAAGCAAGCCUAAGGAUUAUGAGGUUCAGCGGCCUCAGUAGGAGAAGGAUCAGUAGUCUCGAAAAGAGGAGGACUAGCGACUUCUGGAGGAGCAGACGUUGACCCAUGGCCUACUUCCAGGGCGUGAUCCCCUGCUUCCUCCUCCUGCACCCCACCUGGAGGUGCCUCAACCUGAUCCUGGUCCCCUUGGUCCUUAUUUUCCUGAUCUAACUCGGCCAUAUACUUCUGCACUCCUGCCUCCAGCUUGCUCAUGUUAAGUUCUAGAUAUUCCUUCUUAAGCACAAACAUGAUGCACUUGUAGCUAAAGGCGAGCCCAAAGUUAUACUCUGCAUCCAGCCAAUCGUCCACCUCAGCAGAUUUACCUUUCAGUUCGGCUACCUGCUCAUUCAAGGACUUGAUUUGCUCCUCGAGGGUCGUCCUCAAGGUAUCUCGUUCACUUUGAGUAGCCUGGAGAUUAGACUUCAGGUCACCUAACUUGCUCUUAAGCUUGGAGGAGUUGGACUCAACAAUGGCCACUUUCUCCUCCAGGUCCAUGAGCUGCUUGUGCAAAUCAACCAGCUUCUCCUUCGAGCGAUCAGCAAAAUCAGCCUUUUUCUUCAAGUCCUGGUUGUCAGCUUGAAGCCUCCUCUCAUGGCGUGUGGAUUUGUUCUUGUAGCAAGAAACCAAAGUAGCCAACUUAAAGGAGACCCUCUGAACGGAUCCAGCUAACUCGCUAAGGUUCAUGCUCUCAAUAUCUUUGACCAUUUUGGGUCCCACCGACUUGCCAUAGUCCCUCUGGUAUGGGGUCAGAUAGUCACUCUGGUCCCGAGGCGGAAGAGGAGAUGAUCGGUCUCCAGAUUGAAUAUUGACCUCAGGACUCUUGUCGCUAACCUUCUCCCCCCCUCCCCCCCCAUUGUUUCGAGGUGGAGGAGGAGGCAGAGCAGGAGCAGAAGCCUUGGAAGAACCAAUAUUGGUUUUCUUCAGGGGAGGGGGAGUUACUGGAGCCACCUGAACCCCGAGCACGUUUCCUUGACAUAGCGCUAAGGAUCUUAUUAUCCAUCCCGACAGCUACGUCCACUAAGCGUGACCCAACGAGAUUUAUUGACGACAGGAGAUCUUGAUAGGUAGACAUAUUCACCAGAGCAGUUUCCACCUUGAGCAAUGGUUUGUCGUCAAGUUUCUUGAUCAGGCCCCACGACUCUGAAAGAAUAAACAAGGUUAAGGAACCCAAUAAGUAACGAUCAGAGAAGUGAAAUAUGCAGAAAAAAUAAACGACCUGGGGUGACAAAAUACGUUGGAAGGUGAAUAUCACCACCAAGCGAAUGGAUUGCUGGACACCAAUUUCCCCCAGCAAAGAAGAAUUUAUUUUUCCAAUUUUUACAUGAGGAAGGAAAGCCGAUGAUAGGCUUCUUUUUUACAGAGCUUGACAUGAAGUAGUACCAGCCUGCUUCCUUUGGGCUGCUCCUCAGCUGAUACAAAUGCUUUACUUCCACAAGGGAAGGCUCUCCGAGCCCACACCUUUCCCAUAGCACAUACAAGGCUGAAAGAACCCCCUAUCUGUUCGGGUGAAGCUGACUUGGAGCCAGGUGCAUACCACCCAAUAUCCUGGCAAAGUAAGGUUGAAGGGGCAACCAAGCUCCUAACUUGAAACUCUCCAGAUGCAUCGUUACAUACCCCCUUGGAGGCCGACUGAGGACGUCACUUUUCUCAGGGAUUACAAGGAGAACCUCUUCAAGGAUAUUGUAAAGAUUUCUAAGCUUGAAUAGGUCAGUGUGGGUAGUAGCACAGGUAAUAUAGUCAAUGGGGUAAGCUUCUGCCUCCAUCCUAUGACCAAGGUUUCUCUUCUUAGAGGGUCUGCUCGGCUCGAAACUGUUAUCCUCACCGUCACCCACUUCCUCAGAGACCCCAGCCCCCCCAGAACUGUGAUUUUCACCAGAGCCCAAAGCUGGUCCACCGCGGUUUCCCACGGGUUCUAAAUCAAGGGAAGGCAAAGUGGUCAUGGGGCGAGGGUAUUCAAGGGUAUCCCUAUGAUAGGAGGGACCUACACAACAAGAAGAGCAUAGGGGAUCAUUGGGUCCAAAUAGGUUGGGGUAUGAAUCCUCUACCUCUUCGUCACUCUCAUCUACAAUUAUUUUUCCCUUUCGGUUUGACAUAUCGAAAUCUUAAAAGGGAAAACACAGCAAAUCCAAGUAUAUGGGUACAAAAAAAGGACAAUACAGAACCCAAGCAACAACAACCUGAGAAGAAGUUAAAUGCGAUACCUGGAAUAGAUUGGCACUGGUAGCGUUGCCGUGACGGAGAAAGGGCCCAGCAAACAGAGGUUUCUAACGCGGAAAGUGCGAUUAAAGUCCAAAGAGGGAGUUGGCUUACGGUAGAAUGGCAGAUAGCGAAACGCGAUGGUAGUUUCAAUUUAGGGAUUUGAAAUGAAAAUGGGGAAUGAAGGCGUUUAAGUUACGCGGAGGCCAGUUCAAUUGCCGUAUAUCGAAGACAGAUAAGCCAUCAUUUCAAAUUUCAAAUGCAAAAGGACAAGAAGCGACACGUCACUGGCCGUUAGAAAAGGCCUGAUGAGAUGUUAGCCCAGUUAUAUAUUGGACACGCUCACGAAGGUCCAUACUCAGGCCGAAGUCUCCUUAAACAAAAGAAGGAACCUCAGAUCCAUCACAAUAACACGAAGACCAUAGAGAUAUUUCCCGAGGUCGGUAAGAUAUAAUUCUCAGUUUCUAAUCUCAACUCAUUUCACUCGCAAGACUAGAAACUGGGGGACUGGUGUUAAGUAAUAAAAAGUACCAGCUCGGCCAUGCCCUCAUUUUUUACCUCGAGGCAAAUCUCCUCAGCUGAAUGACACGAGAAGAGUUUGGGUAAAACAUCUUAUACGAGUAUGUGCCAACUAGAGACGAGCAUCAACUAGAGAAAUAUACCAACCAGAGAGGAACACCGACCAUAUGCUCGUCACCCAAAGAAAAUGCACACAAUCUCACGAAAUCGCGACAGUUUCGGUAUGCCCCGAACCGUUGGGAAGGACGUGGCAUCCCACGUUUACCCACAAUCCAGUGGUUGGAGACCCAUGAGGGUCUGCCAUCACCCGAAAAAGAGGGACAUAAAGAGUACGCAGAAACGUAAGACAACAGCUAUAAAAAGCCAGGAAACCGAUGAAAAAAUGGGGAGAAAAAUAAAAAAAAAAAAAGAAAAACUCUGCUAAAUUAAAACCCGAUGGUAUUCCAUACAAGUUUUUGAGAGCAUUACAAGAAAUCACACAAUCUAAAUUAUAUAGUUUUUCCGUAAAUACCUUGUGCUAACUUAAGCAUCGGAGGGUUUACGCCAGUAAAACUACCGGCGUCUCUGAUCCAUUUUUGUGAACGCAGGCUUAGGAAGAGGAAAAAGGGUGAUUCAAACCCCAGGGACUCAAGCAAUCGUUGAAACAGAAAGAAGGUGACAUCUUCUCUAUCGACCAUAUAAACGUUGGUGAAAAGAUCUGGUCGGGCAAAGGGCGAGCAGAUUUCAGCAUCAACACCAGGUAUUGAUGUCUAAAUAUAUGGUUGAUAAGGACAAUCUCCCUCUUGCACUUCCACCCCGAUAUGGAUCUCCAUUAUGGAAGGCUGUGGGAAAUGUCUUGAAUGAGGUUGUCCAAGGGACUCGUUGGGUUAUUGCGAAUCGGAGGCUAGCUAAAUUUUGGAAGGAAUCUUGGCUGGAGGUCAGAAUUUGUUUGCAAUAUUACGCUCUCGGAUCGAUCCAUGGGAACAUCCUAAAUGAGUGUAUGGCUAAUUUCGUUGAUGUUAUUGGUACUUGGAAAUGGGACCAUUUUUCUUCUUUGUUGCCACACUAUAUUCUCCUCAAAAUAGCUGGCACUAUGCCCCCUUCUACCAAUGGGGAAGAUGAUUGCCGUUAUUGGGGACCAGCGAGGUCGGGUUCGUUUAGUGUGAAAUCUACUUACUUAUCCCUCCUCAAGCCAUUGCCAAGUACGAAUAACUCCUUUUGGAGUUUGAUAUGGAAAUGGCAAGGCCCCCAAAGUAUCCAUUGUUUUCUGUGGCUACUGAUGCAUAAUCGUUUGAAAACCAAUGAGGAAUUAUCACGAAGACAUAUGCUUAAUAAUAGUAUUUGUAUGCGGUGUGGGCAUAUCAGGGAGGAUGCCCUUCAUACAGUCAGGGAUUGUGUGGACUCCAAAUGUAUUUAGUUAGCACUUCUUCCAGAACACACAAGGCAUACCUUUUUUGUGUUGGAUCUACGUGCAUGGAUUGUUUGUAAUCUGAAAAACCUAUUGAAGAUCACUAAGGAGACGGAUUGGCCAGUGUUGUUUGGUGUCACUGUGUGCAGAAUGUGAUAUUGGCAUAAUCAAUUUGUUCAUGCACAUAGGACGAGCAGCCUUUUCAACGUAAUCAUGGACCUGAAGAAUCGUUCGGAAGAGUCAUUGUUGUUUCUAAGUCUUUAUGUAAUCAAAGAAGGCCAAAAACCGUGCAUUGGAUCUCAUGGCAGCCCCCAACAUGGCCAUUUCUAAAACUCAAUAUGGAUGGAGCUUUGAAGAGAUCGGGUUUGGCAAGUGAUGGUGGCUUGGUAAGGAAUUAUUGUGGGGAAUGGAUUUGUGGUUUCAACAUGAAUUUGGGUAGUUGUUCCAUUAUGGAAGCUGAGUUGUGGAGGUUGUACCAAGGCUUAAAAAUUGCUUGGGACUAUGGUUUUCACUUACUGCAGGUUGAGGUGGAUAAUUUGGGAAUCACGCAACUCCUGACUACCUCUAGUGGUAACCAUAAUAGCAUAUCCUCGUUGUUAUAGGGCACCAAGAUUUACUUAACAGAGAUUGGCAUGUAUCAGUGAAGCAUGUGUAUAGAGAGGCGAAUUUUGCUGCCGAUUUCCUUGCAGGGAUGGCUCUCACCCUCCCCUUGGGUGCCAUACUCUUCAUUCACCUCCUAUAGGCGUGCAUUAUUGUUUGUUCAAUGAUGGACUAGGGACUGCUUUUUCUCGUUUUGUUUAGCGUAGCGGCAAUCUAGGCUCCUCUUGUACCCAAAAAAAAAAAAGGGGAAAACUCUGCCAUUUUGGAUCUAGAACUUAUUUCCAAAAAGCUUUCUAAAAAACUUCCUUCAUUUAAGAAUUGUUGGUUUUGAUAAUUCAAUGUUUUUUUCAAAAACCCUGCAUACUGACUUAAGUAUCGGAGGGUUCUCGUAGGAGAAACCACUGGCAUCCCUGAUCCAUUUGUGUGAGUGCAGGUCAGAAGAGAAGGAGCAAGGUUAGUUGAGGUCAUUAAACCUAGGGAUGGGCAAAAUACCCGAUCCGACCCGAUCCGAAAAUUUUCGGGUUCGGAUCGGGUUGUGAAUAAAACUCGAUCGGGUGCAAUUGUGUCAACCCGAUCGGGUCGUGUUUGGAUCGGUUAAAACCCGAUCCAAUCCGAAAACCCGAUCAAGUUGACAUAAAAUCAAAAAUCAUAACCCAAAGGCCCAAACCUUAUCCUAAUUCCUAAACACUCACUAUCACACACACCACUCAACACACGACACACACAACCCUUACAAACAAAAGCCUAACCACUGUAUAUGGCACAACUGCACAAGCACUAAGCAGCAGUGAGCAACCCACUGCCAACUAGUGCGUCAUCCACCCACAGGCGACGGCCUCCCUCGCUUGCAACUUGGAACCCACCACCGACAGCCACAUAGCCCGUCGCCUACAACAUCCUCCCUCAAACAAACAAAACACACACAUACACCCCCACACACGCACACACACAAAGUUAAUGCCUUAACAGAGCAAGCUGUAGCAGACCACCAUGCAGCAACCACCGAGCCUCCACGAGGAUCGUGAUCUGAUUCCGAUCGACCGAUCUACUGCUACAAAGUAUCGGAUCUACUGUGCCACCUCAAAGCCUCCAUUCCUCCACCAUCACCCGAUCCGAUUCAAGCUCCAUUAACCCAGCAAGCAGCAACCCGAAUUUUGGUUGUUGAGUCGAGUUUUGGAAGCUUUGAGUUUGAGCUUUGAAACUUGAUGGUGAUGAUAUUUGUGAAAGUAAAGUGUUAAAUGUUAAUAAGCAUUUUCCUAAUCCGACCUGUCUCGAACCAGAAUCCGAACCGAUCCAAACUCAACCCGAACUUAUAACCCGAUCUAAUCCGAUCCAAAGUUACUUUGGAUCGGAUCGGAUCGGGUUAUAAAUUCGGGUUGAAUUCGGAUGAAUUUUUAUUCAAUCCGACCAACCCGAAAUCCGAUUGGAUUGAUACGAACCCGACCCUAACCUGAUUUUGCCCAGCCUUAGUUAAACCAACUUGAUUAGAGAGAGAACGAGCAGCUUUGCGCCUCACCCAGAGAAAACUUAAGCGUUGACGAGAAAACCUUGUCGGUCCUCCACGUACGACCAUAUUUAUGCAUCAAUAUUUUGGCGCCGUCUGUGGGGAGCUGAACAAAAAGCUACCACUAGCAAAGCAACUCAUAGGGAGAAUUAGGCAUGUGGACAUGAAUAUGGGAAAGAGUGAUGCAUGAGCAAAUGAAGCUGAUGGAAAAGUAGAUGGAGACCCUCACCGCCAUCUUACAUGAGCUGAAGAACAAGCAAAGAAAGGCUUAUGAUGCAAAUGCAACAAGGGAUGAUGUUGCCAUAGAGCCCAGUCACCGAAGGAAUAGAAAUAAAGAGAUCCCUUCAAUAGGGGGAUAACUCAACGGGGUGCCUAACAAUGGAGUAGGAACUCAGACUUUGAGAGAAUGUGAGCACGAAGGGAGAGAUCAAUUCCACAAAUGGACAAAUCUUGAGAAGUUGUAGUAGAGGAGCGAAUGCCGAAGAAAGCAAGCUAAGGCAGCACCUACACAACAUCGAACAAGAAUGUGACUAGGUUGCAACACGUGAUCCUGGUUAAGCCUUGGAACUGGAGGGAGAAGUACGACGAUUGACACAAAUAAUAGACGAAAUGCAGGGCAGGAGAAAGCCCUUCAGUUGGAGAAUAAUGUUGGAUGACGAAUCUUGGCUUUCAGUUGAGAUUAUGGGCACUAUGAUAUUAAGAGAUUUUCGUUUUCCCAACCUCAAAUACUAAGGAAAAGUGACCCGCUGGUGCACGUCGAGCACUUCAAUGACAUGAUUGGAGUGCAGGGGCUAACACCAGCGCAGAGCUGCAGAGUAUUCUCUUUGACAUUGGAAGGACGAGCACGAGAUUGGUACCUUCCCUUUGACACCGGUAGGGACUUGCAACUUCCAAAAACCUUUGAUUAACCCAAAAAAAAAAAAAAUACAUAUAGUUUGAAAUUAUAUGAUGAUCGAUAGGUAUGUAAUUUUGUAGUAAUAUUUUAUUUGAUCAUUUAUUUUUUGGUAUUCCGUGAAAGGUGUGCAAAAUUAGAUAAUAUUUCUCUGAAACUUGUAUUCCUUCUGCGAAACAUCACAUGCUGAGAGCUUCGACUAAACUAGUUUCAAUUGUACGUCGACUAAACUAUCUGCUUAUUCUACGAUUAAUGCCAACUUUGAUGAUAUCAAGGCAGAAACAGAGAAGUGAAAGAGUGAAAGUACAGCCAUUCAGCGCAGAGUUUCUGAGACGAAAGCAAAGUGUAAGAGAUUGAAGAGAAGGCUGAGACCAGUGCGAAACUAGAUCAUUACUCAAGUCUCAUCACUAACCUCUUAGAUGUUUUGUUUCUGUAGGCUACACUGGUUGGUUCUAAUCACAAAACUUAGGAUUCUACUGGAAACAUGUUGUUCAAAAAAUUGCACAAUUCAAUCUUUAUUGUGGCUACCCAGACCGAAAUAAAUGCUCUAUUUGGUUUCACUUUGAAUUCUGCAAAUUUGUGAACAACAAUUUCCAGCAAGAUCCUCAAUUUGUGAUUAUAACUGAUGACGGUAAUCUAUAGAAGGAGAAAUCAUUUAGGACAUCAGUGAAAGAUUUGAGUAAUGAUUAUUCUUACCAACAAAUUCAUCAAUUUGUCAUGCAGACAGUAGACUCAAUUUACAAAAUUAUUUGUGGAUUGCUACAUCAAUUAUGUUGACAGAAAAGUUGAAGUUUGUUGGAAAACAAAGAGCAUUGUUAUUUGAACAGCUGCAAGAUAUUCGGAAGACAUGCAGAAAUAUGGGUAUUGCUUAUGCUAUAGUGCCAUUGCAGCAUAAAAUUGACAGCAAUGUUUAUGCAACAGUACUGUCUUUUUUUGUCUUCUUAGUGUUUUGCUGAUACACAAAUAUCAUUUUCCACAAACAAAACAUGUAAUAGCAUGCUCCAGGAGCAGUUUCUUACACUCUUGAAGUAGCCUACAAUAAGAUCAAAUCGAACAUUCUCCCUCAAUUUAGUGUUCUAAAACUGAUUUAUAUCUUAACAUAGAAAUGCAAUCUAAAAGCACUAUUAACGAAAGCUCUUCUUGUUUGCAUUAAAAACCAAGAAGAGCUUAUUGUGGUGGGGGGUGGGGGGGUGUGGGGGGGAAAGAGAACCUCAGUCAAAUAAGAUAAAAUUACUUUGGAUGGGUUAUUUACUGUCUAAAAAAAAUUCUAAACACUAUUAUAUUUUAUUGGCUCAUCUAGUAAAUUUAAAAUUUUUAUUUUGCAUACUCUAUUAAAUGUAAAAAACAAAUAUCAUCACACAAAACGACAUGAAACCAUCUAUGUAGCAUCUGAAAUGAGGCCAUUUUUCUGUAUAAUUUUUGAGGCAUUGUAUUAUAUGGAGCUUGAUUUCUUUCUCUUUAUCAAGGGUAAGAUGGCGUUGGCGAUCAAUAGGGUCCCCCUGUUUCUUUGUUUUCAUUAAUAUUACUUCGAAUCCGCUUUCAGGUUGAGUGUCUAAAGAUUUUAUUAAACUUGUGUUUAGUUAAAUGUAUUGAAUUUCUGGAGUAUUUGGUAGUUAAUGAUGAAACUCGGCAUUAGAUGAACUUACAAUCAUUCUAAUGAUAAAUGUUUUUGUCAUCGAAAGUCAUUGAGUAUUAUUGCGGCAGUAAGCUACGUUGAACUAGCAUUCAAGAUAUAACUAUCAAAACAUGUACGUGAUUGCCACUGGUAUUAAAAUCAAAACAUUCAUGCAAUGAUUAAUGAUCUUAAAUUUAAGGUUAAAAAUGACCUAAUCAAUUUCAGCAACUACAUCCAAAUGAUUUUGGUUUUGAUGUUUACAAAUACAUGUAACAUAUAUGUAUUUCUUUUAAAAAUUAUCAUAUGAUUAAUACUUAUAUUUAAUUCACACACACAUCAUUCAGCUUUUGGAAUUCGUCAUUUGGGUCCUCACGUGUAAGCAUCACGUGCACCACUCAUUCUGAGUUUCUAACCAAGUCAAAGUUCAGUUAAAAUUCUUUGCAGCAGGAAGGUGGUGUGGUUUGGUGACUGGUGAAUAGCUCACUCAACUUGUGAACCGUGAUUAGUCAAAUAAUCAAGUACACGUUUCGAAGAAUAACCUCGGAAGGUCUGUCCAGUGUCCACUGUCCAGUAUGAUGACAUGUCAGCAACGUUUUACAACAGGAUCAAGAAGCAGCUAUGGUGUAAGCAUGGUAGUGACAGCGUAGAAGCUGUGUAUGCAUAUCACCCGUCUGUUGAAAUGCUCGCAGUAAUCAAACCUCUUAUAACACUGCUUCAUCUGUCAAGUCAAAUUUUCCUCGGAGUCAAGAAAUGGAGAACUAACAGGUAUGCAUUUCUUAAACCAUUAUUAUAUUCAAACACAAGGAUUCGUAUAAAAGCAUAUCGUUAUUAUAUUCAAACACAGGGAUUCGUGUAAAAGCAUAUUAAUGAAUAUGAAUCUGAUCGCUUUAAACUUUAAUUAACAUGAAACUAAGCAUGACGGAAUCAGCAUUUCUUGAUUUUCUUCAAUUAGCAGAUGCGUGAAUAUGCUCGUGUUUGUGCCUUGUAUUCAUAUAAACGAAAACCUGGUCUAUAAUUCAAUAGUUUAUUAUAUUAUUGGAAUUAAAUAAGUAUAAAAGUGUCCCGGAUGCAUGAUCAGUGAUCACAUCACAAGCCUUGUUGUGCUUCAUCUCACGACGGCUGCUUUAUGUUUGCUUGAGUUGCUUCAUAUAUAGCAGUUAGCAGAUGGCCAAAGUUGGCAAUGGCAUGUGGCAAGCUUAGCAAUUAUAUUAAGCACCUGCCAAGGACACCAGGUUAAUUUUUAUCUCUCAACACUCUGUUUUGCACCGAGAUAUCCAAUAUAUACUGGUUUAUCAAAUAAUUGAUUAAUGCUGAUUGUAUCAGUCUCCUAAUUAGUUAAAUGUUGUUGAAGAUAUAGUUGCUGCUGAGCUGGACAGAGCUGCUGAGCUGGACAAGAUUGAAUGUAACUGAAUGACAUGUUUCAAGAGCUCAAUGGCUAAACUAAAUCUGAAGUUGUUAUUAGUUGUUUUGCAGUUGUUUAAUUAGUUAGAAUAAUUGUAUAUAAGCUUAGCUAAGUAAGCUUAAUAAGCAUUGAAUAUUCUGGUUAAUAAAAUCGUGAAGUUUCCUUUUUCAUUUUCUCUGUUUUUCUUUGUUUCCAAACAUCUUAUUAUGAAUUCUAAUAUGGUAUCAGAGCCACGAAACAUGACGAAUCAAAGCAAUUCAGGAUCGUCUUCACUUUCUUUUUCUUUUAUUCAACCAACAAAACUUGAUCGAACAAAUUAUCUGGUGUGGAGAGCUCAAAUUCAAGCUUCGAUUAUUGCCAAUGGACUUGAAGGUUUUAUCAAUGGAGAAUCUCCUUGUCCAGAUCGUUUUCUUUCCUCAUAUGAGAAUGCUGCCAGUAGAUCAGAAGCUCCUAGCUCAAGCAGACGUGAGAAUUCUGACUAUAUUGACUGGAAGAAAGCUGACAAGCUUCUACAGAGCUGGAUGCUGUCAUCUAUGGUAGACAAUGUACUUAUCAUGGUUGUGGAUUGUGAUACUUCACUUGAGAUCUGGGAGAAACUUGCCGAGAUGUUCAUGUCACAGUCAAAGGCUAGAUACAUGCCUCUGAAAAUACAGAUUCAAACCACAAAGAAAGGAGCUAUGUUAGUAAGUGAUUACUUCAAUAAGAUGAAAAAAAAAUUGCAGACAGCUUAGCUAUUGGUGGUAAUCCUCUUGCUUCAACAGAUUUUAUAAUGCAUUUGCUCACUGGUUUAGAUGACAACUAUGAGUCAUUAGUGACAACUAUACUUGCUAGGCUGGAAAAAGAUAAUCUCACUAUUGAAGAAGUGUAUUCCUUAAUGCUUAGUCAUGAAACUAGGGUUGAGAUGAGUAAGGGAAAGGUGCAAAAUGAAUUGUUGCAUGAUAUGUCAGCUAAUUUUGCUCAGAAAGGACAGAAUUACAAUAAGUUCAAUAAUGCUAAUCAGAGAGGUUUUAAUGGUGGAAAUUUUGAUAAUGGCAAAGGAGGAUAUAAUGUUGAUAAGGAAGUAAUUUGUCAAAUAUGCUUCAUACCUGGUCAUGGAGCAUACAAAUGCAGGAACAGAUUUAAUCAGAACUUUAUUCCUAGACAAGGAAGAGGUGGCUUUAGGCCUAGAGGUGGAUUCAAUUUUAGAGGCUUUCCUGGUCAGCCUCAGAACAUGUUUGGAAGAGGUUAUGGAAAUUUUUAUGGAACUGCAACUGGUGCUCCUAGAUAUAAUGCACCCAUGUUUCAAGGGAAUGUUGCAUAUCAGAAUGCAAAUGUUAUGUAUCCUCAAGGGUUUCCUGUGUUUCAAGGAUUACAAGGUCAAUACAAUGGUGCAAUUGCUACUCCAUUUGCUAACUAUGGAGUUGCUCCUUCUGCUAUUCCCACUGCACAAUUUGCUCCCACUGGUCCAGUUGCUGAUUAUGGAGUUGUAGCUGAUCCUGCUUGGUAUAUUGACUCCGGGGCAACCAAUCAUGUGACUAAGGAAGCAGGUAUCUUUUCUUCUUACUCAGUUUAUCAUGGUUUUGAUAAGCUACAUGUACGAAAUGGCAUGGGAUUACAUAUUAAACAUGUUGGGUGCACACGAUUGAAUACACUUGCUGCAACAUCUAUCUAUCUUAAUAAUAUUUUGCAUGUCCCAACUAUAACCAAAAACCUUUUAAGUGUAUCUAAAUUACUUGCUGACAAUGAUGUUGUUGUUGAAUUCCAUAAAACCUCAUGUUUUGUCAAGGACAAGAAAUCAGGGAUCAUCUUGCUCAAGGGGAUUGCUAGAGGAGGAUUAUAUCAAGUUGAAGGUCCUGUUGUAGUGUCUCAUGCUGCAGUUUCAAAUAGAGUUCCGUCUAAUGUUUUCUGUGUCAUCUCAAAUUCCAGUUCUGUGUCAAAUGUCUGUUCCUCUCCAGUGUCAAUGAUUAGUCAUUCCAAUGUUUCAAACUCUGUACAUUCUGGAGAAAUUUUGACAGAUGUAAAUAUUUCUCAAUUCAAUAAUGAUGCCUCAAUGGCCUUGUCUGUUACUCAUUCAAAAUCAGUUGAUUACAAUGUUUUACAUAAAAGAAUGGGUCAUCCAACUGUGCAUGCUCUUAAACAAAUUGUGAAGCAUUUGCAUCCUUCUCUCGAUAUCAAUAGAGCCCUGAAACCAAUUUUUUGUAAUGCUUGCCAAUUUGGAAAGUGUCACAUGCAGCAUUUUCCUUCUAUAGACACCACUACCAUUCAACCACUGGAGCUGUUGCAUGCUGAUCUAUGGGGUCCAGCUCCUUUGCUGUCCUCUCAAGGCUAUCACUACUAUCUUUCUAUCUUAGAUGAUUUCACUAGGUUCACCUGGAUAUUCCCUCUUGUUACCAAAUCUCAAGCCUUACAAACCUUUAUUGAAUUCCAGCAUAUGAUAGAAAAAUGCCUAAAUAGGAAAAUCAAGUGUCUUCAAACAGAUUGGGGAGGUGAAUUUAGGCCAUUUCUUCCUUAUCUUGCUGAGCAGGGAAUCCAAUUUAGACAUCCUUGUCCUUAUAUUCACCAUCAAAAUGGAAAGAUUGAACGCAAACAUAGACAUAUAGUGGAAACAGGCCUUACCCUUCUUGCUCAAGCACAUUUACCACUGAAAUUUUGGUGGAAUGCUUUCCAUACUGCCACAUUUCUCAUAAAUAGGCUCCCUACACCCAUUCUAGAUAACAAAUCACCUUUUGAAAAAUUAUUCAACAAAAGACCAGAUUAUUCUGUUAUGAGCGUUUUUGGAUGUGCUUGUUUCCCAUAUCUGAGGCCUUAUAAUCAUCAUAAGUUAGAGUUUCGAACUGCUAGAUGUAUUUUUCUUGGUUACAGCUCCCUUCACAAAGGCUACUUGUGUCUUCAUUCCUCUGGUAGAAUCUAUGUCAGUAACCAUGUUACAUUUGAUGAGUCAUGUUUUCCUUUUCAGUCAGGAGUUGAUUUUUCCUCUGUCAGUCACUCUUGCUCUUCUUCAGAUCAUUCAUCUCAGUCUUCUUCACAUUGUUCAUCUUCUGUUUGUCCUUUGAUUCAACUUGAUAUAACCAAGUCUUCAUCCUCUACAGCAGCUGAUCUCAGGUUCUCUCAAUCCUCUCCAGACUCUCCUUCUCAAUCUUCUAUACAAUCACACUCAGAACCAUCUACCUCACCUGUUCAUCAUUUAACUCCACCAUUGCAGUCAUCUACUGGUCAUCCAAUGCUCACUCGAUCAAAGGCUGGUAUCUUCAAACCUAAAGCCUAUAUUACAGCCAAUCCUACCAAACCUACAGAACCUGCUACUACCUCAAAAGCCCUUCAAGAUUCAGCUUGGCAUAAAGCAAUGACAGAUGAAUAUCAAGCCUUAGUCAAUAAUCAUACCUGGACUCUUGUCAAACCUACACAUCCCAUUAAAGUAAUUGGGAAUAAGUGGGUAUUUCGGAUUAAAUAUAAUCCUGAUGGCAGUGUCUCUAGAUACAAAGCUAGACUUGUUGCUAAGGGAUUUCACCAAACUCAAGGGCUGGAUUUUCAUGAAACAUUCAGUCCUGUCAUUAAGUCUUCAACCAUCAGAAUUAUCUUGAGUAUGGCUGUCAUGAAUCAUUGGGUACUGAGGCAAAUAGACAUUAAUAAUGCCUUCCUUAAUGGCUACCUCACUGAAGAAGUUUAUAUGCAACAGCCUGAGGGGUUUAUAGAUAGUUCCAGGCCUGAUUAUGUCUGUAAGCUGCACAAAGCCCUUUAUGGCCUUAAACAGGCUCCAAGGGCAUGGUUUGACAGACUCAAACUAGUUCUUACAACUCAGUGGGGCUUUACAAAUUCUAUUUCAGACACUUCACUCUUCUUUAAGAGCACACAAGGUCAUCUGCUACUUGUCUUGGUGUAUGUAGAUGAUAUUAUUAUUACAGGCUCCAAUCCUCAGCUUGUUCAGCAGACCAUCACCAACUUCCAGUCUGUUUUUGCACUUAAAGAUCUUGGUGCAUUGAAUUAUUUUCUGGGAGUUCAGGUCAUUUACAAUAAAUCUGGUAUUCAUCUUUCUCAAUCCAAGUAUAUCACUGAUUUGCUUGCCAAGGUGCACAUGCAGGAUAGUACUCCUUGUUCUACUCCUAUGCUUUCUGGAGUGGCUUUUACUAAAGCUGAUAGUGAACCCUUUUCUGAUGUUACUCUAUACAGAAGCACCAUAGGUGCUCUUCAGUAUGCAACAUUGACCAGACCAGAGAUUGCUUUCUCUGUCAACAAGCUCAGUCAGUUUCUAUCUUCUCCAACUGUCAAUCAUUGGCAGGCUUGUAAAAGGGUUUUACGUUAUCUGAAGGGUACUGUUAAUCUUGGUUUACAGUUCUACAAUCAUGGCAGCAUACAGAUUGAUUGUUUCAGUGAUGCUGAUUGGGCUGGAGACAGAGAUGAUAGGAGGUCAGUGGCUGGUUAUUGUGUCUAUAUGGGUCCAAAUCUAGUGUCUUGGUGCUCUAAGAAACAGGCAGUGGUCUCUCGAUCUAGUGCUGAGUCUGAAUAUCGAGCACUAGCAAUGGCAGCAGCUGAAGUCUUGUGGAUUCGUUCUCUUCUUGCUGAGAUUGGUCUUACUCUUCCCUCCAUUCCAAUCAUAUGGUGUGAUAAUCAAAGUGCAGCUGCUUUAGCCUCUAAUCCUAAGUUUCAUUCCAGAACAAAACACAUUGAAUUAGAUGUUCAUUUUGUUCGAGAGAAAGUUGCUGCUCAAUGUCUUAAGGUUCAAUAUAUUUCUAGCUCAGAACAAACUGCUGAUAUUCUCACCAAAGCUCUUUCUUAUCACCCUUUUCUCUACUUACGUGACAAGCUCAACCUUACUUCCUCGGUUGAGCUUGAGGGGGGAUGUUGAAGAUAUAGUUGCUGCUGAGCUGGACAGAGCUGCUGAGCUGGACAAGAUUGAAUGUAACUGAAUGACAUGUGGCAAGAGCUCAAUGGCUAAACUAAAUCUGAAGUUGUUAUUAGUUGUUUUGCAGUUGUUUAAUUAGUUAGAAUAAUUGUAUAUAAGCUUAGCUAAGUAAGCUUAAUAAGCAUUGAAUAUUCUGGUUAAUAAAAUCGUGAAGUUUCCUUUUUCAUUUUCUCUGUUUUUCUUUGUUUCCAAACAUCUUAUUACGAAUUCUAAUAAAUGUGAAAACAUUAUAUUAUAUACUAGUUGUAGUUGGUUGAUUUUUCUUUUAAUCUUCAUGUGAUACCAGAAUUAUACCAGUAGUCCGCAAGCUCGGGUUUCCAGCCGAUAUACCUCUGUAAUCAAAAACCUUUAAAACAUUUUUCUCAGGUUAUACAACCCAAAACAGACUUUCCUUUAGUCUAAAACAGGGUACCAAACCAGAUAAGAAAUGGUCAAAAGUUUUCUGAUGCACAGGAUCCUUACUAGAAGGCAAGUGCAGAGCAUACUUCCUUAGGUUUUCAAAAUGAACAAAUUUAAUCCUUUAUUCUUUUUCUUUCUUAGAACUUCAUUUGCAGAGAGAGAGAGGAGAGUUUAGAAAUUCAUGGAAGAAAGCACACGAGUUGUUAUUUCUGGAAAACUUCUAUAUUUUUCUAUCUCUUACAAGCAAGGGGAGAAUCCUUUAUAUAGAGGAGGAUUCUUGAGAAGAUAGGACAUGACCCCUAUCUUUUACAAAAGUAAAAGCAAAAGAUAAGAUAAGAUAGGAUAGGACCCCUAUCUUUUACAUAAUGGCACAACUUUAAUUAUUACAAAAGACAAAAGUGCUUUAAUAAUUAAAGCAUGACUUUGACAAAAGCAAAAGCAAAAGCUUAAAGUAAAAGCAAACUUUAAUAAUUAUGCAAGCAUAAAGCGAAACAUCAUUAUGACAAUAAGACAAACUACUUUAUGGAAAGCAAUAAGACAAACAACUUUAUGGAGAGCGGAGGUUCAUGUACUCGUCUUCGGAUGAGCUUUCGGUCUCAUCUGGGUUGUCAGGGUUGCCUUUUGGGAAAAAGAUCUUGGAGAGCUUUGGAUGCUUGCAGGAGGGACCACGGCAUGGUGGAUAAGGGCAAUUAUAGUCUCUGGGAGUACACUUUGGAGUAUACUUAGGGGAAGUUUGGGUGGCUUUGUCAACUUUGGAUGGUUGAGCGGGUCGUUUGGAGGAUUGAGUUGAGGGUCCUGGUUCAGAGGGGCCAGGUUCAUCCAUUGUCGGUUGGGGAAACUGGUGAAGGUGUUGGCUCAGAGGGAGAAAUGCAUCCCAUGGGUCUUGGGAAUCCUGGAACAGGAAAUCAGUGUAGUCUGGUUUUUCUUCUUUGAUGAUGAUACCUGUGGACUUUGGUUUGGAUAUGGCAGAUGGAGUGGGGAUCAUGAGGAGGUCAUGCUGUGGACCUAAGGAGGUGUGGGAGAUAUCUUUAAGUGGCGGAGGUUGGUGGUUCAAUUGGCAAAGGUAGUUGUGCAGGACAUCUUGUAUGUCAUUUUCAAUUACAGCUAUAUGUGGUGCAGUGAACCAUUCAUAUACCUGGUCUUGAGUCCAAAAGAGUUUGGUGUCUGGAUGUUGAAAGUAUGGCCUGUGAAUAAUAAAGACUGAUGUGAACAGUGGUGCUUCAAGGGCAGGCAUACGAUCAAGGUUGUAAAUUUCUGACAGUUGUUGGAGCUUCCUUCUCCACCAUGGUAUGGGGGAGAACCAUUCAAGUAAUGUCCAGGUAAGAGAGGUGGCUUUGUCUGGGUCAAGGAGAUGCUCCAAAGUGGGAGUAAUUGGUAGGACUAACUUAGUGGCAUAAAGGACUGUUAGGCACCAGAUGUACCAUAACACAUCUUCAGUGGUUUCUCUGGUUGGAUCAAGGGUUAAACCUGUAAGGAACAGAUUUUCUGGGUGGAAAGUGGAAAAAGGAAAAGGGUCUGUGACAAGGUAGGCUUUCAUGAAGAAGCGAAAAAGAGCUUUUCUUGCAAACUCUUGGAUGGCGAAGACAGAAGAAAAGGUUUUAUUAAAGGGAAAAGUUUUCUUGGUGAGAGCUUGUGGGGGUAGUGAAGUAGCCAUGGAGAUAAUUGGAAAAUGGUAGGUGGUGGAAAACAGGAUGAGAGGGUUUUCUGGUUUGGAGAGUCUGGAGAGCAUAUCAGGGAUGAGGUUCUGGGAUCCCUUUAUAUGCUUGACUGAAAAGUCAUAUUUAGAAAACCAAUCUUUUAAUCUGAGUAACAUUUUUUCGGGAACAGUUUUACCUUUGAAAUGAAAGAUAUUGGGGAAGGCUGAGCUGUCCAUUCGGAUGAGAAAAUGGUGUCCAAUCAAAUGAUACUCAAACUUUUUGAUGCCAUUCUUGACCGCUAAGAUUUCUUUGAACACGCUAUGGUAGUGCUUCUGUGUAUCAGAAAAAUGUCCACUAGCGUAAGCGAUAAAGUGUUCUUUUCCGUUGAUUUCUUCAAGGAGUAUGGCACCCCAUGAUUCAUCACUUGCGUCUGUUUGUAAGAUGCGCUUGCCAUCUGUAAUCAACUUUAAAGGAGGCGGAUUUUGCGCAAUCUGCUUUAGGGUAGUGACAGCAAAUGUGUGGUCAGCAUUCCAUUCUGGGGGCUUCUUUUUCAAUAAAGCCGAGAGAUGGUGAGUGUAAUGAUCCACGUGGGGGAUGAAAUCACGGAUGUAGUUGAUGAUGCCGAGAAACUGUUGAAUUUGCCUUUUGGAAAGUUGCUGAUCUGGAAAGUGAAGCAAUUCUUGGGCAAUGUGCUUUCCUGGCUGGUAGUGUCCAUCUUUUAUGAUCAUACCAAGGAAUUCAACAUUAUCUGUAGCAAUGAUGCUUUUCUUGGCCGAUAACAUGAUUCCAUGACUUUGGAGAAUAUCAUAGAAUUGAGUUAACAGCUGGCGAUGUUCAUCAUGUGAGCCUGAAAAAAGCAAGAUAUCAUCAAUAUAAAUCAAUGCAUGAUGCAAAAUGGGUUGGAAGAUUUGGACCAUGGAUUUUUGGAAAAUGGAUGGGGCAGUUUUGAGACCAAAGGGUAAGACGGUCCAUUGAAAGUGGGCAUUGGGAAUACAAAAAGCGGUUUUGUAGCGUUCGGAGGGUUCAAUGCCUAGUUGCCAAAAACCUGAUUUUAAAUCAAAUUUUGAAAAGAUCUGGGCAUUUUUGAGAAAAGUGAACAUGCUUUGUCGGCGAGGUAAAGGGAAUUUGUCAUCUUGUAAAAACAUGUUUAAUGGCUGGUAGUCAAUGACUAGGCGUUUCUUUCCUCGGACAAUUUCAGAAUGCUUUUCAACAUAAAAGGCUUGGCAAGCCCAUUGAGAACUUGUGGGCUCAAUUAAACCUUGGGCUAACAAUUGUGAACAUUCUUGUUGGGCUAGGAGUAAGUCAGAAGGACUCAUUCCUGGAUGGGUAGCUUUAGUUGGGUUAAUGUCUUCAUUGAGUUUGAAGGGUAACUUAAUGAAGAAAGACUUAUUUUUCCACAAAGGAUUUGGAUGGGUGAACUCGGAAUGGGACUCUGGACAGAAACUCAAAAGUUUGGUUGAGAUAUCCUGGUAAGACUGGGGAGUUUCAGACAAAUUGUAGAGUUUCAGAAUGUCUGUGAAUGGUUUGAACAUGGACUUGACACGGAUUCCAGUGGGAAUGAUUUGGAGGUGUUUGAUUUGGUGAAGGACUUCAAAUCCUAACAAGAUAUCCUUAUUAGGAAGAGUUGAACCAAUAACCUUGGUCCAAAUGACACAAUUGGGGAAGAUUUGAAUACCAACGGGUUUCUUGGUAAUCAAAGAGGUGGUAAAGAGUUUGCCAUUGAUAGCUUUGAAAUGUUCUUCAGAUUGGGUCCAAUAUUCGGAUGGAAGAAUAUGGGGGUUUAACAUGCUGCGUUGGGCGCCAGUAUCUAUAAGACCAAUUGCUGGAAUGGGCCUUUGGAAUUUUGAGGGUAAGAUCUGGAGUUUGAUGGAUGGGAUAGGAACUGUAGUAUCAAGGGAGAGUGACUGUUGAUGGAAAAUCACUUGAGACUGGUCACUGUCUGAAUCAGAGGAAUUCUGUAGUGCGAACACUGUUUCAUCAUUGGGUUCAUCUUGUUCAGAGAAAUAGAAUUCCAGCUCAUCUUUGGCAGGAGAGUAGUCGGUAGUUGCUUGAAGAUGCUCAACUAACCGGAUGGAUUUUUCUCUGUUGUUGGGGCAAUCUUUGGCAUAGUGGCCUUUUCUCUUGCAGAUGAAACAUCUGCUUGAUUGCUUUCGUUUGAAUUCUCUAGAGGAGGAAGAUUUCUUUCUGAAGAACCGGUAGGGCUUUCGGGAUCUGCGAGGCUUGGAGGAAAAUUCUGGAGGUUUGAAUUUCCGAAAAUGCCGUUUUUUCUUUGAACUGCAAUCGCAAUCUUUUUUCUUGUGGCAUUUGAUCUGCAAAUAAGGCUUUUUGCAAGCACUUCGGAAAGGUUCUUUGUCUUUCAACAGUUCUUUGAAAAACUGUUUUUGCUCGCAAAGUUUGUCAAGACAAGUUUUGGCAAGCUGAAAGAUUUUGCCAAGAGAGAUGUUGUCUAGGGAAAGAUUGGAUGCUGUGAGUUGUCUCUGGAUGUUGGGUUGGAGUUCUUCGGGGAGGGAAGCCAGAAAGACAUGCUUUAAUGUCGGCUCGUUGAAUCCAUUAAGCUUAUAGAACAGCAGGGACAUCCGCUUAUAAUGGAAGUCAAGAUCCUUAGCAUUGAGGGAGCAGCAUUUCAUGUUGAGAUAAUCUCGUCUGGCAGCUUCAAAGACUGCAGAAGGGUCUCCAAGGAAUUGAUCAUGAAGUACAGCAAGAGCACUUGAGACUUCUGGGAGAUCAACAAACUGUAGUUGGCGGUAUUGUCCUAACGAAUCAAACCAAUCUCUUAGAGCACCCGUGAAACGAGUAGCAAAUUCUCUAAGGACUGAUUGAGUUGUUGCUCCUGGUCUUAGCAUCUGGAGGUCAAUCCAGGCAGACAUUUCAUUGAGUCGGUCACGCCAUUUAUGAGAUGGAAGAUCAUCAAAUGUGAACCAUGGACCAUUUGACGAUUUGUGGCUCGAUGGAUUGGUCUGGGUUGGAGGAGGUUGGUUUGUGGCAGAAGAUUCAGGCAUUUCUUCUUCAAGUUCGGAGGGAAUAUCAACAUAUGGUUCUGUAUGAGAGGUUUGGCCUUGGGUAGGUUGAUCAGGUUGAGCCAUCAGGAUUUUGGUGAUAUCAGCAUAGGACUUUUCAGAGUCACUGGUGGAUACUGAAGAUUCUGUAUCAGUUUCGGUAGGGCUAUCUGAAACAGCUGGAUUUGAAUCAGAAGUGUGAUCGACUGUAGUAGAUGAAUGGGUGACUGUGUGAGCAGUAAACUGGUGCAUGGGUUCUUUAUCUUUUGAUUGGGUAGGGACGAAUAAAGGAGCUGGUGGUAAUGUUGGUGCAGAAGUAGGAGAUGGUUGGCCAGGGAUGGUCAGUGAGGAGGGAUGAAGAGGUGCAGGGCGAGGCUGCGGUCUAGGUUUGGGUUUAGGUUUAGGUGGUGGCGGCAAAGGAUUGUCUCUGAAAAGAGUAUGAGUCAUACCAAAUAACUUGGAAGGGUCAUACUGUUUAAUAGGAGAAAGCAUAGAGGCAAAAGGAUGAUAAGUUGGACCGAUGAAAGGGAUAGGAGGUGAAGUGGUGAAAAGGGUAGGUCUCUGUUUUUCAGAUUCAAUCUGAGCAAGUUCAGCUUUUAAGCGUCUGAUUUCCCUUUCUUUUUGGUCAAAUUCGGGGCCUGAGUAACGAUGGGCAAGCAUGGCUUGUAACUCAGAGUCAAGUUGAGAAAUUCUGGACUGGAGGUUUUGGUAUAUCUGCUGCAUCUGUGCAGUGAUGGAGUCAACUUUUGUCUCAAUCUCCACGACAGAGCUGAUUUAAAGACUUGGCCCAACUCAUCCCUCUAUGUUCAUUAAAUGUUAAUAUUUUUCUGCACCAAGGUUGACUUGAUGGUGCUUUAUUUUCAAUUUUUUCAUUGAAUUGUAUUUUUGGUUAAAUAUUGACAAAAAAAAUUAAGAAAGCAAUCAGCUCUUGUAACGUACUCUGUUCUGUCUUCCACCAAAAAUAUAAUCAUUUAUUACCUCUAUUUUAUCAAAUAAUCAUGAUUAAUGCUGCUGGGAAAGCUCUAUUAGUCUUUCUUUUGAUAUAUCUUUACCAAUCUCGUCAGCUGUUGCUUUUCUUUUAACGUGGUGGUUGUUUGUAUUUGAUGAUCCCAAAAUAUACGCAACGCAAUAUAGCAAUUGCCGCUUUCCAUGAUUUGUCUUUUUGGUUGACUUUAACAUGAUUUAGAAUUGUCGAUUCCGCAUUAAUGCGUAUAAAUUAUUAAGUAGGUUAUGUGAUCUUUCAUUAUCAUCGCCUAGUCUCCAAUUGUGUGCGUUAUUUUCUUUUUGAAAAUGAUUCACGAAAUCAAAUUACUGAUAGAGGUCAUGAAUGUCCUGCUCCUGCAUUUUCUUAAUCAUCCCACUUCUCUCAAAUUCUCCGAAAUCCCUUAUACGUCUUCUGGUCCCGUUUUCAUAAUAAUCGUUGUCCUAAACCUUCUUUGCAGAUCUUUCACUGUGCUCCCUUUUUCUUAUUUCUAGCUUUUUGCUUUUCUUUUUCACAUGGUCUUUGUUUAUAUUUGAUGUCCCAAAUAUACACGUUAACGCAACCAUUUGUGACAGCGAAUAUUUUUACCUAGUUGUUGGAUUGUGGCUUUCUAUGUUUUGUCUUUUUGGUCGACUUUAACAUGAUUUAGAGCUUUUGAACGCGUCUUCCAAGUGCACAUGCCGAGUAUAUCCACUGUUCGAUGAAAUGCCCAUUUGAAUAAUUUGAGGACCCACGAGGCCACGCCACUGGUAUUAGACUAAUUGGAAAAGAAAAAAAGAAAAAAGAUAAUAAGUACAACUGUGAUGCAUUUUCACAUUAACUUUACAAAGUCUGGUUAUAAAUUUAUAAUUUUACGCACAUGAAAUCACCAAAGUAUUAUUUAAUUUAACUCUUCUCAACUGGGGACGUGAGUUUGAUUCAAGUAGUAUUAUCACUCAUAUAAUUUAUUAAUGAGCUCUUUUCCUGUCAUCUAAUGCUGAUGCUUGUAUAUUCUAUUCUACCAUUCGAUUUUUUUAUGUCUAGUGCUUGUAGAUCAAUUGAUUAUAUGCUUCAUACUUGAUGGAGUGAAUAUAAUACAUAAGAUUUUCAUUCAGUUAUAUGCAGAUAUGUUAAACUUUGGUUUAUAGGCUAGAUCGUCACUAAUUAUUCAUAGUACGUGAAGCCUCUAAUACAACAGUGAUAAGAUUUGAAGUAUUAGUUGCUCUGCUUAAUCAAAUCAUGACAAAUAAAUACGGUUGCAGGGCUGGGUACUUGUUGGUUGUUCCGUUGAGUCAACACAAAACAAAAAAAAAAAAAUCAUAAAAAUGAAUGGCAAGAAUAGGAAUGAAAUCAUCCACAGAAAUAAACACAAAUGUAAUCAAAUCAUUGAACACUCUUGCUCUAAGUUUUCUUCUUUACUGAUUCUUUGUUUUGUUCAUUGUUUGAUCAUUGAUUCUUGUUAAGCUUUCUGUCACUUCUUGUUUGGGAUCUGCUCUUGGGUCCUUCAAGAUUGUGUUCUUGGUUCAAUUGAGCUUUGGGAAUAGCCAUUACAUCCACGACAUGGAAGUAAUAGUAAAUAUAUAACAUCAUUUUUAUCUUCCAAUCACAAGUUACAAGAUAUAAAAUUCCCAAGGAAAAUUAAAAAGGUAAAAUUAUCUUACAUCACCUGUUGAAAAAUGAAAUAUUUUAUCCAUGUACGUAAGCGAAAUUUUGAAGGAAAACGAGAAAGAAGAAAUGGUCAAUUUCGCAGAACAACAGAGAGAUUUUGGUAGUUUCCUCCAUAAAUUUAUCACCCCAUUAUCCUCAAUUGAUAUCAGUAACACUCAAAUCUAUCCGAAAUUCUUUACAAUCCCUAAUAUAUUUAAAAGGGUUUAAUUUUGACUUUUUAAUAACUUCCAUUAGGCCAAGCAUAUUUAGUUUCUUGAAGAUUUAUUCCUGAAAAAUCCUCAAUUGUUUAUUAAUCAAGAUAGAGUUCGAGUUUAAUGAUAAAAUGAUCAUGAUUUUAAUUUAAAGAUAUGAGCCCAAAAUCCUACCGUUUACAUAUUAAAAUCACUUGAUUAUCAUAUAUUACUCAAUAAUCAAAGUUAUUUAUUACACAUCAAAGUUAAUCACUUGAUUACUUGAAAAAUGCCGGCGGCACUUGCAACUCCCUGGAACCUUCGUGUAAGUUUUCGAGUUCAUCAACUGUUGGAUAAAAUGCCCAUUUGAAGAAACUAAUAGAAAAUUGAGAUCCUCUCUUGAAUAGAGUUUACCCUUGAAAAAUAAGUAUACAUUAUCAUUCAUGUAUUGUCAAAAUUUGAGCUUAAGAUCCAACUAUUUACAAAUUAUUAAUUAUUUUUGUUGGUGAAAGCAAAUUGAUUAGAAGAAUGUGGCAAUAAGAAGAUAAAAAUGCUUGCUCAAAUACUUUGCCGUGUGUUCUUACUUACAAAUCCACCAGCUUAGCUUUUAAUCACAUAAAUAAGUCAUCAUCAUCACUAGAUUAUCGUAUAUUACACAAUUAUCAAAGCUAAUUAUUGAAACCUUUCUUUCAAAGAAAAAGAAUUAUUGAAACCUUCCGAGUUUGAAAAUGCCGGCAGCACUCGCAACUUCCAGGAACCUUCGUGCAAGUGUAGAUGCUGAGUACAUCCAACCGUUCGAUUAAAUGCCGAAGUGAUUUCGAGGAACCCACACGACCACACAACAGGUUUUUUUUUUUUUUUUUUUUUCAUUUUAUUUGUACAUCUAUUUCUUGAAAAAAUAAAAAAUCAUAAAGUUCAGAUUACCCUUGAGACUUGAGAUGACAACUGUCUGCCUCUGCAUUUUCCUAAUCAUCCCUCUUCUCUAAUCUCUAGAGUCCUCUGAAAUCUCUUCUUCAUUUUCUGUCUCCCUUUUUUGAAUCGUUCUUGUCCUCGAUCCUACACCUUCUUUGCAAAUCUUUCAUUUAUUGUACUCGCUUUUCAAUUUGUCUUAGCAGAAAAAGGAUUCCCCUUUGUUUCAUCUCUAGAUUUUUCACUCUUUUCCUCUCCUCCUCCCUUAAAUCUAUUCAACCUCUUAUUUUAGCAAUUUAUCCAAACUUCUUUUUUCCCUCUUCCCAGCUGAUUGAUUAGUUCUGCUUAGUUUGAUUAGUUUUGCUUUCCCCUGUAUUCUGAAAGCGAAAAAUAAAAAAAAGAAAGGGAUAAUGGAUAUUGCUACCUCCGCAGUUGCGAAAGUUGCAGAGUACUUGGUUGAUCCCAUAAUUCAUCCAUUUACUUACUGCUGCACUUACAAGACCAACUUCGAGAAGCUGAAUAAUGAAGUCGAUAAGCUAAAGAAUUCUAGAGACAGUAUGCAGCAUAAGGUUGAUGAUUCCAGAAUUAAAGGGGACGGAAUUCAACAGCACGUUGAGGAGUGGCUGAUUGCUGCGAACAAGGAGAUCAAUGAAGUCGAAACACUUAUUGAAGACAAAGAGAAUUCAAACAACCGGUGUUUGAAGGGGUUAUGUCCUAAUUUGAGGACUCGGUACCAGCUUAGCAAGAAAGCAGAAAGAGAGACGAAUGCUAUUGUUGGACUCCAUGAAAAAGGGAGAUUCGACAGUGUUUCUUUCCGUACCAUUCCAGAGGAGACAUGGCUUAAGUUUACCCAGGAUUUCAUGCACUUUGAAUCGAGAAAGUCCACUUUUAAGGAGAUACUAGACGCACUCAGCAACCGUGACUUCAACAUGAUUGGGGUGUACGGGAUGGGCGGCAUUGGAAAGACAACGCUGGUGAAAGAAGUUGGCAGACAGGCAAAGGAAAAUAAUCUCUUUGAGAAGGUUAUUUCUUCACGUGUUUCGCCAACACCGCAAAUAAAAAAUAUACAAGGAGAAAUCUCAGAGAAGAUAGGCUUAGAAUUGGCUGAACAGAGUCAUGAAACUGUAAGAGCAGAGAGGCUGCUUGAAAGAUUGAAGAAAGAGAAAAAGAUCCUUAUAAUCUUGGAUGAUAUUUGGGGGGUCUUGAUUUGGAGGCGAUUGGAAUUCCAUUGGCAGAUGAUAAUAGCGGAUGCAAAGUUCUUCUGACAGCAAGAAGUCAAGAUGUGUUGUCCUGUAAGAUGGAUUGUCAACAAAAUUUUUUUGUUGAUGUUCUGAAUGAAAAAGAAGCUUGGAGUCUUUUCCGGAAGAUGACAGGUGAUUGUAUAGAAAAUGGUGAACUGAAAUCUGUAGCAACAGAGAUAGUCAAGGAAUGUGCUGGUUUGCCCAUUGCCAUUGUACCCGUAGCCAGGGCACUAAGAAAUAAGAGAUUGUUUGAAUGGAAGGAUUCCUUGCUGGAAUUAAGAAGGCCUUCCUUCAGAAACAUCAGUGGAACACUGGAGGUGGCAUAUAAAAGUAUAGAGCUGAGUUACAAUCAUUUAAACAGGGAGGAGCUCAAGAGAACGUUGUUGCUUAUAGGGUACGCGUUCAUCUCUUGCGUUAAAGACGUGCUUUAUCAUGGCAUGGGUUUGGGUCUGUUUCAAAACAUCAACACGUCGGAAGAGGCGUGGGAUAGAGCACAUACAUUGGUUGAUAAACUCAAAAAAUCUUGUUUGUUGCUUGACGGUAAUACAAGUGAACGGUUUUCUAUGCAUGAUGUUGUUCGUGAUGCAGCCAUAUCAAUUGCAUCUGGAGACCAACAAGUGUUUGUGGUGGAAAGUGAGGUUGCUCCGCAGAUCAGCUGGCCAGAUAAGGAAAAACUAAAGGUUUGCAUCGCAAUCUCCUUAAUUUAUAGUAAUAUUAGUGAGCUUCCUCAAGGUUUCGAAUGCCCGCAACUUAAAUAUUUUCGUAUUGGCAAUGAUCCAUCUUUGAGAAUCCCAGAUAAUUUUUUUACUGGGAUGACUGGGCUUAAAGUUUUAGAUUUCACUGAGAUGCAUUUAUUGCCAUUGCCUUCAUCGCUUGGUCUCUUACAAAACCUUCAAACACUGUGUCUGGAUUACUGCAACCUAGGAGACAUCGCUAUUAUCGGAGACCUAAAGAAAUUAGAAAUCCUUUCACUUCGAGGUUCUGAUGUAGAGAAACUGGUUGGAGAAAUGGGCCAGCUGACUCAAUUGAGGUUGUUGGAUAUGAGCAAGUGUUUCGAACUAAAAGUUAUUCCACCAAAUGUUAUAUCAAGCUUAUCUCGAUUAGAAGAACUGUAUAUUGGUGAGAGUCCCAUUCAGUGGGGGAAGGUUGAAGGGCUCGACAGUGAAAGAAGAAAUGCUAGCCUUCAUGAGUUGAAUCAUUUAUCUAAAUUGACCUCUUUAGAAAUACUCAUCCAAGAUGAAAAGACUCUACCAAGCGACUUGUUGUUCUUCAAAAUCCUGAAAAGGUACAGGAUAUUCAUAGGAUAUCUGUGGUCGGAUGACCCAAUAUUGGAUGGGUUUUCUAGAAAAUUCAAACUGAAAAUCACCAAUGGUGCCAACAUUUGCCUGAACGAGGGGCAUAUCAUGCAAUUGAAGGGUAUUGAACACCUAUCUUUACAUGGAUUGCUGGACAUGAAGAAUGUUCUUUGUGAACCUGGCAGAGAAGGUUUUCCACAGCUGAAGCAUCUCGAAGUCCGAGAUAAUCGCAGCCUUUUUUGUGUUGUUGACAGAGUGGAUUGUGCAACAGCGCUGACAGCGUUCCCCCUCUUGGAGUCAUUAUUUCUGGAAGAUUUGGGUAACCUAGAGAAAAUAUGUCGUGGUUCACUCACAGCAGAGUCCUUUUGCAAAUUAAAGAACAUAAGGGUGCAAAGGUGUGAUAAAUUGAAAAAUGUGUUUCCAUUGCCCAUUGGCAGAGGCCUUCAACAACUUCAGUCCAUUGAAGUGACAAAAUGCCAGAAUAUGGAAGUGAUUUUUGCUGCCGAUAGAGGAGAUGAAUCCAGCAAUAAUAACACUCAAGUGAUUGAACUCACUCAAUUAAGGACACUUGAACUUGGUUCUCUUCCGCAGCUUACAAGCUUCUGCACAGGAGAUCUGCAUUUUGAAUUUCCAUCCUUGAAACAAUUAACAAUAAGGGGAUGUCCCCAUGUGAAAUUUAAAAGCACUAUUCAUGAGUCCACCAAAAAGGUACGUGCAAGACUGUUGUAAUUAUUGUUCAAUUCUUACGUACUUAAAAGUAUUUCUACUUGAGAGUUUAGAGCUUUAUUGUCGUCAUAUAUUGCCCUCAUCAAUUUGUCUUUUAGUAACAAAAUGUUAGUUCUAUAAAUCAGCUUAUUUAUACUAAUAUAAUAUCCUUAUAAACAUAAUUAUCAAUAUUCGAUAUAAACAUAAUUAUCAUUCUUCAAUAAUUCUUCUCAUUAUCGAAUAUUGAAUCGGCUACAACCAUAGAUGGAUUUGGAUGUCAGUUAGAAAGAAUGAAUACAAAAUUAUUUAGUAUUUUUUUUCCUUCUCGUUCAAUUUUUUUCUCUUAAUUAUCAGAUUUUUUCUUCUUCGUCUACUUUUUAGUUUAUGUCUAUAUGUUUAGUUAAAUACACGAAAGAGACUCUGCAUUUGAUUAGCCAAACGAAGAAAAUACUCAAAAUAUCUACGGUUUUUCAAGCCACAGUUAAUUCCCUGAUAAUCUUUUAAGAGCUAUUUAAAAUUAGUAGUCCUUACUACAGUAUUGUUACAUACAAAAUGAUUGUCAAUUUUGAUGUUGAAGAAGAAAUUGGUCAUUUUGUGUUAACAAAAAUUAUAUUUUUAAAAAUAUAAAGAGAGAGAUGGACAAAACUCAAAUGAAGAAACCUUAUCUUAUUAAACUUUAUGUACAAGAAAAUCCAUUCUUGUACAAUAGUAAAUAUAUCCAAUUCCAUUGAGUUGGAUGAAUAUUAAUGAAAUACCAGCUUCUUACUAUAUUAUUAAACUUUUUAAAAUCAAGUUAUUUAUUCAUUUUUGCUCUUGAAAAGAAAAAAGUUAAAAAAACCAAUUAAAAAAAAAAAAGAAAUUUGUAAGAUUUUCAACUAAAACCAAAUAAGCGGAUCGAUUAAAAGAAUCUAGAAGUUCAAAUGCAAUUUGAGAAUAAUUGAAGUCUUUUUUGUAGACAUUAUGCACAAAUCUAAUAAAUUUUGAAAGUUAAGAAGAGAGGAUGAAAAAAAAAAAAUACACAUCACUUACUAUAUUUGAAAAAAAAUAAUAAUAAUUACCGCUGAAAAUCAUACUCUCUCUACAUAUCCAUAAAUUUGUCCGGCCAUCAAUAUUCAUCAUUGAAAUGCUUUGUAUUUACUUCAAUUUUUGAAAUCGUUAGAAAGAAGAUUUAACUCCCUCUUGCUUUUUUUUUUUUGUUAUUGUUGAUCACCCAGAUGUUCCCCAAUUUGGAAGAUUUGAGUAUUGAUGAAAAGUACAUAGGUCUAUUUCCAGAAGACUUGCUUUGCAAACUUAAACUUCUUGAUGUCUGGAUUGAUGAGUCAACAGCUAUUUUAUCACUCGACGAUUUCCUCCAGAAAUUUCACACAACCAAAAUUCUCAUUAUAGGAGGAGACGAGUAUAUUUUUAGACUAGUUAGAAAGGUUGAAAACGGGAUGAAGGCAAUGAUAAGAGGAAUAAACCGGCAUCGUGGUCUGAAGCAAAUUUUGAAACAAGAGUCCUCCAAUGCCAACAAUUUGGAAAACCUGGACAUAUGUGACUGUCACAAUUUGAUUAAUCUAGUGCCAUCCUCGACAUCGUUUCAAAAUCUAACUACUUUGAUGGUAUAUAAUUGCAUAGGAUUGAUAAAUGCACUAACAUCCUCAAUUGCAAAGAGUCUGGUGCGACUGAGGGAAAUGGGCAUAGGUAGAUGCAAGAUGAUAAUAGAAAUAGUGGCAGAUGACGGUGCUGAGGGAGAUAAUUAUGCAGCAAAAAAUGAAAUUGUUUUCAGCGAAUUGAAGGAAUUGCUGCUCUGGAACUUAGAAAGUCUGACAGGAUUCUGCUCUGGCAAUAAUUGCGCCUUCAAAUUCCCAUCUCUGGAAAGAUUAGUGGUGGAUAAUUGCCCCAAUAUGAACAUUUUCUCAGGAGGAGAAUUAAGCACACCCAAGUUACACCAAGUGCAGCUUAAACGGUGGGAUGAUGAAGAAUGUUGGACUUUGGAUCGCGACCUUAAUACAACCAUUCAAUACCUAUAUCUUAAAAAAAAGGUAUGUAUUCAUUCAAUACGAGAUGUUGAUUUUUUGUAAAAGUUUGAUUCAAUAACGGAUAUAUAUAAAAAAGGAAAAAGAAAAAGUACCCAUCAAAUUUUUGACAAAUUCAUUUUAAAUCUGAUUAGGAAGAGAAGGAAAAAAAAGAAUGAGACGUCCAACAAGGCUAAUGAAAAGAAGGAAGAUGCAAAAGACAGUGGCAAGGUAAAAUCCAUACAAAUUGGGAGGUUUUGAUUUUAUUUUUGUGCUAAUUAAAUACGUUUUAUUUAUGUUAAAUCACAUUGGUACAUCUUUUUAAAACAUAACUACUCUGUUGUAUUGUUAUGUUGAAGAUUAGUUGUUAGAUAUGAUAUAGCGAACAAGAAAUUGAAAAAAAAUGAAAGUAAUUGCUUAUAGAGAGAAUUGAAGGAUUUCUGUGUUCUUAAGCAUUAACUGGUUAUGAUGGAGGCUAAUUUGUGCAAUUUAAUUAUGUGAAAACUACACCUUCAAUGUGUUUUUGCUCUUUGUUUAUAGAGAGUCCAAACUUAUGAAGACGAUUCGGGCCAACCUUCUGUGCAGCAUCUAGAAUAAGGCCUCGAGUUCUUUCUAUAUACUAAGAGUCAGAUGGCGUUGGUGAGGGGACCUUUUGUUUCUUUCUUCAUUUCGUUAUUAUGCUUCUUGCUUUGUUUGAGUAAUUAGAAAUCUAAUUUAUUAUGCUUCUAGCUUUGUUUGAGUUCUUCGAAAUCUAAUUUGAAGCUAGUUUUAUUUCUCAUGGAUGGUGUCCAAGAGCUACCAUGUUCAAUUUGGAUUCAACCGAAAGAGUAUUUAAGCCUUGAAUUAAUUAAAGAGAUGAGUGUAUCAUAUUUGUGUUUGUGCACUUGUUAUUGAUGUAUUGAAUAAUGUAGGAAGUUAAUUUACAUUAUUUGAGGUAAUAUAGAAUUUUAGAAUAUUUAUUGUUUUAGGAUUUUCUAUUUUAGUUUGAGUCAAUUUUGGUAUAUAUCUUAGUCUUUUAUUUCUAUUAUAAUUGUGAUUUAGUUUCUUUUUUAGGUUAACUUAGGGAAUUGGGUUUCCUCUAUUAUAAAUAGAGAGAUCUUAUCAUUAUUUUGAGCAUUUCAAAUUCAAUUAUUCAAUAAAACUCACCUUUUAUAAUUCCUUCUGGGAUUAUCUAUCAAAAUCUCUCUUGUAAAGUUAUUUGGAUUAAAAAGUCAUCUAAUCUCGCAUUAUGCGUUAUUAAAAAGCUCAUUGAGUUGUCUGGAUUAGAACGAUAUCUGAUCAUGUUUCAAUUAGAGCAUAACUUAAUCGUGUUGGCUUAGUCCUGUACUAGAAUGAUAUCUAGUAUUUCAUGUCCUAUCAAUUUCCGCUUCCGCUACGCCUCGCUCCAUUAGUUGGUAUUAGAGCAGUUUUGUGUCAAUUGCACAACUUUCCUGACUACCCAUAUCCAUCCACAUCAGAUCCAUCACAAAAAAUAAAUAAAUAAAAUAAAAUAAAUCAAAACUUUACAAAUUUGAAAACCCUAGCCACCACAUCAACUUCCACCACCGAUCAGCCAGCCAACACCACCACAAACCUCGCUAGCCACUGCCGACCAAGUCUCAGCCAUUGCCGCCUCAACCGCUGCCUAAACAGCUGCAAAUCACCAACCCAAACCCGUGGCUCCACCAAGCAAUCCACCACCAUUCAACCACUUUCACAGCCAGCAACCUCUACCAACAAGCUUGCAGGCCUCCACUAACCAAAACACCGACCAACUUCAGCCCAUGAUCGCCGCCCGCAGCAACCACACGAAACGACAACCCAUGAGUGCUUCCCACAUGCGCCGCCACCAAACCACCUCCUUUUUCUGUCAAUUUGCACUACCACCACCCUAAUCCCUAGCAAUCGGCGACCAUAAAUCCAGCCGUCCGCCACCAUAAGGCCGCCAUAAACCAAAAGCCACAUCACUAAAAUCAACCGCCACUUUAAGUCAGAUUUCCGACCAAAACGCAGCGAAUCUGGCCGAUCCACAACCAUCAUCGAGUUCCUUAUCACCAAAUCUCCCAGAUCCGAUACCCUCUGGUCCCAAUCACGGCCACCAGCUGCCAACCAUACCAAACCCGAGAGUUGAGCCUUAAUUACAAUUUUGCCAUUGUGUGGAAACUUAAAUGGCAAGCUACCAUCAUUGCCCUCCUAUUUAUCAUGUGCCGAUAUUAUUUACAAAAUAUACGUCCAAACAAAUUUCUUGAAUAGCUGGACAAGGUUAAGCACUAGUUUCUAUUUUGGCACACUCCUAAAGAAAAGCAAGUCUUGUUUACUGCCAGUAGAUUAAGCAUAAGUGCUUCAGAAUGGCGCGAUGAGUUGCAAAUUUCUCGACUUGACCAAGGCAAAUGCCAAGUUCAAUCAUCGAACCGUAUGAAGCAUAUUUUACGAUAUGAGUUUAUUCCUCUUGAUUAUUGUUUGGUACAGUAAGGUAUGAGAUCUGUUUCUGCUUGUGCUUAUGAGUUUGAACGAUUUUAUGGAUGCCAUUAUUAUUAUGAGCCUGAAGAGAAUACAGUUACAAGAUUUAUUAAAGGGCUUGAUUUGCAUAUUCAAGAAAGGAUGCCUAUAUACACUAUCUACAAUUUACAGCAUGCAAUUCAUUUAGGCAAGAAAAUUGAAUUGCAAAUUAAGUUGUAACGUCAAAGAAACUUUGAUGAUGUGAUUAAAAAACUUGACGAAAUCCAGAAUUUAAGCAAGAAAUGGUGUGUCACCAUGAAAGUGCCCAAAGAUGUACCAAUGAGUUCUCCUAUUGUUAAGGAAGAAGACUCCCAUGAGUUGCUAGAAGAAAAUGUACAAUUUAUUAUUGAUUUAAGGUUUCAAUCUGACAAGUUGUUCGAGAAUGUGAGUGAUGUUUCCUUAGAAGAGAAGAUAAGUGUUGAAGAUGAUGAUAUUAUUGAUCUAUUUGAUAUGUUUAAAGAAGAUAUAUAAUCUGCUCUUAAUUUAAGCAGUGAGCUUAACAAUAUAAUCGAGGUUGUACAACAAAAUCAAGGUGAAGAAGUUGAAAUGAUUGAAAUGGUUCUGCCUAUUCACAUUGAAGAAAAAAAGAUUGUGCUUGAAGAAGAUUUGGUUGAAAAGGUGAAACUUAUUGGCGAGCGCAUUGAGCGACAAUUGGGGAAGUGCAAGAGUUAUUUGAUCAUUGUUCGUUCUUGAAAGUCGUCAUCGACUCGAAGAAUGUACAAGCGAAGGAAGUUGAUGAAGUUAGGAUACUUCAAAGUUUCGAGGAAGAUUGAUGAGCAAGGCUACAGGUUCAAAUUACAAGAUGAUUUGCUCCGACACUAUAAGUUUCCUCCUCCAGACUGUAUUCAAACUCAAGGACGAGUUUCUUUUAAGAGGGAAAGAAUGAUGUAGGAAGUUAAUUUACGUUAUUUUAGGUAAUUUAGGAUUCUAGAAUAUUUAUUGUUUUAGGAUUUCCUAUUUUAGUUUGAGUCAAUUAUGGUAUGUAUCUUAGUCUUUUAUUUCCAUUCCAAUUGUGAUUCAGUUUCCCUUUUAGGUUAAUUUAGGAAAGUGGGUUUCCUCUAUUAUAACUAGAGAGAUCUUGUCAUUGUUUUGAGCACUUCAGAUUCAAUUAUUCAAUAAAACUCCCAUUUUAUAAUUCCCUCUGAGAUUAUCUAUCAAAAUCUCUCUUGUAGAGUCGUUUGGAUUAGAGCGUCAUCUAAUCUCACAUUACAUGUUAUUAAAAAUCUCAUUGAGUCGUUUGGAUUAAAACGAUAUCUAAUCACGAUUCGAUUAGAGUAUAACCUAAUCGCAUUGGCUUAAUUCUGUACUAAAAUGAUAACUAGUGUUUCCUAUCCUAUCAAUUUUCGCUUCCGCUACGCCUCGCUCCGUCAGGAUUUCUGGUGUAUAUUUUUUUAGUGUAUGAUGAAACUAAAACUAUCUCAAUUUCUGCUAUGUUAGUGCCUCCUGAACACAUGUUUGGACCAUCUGAACAUUGAGUGGCUUGAUAUCUCUAACAAUAAUGCUUGUACAACUGAAAUCUACCCACCUUGCUCUAGCACAAUGAAGAGAAAUUGUGUCAUUUCGACAAAAAGGUGUCAUAUGUGCAGUCACUAUGAAUCAUUCGCAUUGGAACAAAUUGUACAAUGUCUCAAGUCGCUACUCAAUCAGUAGAACUCUCUAAUCUACGACUUUUGUCAUUUAUCAGCAUCAAGAAUCUGCCAAUUAAGAUAUGAUCACCUGUAAUUUUAAGUUCUUUCAAUCUCCAAAAACUAGAUGAAAAAAAUGCUCCAAUAAUUAGUAAGUCUUAAUCAAAUUCCAUAUUUUAGGCUUCUAAAUUUAUUAGCAAUUUUACCUAUCAUAACUUGUAUAUGUUAACCGGAUUGCAUAAACACUUGAGAAGCUUCAAGUUCAUGUCCUAAUGUGUUACAAUAUAUAUAUAUAUAUAUAGGCUUCUUUUUUGGGGGGAACUAAAAUAAGUUAGAUCAGUACCGAAGAUCAUAGUUAAAGCUCGCAAUGUUUUAUGGAGACCUUUUUCUUAUGGUAGGAGCUUCAUACUAGGAGAAGUCAUCACUUUUGAGAACAAUAAAUGUAACAACCUAUUUAAAGGGCGGAUCUAAAAAUUUGGCUUAAAAGGGACAACACAAUAAUUAAAAAAAAUUUAAUGAAAUUGAUAGACUUUGUAUUCAUUAGGGGCAAUUAUGCAAGUAUUUAUGUAAUUUCAUGAAAAUAUAAAAAAUAAAUAGAAAAUUAUGGAAAAAAAAUUUACGGGAGUCAAUUAAUUGCCCACUAUAGGCUCCGUGUGGAUCCACCUCCGAACGUAAAUGAAGAUUGAGGAUUCUCUUAAUCCAAAAAUUUUUAAGAAGUGAAAAAUAAAAAAAAUAAAAUUUUUUUUCAUCAACUUUGUAAUUCCUUAAGCGAUUAAAAUAAGAUAUAUUCAAUAAAUAAGUAUAAAUUAUUAUUCGUAUACUGUCAAAUCUUUUUUUGUUUGGGCUCUUUUAUAUUUUGUUAACAAAUAAGCUCUAAUCUAUAUUUGUUGAGUUGAAAAUUUUGAUCAAAAUAGGGUUGUAGUUUACCGAUAUUAAUUUAUAGAUUUGAACCCAAGUUCCUCCAUUUACAUUAUUAAUUAUUUUUGUUGGUCAAAGCUAAUUGAUUAGAAGAAUGCGACAAUAAGAAGACAAAAAUAUUUGCUCAAAUGCUUUGCCGUGUGCUUGCUUACUUACAAAUAUCAACUGUUCGAUGAAAUGCCCGUUUAGCUGUUCCCAACUUGGGGCAUGAGUUUGAUUAAAGUUCUUAUAUCACUGAUAUAAUAUAUUAAUGUAUAAAUGAGCUCUUUUCCUAUCAUCUAGUGCCCAUGGUAAUAUUUCAGUAAUUGAUCAUAAUAUUAUUAAGCUUUAAUUUAUAUCCUACACUCUUUUCCUAUCACCUAGUUUUUCUAAAGCGUGUAAGGUAGAAAUAUUCUCAUGUUCGAAAAAAGGUCAUACAAGCUCUAAGCUUGUACAUAUUUGAAGAACAAUACUAGACUUUUCCUUCAAACUAAUAUCGAAAUAUUUUUAUUCCUAAUGUAGUUAUUCGUCUUUGACAUUCAGCUCAGUAUCCAUUAGCAUUUAGCAAGAACAAACUUAUUUAAUAAUUAAAAGAAUUAUUGAAUGAUUUGGAACAAGUCAGCUGAGGCUAAGUAUUUUUAUUAUAUCGGCAAUUAGAUGAUGAAUGGGAAUUAUUGAACAAUUAUUUUUAUUAUUUAGGCAAUUAAUUAAGGCUACGUAUUUUUAACGUUGUUGCAAGUUGGAAGAUGUCGGCAGCAUUAGCCACUGUCAGCAUUAGCCACCCGAGCCGAGACUCAUUCUCUUUUUCAUUUCAUUUUCGUUUACUUUUGAGAACAGAAAAUGUAAAAUUUGAAUAAGUACCAAAUAACUUUUGAUAUUAAAACUUAAAUAAGCUUAGUUUUUUUCAUUUCGUUUUCGUUCACUUUUGAACAAGACAAUGUUUACUUUUGAUAUGCUUUAUUUAAGAGUCAUAAGUGCUUAUUUAAUCUUAUAAACUCUUAUCAUAAUUUUUGUUGUUGUUUGGUUGUUUUUAUAAUCAAGCUUUUAAAACUUAAAUAAGUUAUUUUAUCUCUAUUAGAAAAAAUUCAAAUUUUAGGUUUUGGGAGUAGAGGUUAAUUUUUUUUAAAUGUUAAAAUAUCUAAAAUAUCAUCUCCUUAUUGACAAUUUUAUUUUAUUCUUUUCAUAACAUAACUUUAAAAAAUUUACCUCUUAAAGUAAUUUUAUAAAUUUUUAAUAAAAACUCUUAUUGACAACCAAAUAACUAAUUUUUUUUUUGUAAAAUCUCUAUUUAUAAAAGCUCUACUUAAAUAAACUCUACUUGAAAAAAUGUACCAAACAGAGCCUAAGAAUCACUUAUUUGAAAGUUAGAAAAUGAUUGGAGACAAAAAAAAAUUGAUAAAGAAAUAUAUUUAAAAUGAUGUGGUUUUGGUUUUAUUUUAAAAAAAUUAACCUAAAUGAUAUAAUUUUAAGUAUAUUAUUUUUCAUUUCCCUAAUAUUCUUCAUAACUGAUCUUUGUACAACUCCGACCAAUUUUCACUGACAUUACAGUGUAGUUGACAUUUUCUUUUCACCGCCUUCAAUGUUUUUCCCAAAACAAUGGAAUAACCCAAACUUGUUUUUUUCCUACCUUCACCAACCUCAUUGACAAAAAUAAAAAAGACUGUCAAUUUCUCCAACCAUGUGACAAUGCCCUCACCACGUGACCUUUUGCUCACAUCCGGUUGCACAUUAACCAUCAAAGCCGGUUUCCCAUGAAUGUCCAUUUUUUUUAACUUCUUUUUCCUACCGUUAAAUUUCUCAUGAAUGUCAGUGAGUGGGAUCCAGCUACGGUACCACCGUGGUACCGUACAACUGAUUUUAUCUUUUGUGUCAGUAGUGUUGUAAAAUUUCAUUGAACCCCUUUCAUUCAUUUUUAUUUAACCUUUACCUCAUAAAUAUUAAAUUAAUUUCUAUUCCAUCCAUAUAACAUUAUAAUAGCACCUUAUACUAUUUGUUAUUUAUACAUUUUUCUUCUAUAUUGCACAUUUAUCACAAUACCCCUCUCUUUACCACAAAUACCGGUGAACCCGACCUGAAUUUCGUUUCUGUUUUCGUCCAUGCCACCGCCCAAGGUUGGUACCGAUCAGAAGAUCGUGUGAUGCCGGUCAUCUCCACGCCAUCCUUGUCGAAAAAAUAACUAGGUCAACCUGACCCGCAAACCCGACCCGGAUUUUGUUUUCGUUUCCAGCUACUCCACCGGCCAAGGUUGGUACCGAUCAGAAGCUCGUGCUACGCCAGUCAUCUCCAUGCCAUCCUUGUCGCCGUAAAGCAUUCGGAAAGCUGCCGAUCGAAGCCGUGAAAGUUACAGAAUCCCUGCUUCAAUUCGCGGCGGUUUCUCCGGUUUCCAGUGACGCCACCACUUGGGGUUUGUUCUCCACAGUUUCCUCUGUCUUUUCUGACCAACCACAGCCACCAGAGGAGCCGAUUUGCCGUUGAUCGGCCAUUGAAGGAUUCACGGGUUUGGGAGAAAUGAACUUAAUAUUUGUGAAGCAAAGUUCAAAUAAGAAUAAGUGAAAGGACUUUAUGAAAUUUUACCAAGAAAAGACAAAAGCGGUGGCAUGGUGCUACUGUUGCACGGUAGGCGAGUCCUUAUUUGUAUAUCUAUUUCUUAAAAAAAUAAAAAAUCAUAAAGUCCGGCAACGGCAGCAUAGCACUUACUGGUAACAGGAGAAUUCAAUGAAAUGCCAAAAUGCCACCUUGCGCUGUCCAAUUAACCAACAACUUUGACAUUAUUUACAUGCAAUUAUAACCAUCUAUCUCAGUUAUUAAGAAUCUAGUUGACUUGGAAGCAUGAGUCUUCUCCAGUAUGAAUUUAGUUUGGCAUUUUUGCAGUAUUCAGAUUACCCUUGAGACUUGAGAUCACAACUGCCUGCCUCUGCAUUUUCCUAAUCAUCCCUCUUGUCUAAUCUCUAGAGUUCUCUGAAAUCUCUUCUUCAUUUUCUGUCUCCCGUUUCUGUAUCGUUCUUGUCCUCGAUCCUACACCUUCUUUGCAAAUCUUUCAUUGCACUCGCUUUUCAAUUUGUCUUAGCAGAAAAUGGACCCCCUUUGUUUCAUCUCCAGAUUUUUCACUCCUUUCCCCUCCUCCUCCCUUAAAUCUAUUCAACCUUUUAUUUUAACAAUUUAUCCAAACUUCUUAUUUCCCUCUUCACAACUGAUUGAUUAGUUCUGCUCAGUUUGAUUAGUUUUGCUUUCCCCUGUUUUCUAAGAGCAAAAAAUAAAAAAGAAAGGGAUAAUGGAUAUUGUUAUUUCCGUUGCUGCAAAAGUUACAGAGUACUUGGUUGCUCCCAUAAUUCAUCCAUUUACUUAUUGCUGCACUUAUAAGACCAACUUCGAGAAGGUGAAUAAUGAAGUCGAUAAGCUCAAGAAUGCUAGAGACAGUGUGCAAUAUAAGGUUGAUGAUUCCAGAAUUAAAGGGGACGGAAUUCAACACCACGUUGAGAAGUGGAUGAUUACUGUGGACAAGGCCAUCAAUGAAGUCGAAACCCUUAUUGAAGACAAAGAGAAGUCAAACAACCGGUGUCUGAAAGGGUUGUGUCCUAAUUUGAAGACUCGGUACCAGCUUAGCAAGAAAGCAGAAAGAGAAGCGAAUGCUAUAGUUGGACUCCAUGAAAGAGGGAGAUUCGACAGUGUUUCCUUCCGUACCAUUCCAGAGGAGACAUGGCUUAAGUCUACCCGGGAUUUCAUGCACUUUGAAUCGAGAAAGUCCACCUUGAAGGAGAUACUAGACGCACUCAGCAACCGUAACUUCAACACGAUUGGAGUGUACGGGAUGGGUGGCAUUGGAAAGACCACGCUGGUGGAAGAAGUUGGCAGACAGGCCAAGGAAAAUAAUCUCUUUGAGAAGUUCAUUUCUUCACGUGUUUCCCAAACACGGCAAAUAAAGAACAUACAAGGAGAAAUCGCUGAGAAGAUAGGCUUAGAAUUGGCUGAACAGAGUCAUGAAACUGUAAGAGCAGGGAGGCUGCUUGAACGAUUGAAGAAAGAGACGAAGAUCCUUAUAAUCUUGGAUGAUAUUUGGGGGAGUCUUGAUUUGGAGGCGAUUGGAAUUCCAUUGGCAGAUGACAACGGCGGAUGUAAAGUUCUGCUGACAGCAAGAAGUCAGGAUGUGUUAUCUUGUAAGAUGGAUUGUCAACAAAAAUUUUUUGUUGAUGUUCUGAACGAAAAAGAAGCUUGGAGUCUUUUCAAAAAGAUGACAGGUGAUUGCAUACAAAAUGGUGAACUGAAAUCUGUAGCAACAGAGAUAGUCAAGGAAUGUGGUGGUUUGCCGAUUGCCAUUGUACCCGUAGCAAGGGCAUUGAGAAAUAAGAGAUUGUCUGAAUGGAAGGAUGCUUUGCUGGAAUUUAGAAGGCCUUCCUUGAGAAACUUCACUGGAACAACGCAGGUGGCGUACAAAAGUAUAGAGCUAAGUUACAAUCAUUUAAACGGAGAGGAACUGAAGAAAACAUUUUUGCUAUUAGGGUACACGUUCUUCUCUUGUGUUGAAGACCUACUCUAUUAUGGCAUGGGUUUGGGUCUGUUUCAAAACAUCAACACGUUGGAAGAGGCACGGGAUAGAGCACAUACAUUGGUUGAUAAACUCAAGAACUCUUGUUUGUUGCUUGAUGGCCGUUCAAGUGAAUGGUUUUCAAUGCAUGAUGUUGUUCGUGAUGUAGCCAGAUCAAUUGCAUCAAGAGACCAACAUGUGUUUGCGGUGGAAAAUGAGGUUGUUCCGCUGACCAGCUGGCCAGAUAAGGAUACACUGAAGGUUUGCACCGCAAUCUCCUUAAAGAAUAGUAAUAUUAGUGAGCCUCCUCAAGGGUUCGAAUGCCCGCAACUUAAAUUCCUUUGUAUUGGCUGUCAUGCUUCUUUGAGGAUCCCAGAUAAAUUUUUUACUGGGAUGACAGAGCUUAGAGUUUUAGAUUUCACUAAGAUGCAUUUGUUGGCAUUGCCUUCAUCGCUUGGUCGCUUGCAAAACCUUCAAACAUUGUCUCUAGAUGAUUGUGAACUAGGAGACAUGGCCAUUAUCGGAGACCUAAAGAAAUUAGUCAUCCUUGCGCUUCGAGGUUCUGAUAUGGAGGAACUGGCUGGAGAGAUAGGCCAGCUGACUCAAUUGAGGUUGUUGAAUUUGCGCCUAUGUUACCGACUGAGAGUUAUUCCCCAAAAUGUGAUAUCAAGCUUAUCACGAUUAGAAGAACUAUAUAUUGGUGAGAGUCCCAUUGAGUGGGGGAAAGUUGAAGGAGUAGACGGUGAAAGAAGAAAUGCCAGCCUUGAUGAGUUGAAUAAUUUAUCUAAAUUGACCUCUUUAGAAAUACUCAUCGGCGAUGAAAAGACUCUAUCAAGAGACUUGUCGUUCUUCAAAAUGCUGCAAAGGUACAGGAUAUCUAUAGGACAGUUGUCGCAGUUUAUUGUGGUUCCCCCAUCGGAUGGGAUUUCUAGAAUAUUCAAACUGGGGCUCACAAAUGGUGCCAACAUUUGCUUGAACGAGGGGCAUAUCAUGCAAUUGAAGGGUAUUGAAGGCCUGUCUCUAGAUGGAUUGAUCGACAUGAAGAAUGUUCUUUUUGGAUCAGACAGAGAAGGCUUUCCAAAACUGAAGGGUCUCCAAAUCGAACAUAAUGGCAACCUUUCUUGUGUUGUUGACACAAUGGAUUGUAUGCCAGCUCGGACGACUGCAUUCCCCCUUUUGGAGUCAUUAUUUCUAAGAGAUUUAAGGAACCUUGAGGAAAUAUGUCGUGGUCCACUCACAGCAGAGUCUUUUUGCAAAUUAAAGACCAUAAGGGUGGAAGGGUGUGAUAAAUUGAAAAAUGUAUUGCCGAUGGUCAUAGGCAGAGGCCUUCAACAACUUCAGUCCAUUAAAGUGAGUAGUUGCCAAAAAAUGGAAGUGAUUUUUGCUGCUGAGAGAGGAGAUGAAUCCAGCAAUAAUAACAGUACUGAAGUGAUUGAACUCACUCAAUUGAGGACACUUGAGCUUCAUUCUCUUCCGCAGCUUACAAGCUUCUGCACAGGUGAUCUGCAUUUUGAAAAGGUACACGUGCAAGAUUUGUUUAAUUAUUUUUCAAUUCUUACGUACUGAAAUGUAUUUCUACUUUGAGAGUUCAGAGUUUUAUUGUCGUCAUCGCCCUCAUCACUUCAUCUUUUAGUAACAAAAUGUUAGUUCUAUAAAUCAGUUUGUUUAAUUAUACUUUAUAAUAUCCUUACAAACAUAAUUAUUUUUUUAUUUUUGGAUGUCAGUUAGACCGAAUGAAAAAAAAAAAAGAUAUAUGGUAAACAAUUAUUUUUUUCCUUCUUGUUCAAUUUUUUUUCUCUUAAUUAUCAGAGUUUUUCUUCUCCCUCUACUUUUUAUUUUAUGUCUACAUGUUUAGUUAAAUACACGGAAAGAGACAGUGCAUUUGAUUAGCCAAACAAAGAAAAUACUCAUAAGAUCUAGAGGCUUUCAAGCCACAGUUAAUUCCCUGAAAAUCUUUCAAGAGCUAUUUCCAAAUUAGUACUCCUUAGUACAGUAUUGUUACAUACAAAAUGAUUAUCAAUUUUGAUGUUGAAGAAGAAAUUGGUCAUCUCGUGUUAACAUAAAUAAUAUUUUUAAAAUAUAUAUAGAGAGAUGGACAAAACUCAAAUUAAGAAAUCUUAUUCUAUUAAACUUUAUGUACAAUAAAAUCCAUUCUUGCACAAUAGUAAAUAUAUCCAAUUCCAUUGAGUUGGAUGAAUAUUAAUGAAAUACCAGCUUCUUACUAUAUUAUUAAACUUUUAAAAUUCAUAUUAUUUAUUCAUUUUUGCUUUAAGAAAAAGUUAAAAACUCCAAUAUUUUUUAAAAAAAGAAAUUUGUAAGAUUUUCAAUUCAAACCAAAUAAAGGGAUCAAUUAAAAGAAUCUCAAAGUUUAAAUGCAAUUUGAGAAUAAUUGAAGUCUUUUUCAUAGAGAUUAUGCACAAAUCUAAUAAAAUUUGAAAAUCUAUCUACUGGACAAGAGUUAAGAAGAGAGAAUGGAAGAAAAUACACAUUACUUAAAUGGAAUGCUUUGUUUUUACUUUGUAUUUACAGCUGAAAAUCAAACUCUCUCCGCAUAUCUAUAAAUUUGUCCGGCCAUCAAUACGCAUCAUUGGAAUGCUUUGUAUUUACUUGAAUUUGUGAAAUCGUUAGAAAGAAGUGCUAACUCCAUCUUGCCACUUUUGCGAUUGAUGAUCACCCAGGUGUUCCCCAAGUUGGAGAAAUUGAGGGUUGAUGAAAAGCACAUAUGCCUAUUUCCAGAAGACUGGCUUUGCAAACUUAAAUGUCUUGAUGUCCGGCUUGAUGAGUCAAGUACAAUUUUAUCACUUGACGAUUUCCUCCAGAGAUUUCACACCAUCAAAAUUCUCUUUAUAGAAGGAGACGAUUUUGUUUGGGGAGAAUCACUUGAAAACCUUGAAAAUGGGUUGAAUGCAAUGAUGAGGGGAAUAAACCAGCGCCGUGAACUGAAGCAGAUUUUCAAACAAGAGUCAACCAAUACCAACAAUUUGGAACAGCUGGAGAUAUUCGAGUGUGACAAUUUGACUAAUCUAGUGCCAUCCUCGACAUCUUUUCAGAACCUAACAACUUUGAAGUUAAGUCUUUGCCAUGGAAUGAUACACCUUCUAACAUCCUCAACCGCAAGGAAUCUGGUGCGACUGAGACAAAUGGAGAUAGGUUGCUGCAAGAUGAUAACAGAAAUAGUGGCAGAUGAGGAUGAUGAGGGAGAUAAUUAUGCAGCACAAUAUGAAAUUGUUUUCAGCGAAUUAAAGGAAUUGCGGCUUUGGGACUUACAAAGUCUGACUAGUUUCAGCUGCUCUGGGAAUAAUUGCGCCUUCAAAUUCCCAUCUCUAGAAAGAUUAGUGGUGGAUCGUUGCCCCAAUAUGAAGAUUUUCUCAGAAGGGGAAUUAAGCACACCCAAGUUACAGAAAGUGCAGCUGAGCUGGCUUGAUAAUAAACUUUGGGCUUGGGAUCGGGACCUUAAUACAACCAUUCAAUACGUAUAUCUUAAAAGGAAAAAGGUAAGUAUUCAUUCACUAUGAGAUGUUGAUUUUUUUUUUUCUAAAACUUACUGAUUUAAUAACAGAUAUAUAUAAAAAACUAAAAAGAAAAAAGUAUAUAUUAAAUUUUUUAUAAAUUCAUUUUAAAUCUGACUAGGAAGAGAAGGAAAAAGAGAAUGAGAAAUCCGCCGAGACGAAUGAAAAGGAGAAAAAUGUGAAAGACAGUAGUAAGAUAAAAUCUAUACAAUUUGGGAGGUUUUGAUUUGAUUCUAUUUUGCUGACUAAAAAUGUUUUGUUUAUGUUGAAAUUUUUGUUAAAUCAUAUCGGUACAUCUUUUUAAGAUAUAACUACUCUGCUUUGUUGUAUGUUGAGGAUUAGUUGUUAGACAGACAUAGCAAAAAAUAAAAGAAUAAAAAAUAAAAUGCUUACAGAGAGAAUUGAAAGAUUUCCGUGUCCUUAAUAGAGGCUAAUUUGUGCAAUUUGAUUAAGUGAAAACCGCACCUUCAAUGUGUUUUUACUCUUUGUUUACAGAGUCUCCAAACUUAUGAAGACGAUUCAGGUCAACCUUCUGUGCAGCAUCUUGAAUAAGGCAUCGAGUUCUUACUAUAUAUUAAAAGUCAGAUGAUGUUGGUGAGAGGAUUUUUUGUUUCAGUUUUCAUUCAUUAUUAUGCUUUUAGCUUUGUUUGAGUACUCAGAAAUCCAAUUUGAAGCUAGUUUUACUUCUUGUGGAUGGUGUCCAAGAGCUGCCAUAUUCAAUUUGUAGGCAUCUGAAAAUCUCUUUAAUCCCUAAAUUAAUUAAAGAGAUGUGUGCAUCAUAUUUGUGUUUGUGCACCUAUUGGUAUUUUUUGGAGACAAUUAUAUAAGAAAUUAUGUAAUUUCAUGAAAUUAUCAGUAUUUUAUAUAGAAAAUUAUGGAAAAAUCAAAGUUUACGGGUCAAUUGCUCACUGUGGACAACAUGUGGAUCCUCCCUAGAGCCUAGGCGAAAUUGUAGUUUAUUGGUAUUAAUGAUCAUCAUUUUAGUUCAGAGAUUUGAGCCCAAGUUCCUCCAUUUACGUUAUUAUUAAUUAUUUUUGUUGUUGAAAGCUAAUUGAUUAGAAGAAUGCGACAAUAAGAAGAUUAAAUACUUUGCCGUGUGCUUAUUUACGAAUCCACUAGCUUAGCUUAUAAUCAGACACAUAAAAUCAUCAUCAUCACAAGAUUAUCACAUGUGUAAUAUCAAAGCUAAUUAUUGAAAACCUUUGAAUGGUCUUCCAAUUUUGAAAAAGCCGGCAGCACUUGCAACUUCCAGGAAACUUCGAUUAAGUGCAGAUGCCGAGCAUAUCAACUGUUGGAUGAAAUGCCCAUGUAGCUCUUCCUAACUUGGGACAUGAGUUUCAUUAAUUGAUCAUAAUUAUUAAAUUCUAGUAUACAUACUACACCCAUAACCUAGAUCAUUAAGAAAUUAGGCUUAAAUAUGCAAUCGUUCACAAUUAUUUAAUAAUUGUCAUUUAAGAAGGGGGGGGGGGGGGGGGGGAAGAAAAAAGAAAAAGAAGAAGGCUUCAGUUUUUCUAAAGCGUGUGAGUUAGAAAUAUUUUCACCUUAGAAAAAAGUCAUACAAGCUCUAAGUUCGUAUAUAUUUUAAGAACAAUACUAGCAAGUAAAACAAUUAUUUAAUACAAGUGUUUUUAUUAUUUAGGCAAUUAGAUAAUGGGAGAAAAUUAUGGUGCAACAGUAAUACCAUGUCACGGUUGCGUCCAGUCAUUGAAUCCCAAUAAAUCCGUUCAUUCAAGUGGAUCCAACAGCUGGAUGCCCGUAGCCGGACCCUAGAUAAUGAAUAGUAAUCCUUUAUUCGAUCAAUGACCUCAAAAUACUCUCAUUGUACGAAGAAAGUGAAAAAAUCAAAACCAAUCGUCAUUAAUUAAAGGGAAAAGGACACAGAGACCCCCAACGUUUAAAUAAGGGACACAAAACUCCCUAAUGUUUCAAAAAAGACACUCAGACCCCCAUUUGUUAACAGUAAAUUAUAAUUUUACCAUUAUACCCUUAUAACAUAUUAAAAAAUAAUUGUUCAUUUUCCAAUUUAUUCCUAUAUUAUUAAUAAAAUUACGAAUAUAACUUCAUUAUCCAAUUUUUCCAUUUAAUUUUUGUCAAAUUUUCUCUUCAAACUAAAUAAAUUUAAUCCAUUACUCAAGAAUAAAAAUAAAUUAAAUUGAUUACUAAUAUAAUAAAAAUAACAUAUAUUUAAUAUAAAAAUAACAUAUAUUAAAUUAAAAUAAAUUUAAUUUAUAUAUGGAGAAUUGUUAUUUUUAAGAAAUUAUCAAUUUAAUUUAUAUAUAAGAAAUUAUAGGAAAUAACAUAUGGAGAAUUGUUAUUUUUAUUAUAUUAAUAAUCAAUUUAAUUUAUUUUUAUUUUUGAGCAAUGGAUUAAAUUUAUUUAGUUUGAAGAUAAAAUUUGAUAAAAAUUAAAUGGAAAAAUUGGGUAAUGAAGUUAUAUUCGUAAUUUUAUUAAUAAUAUAGAAAUAAAUUGGAUUUUUUAAUAUGCUACAAGGGUAUAAUGGUAAAAUUAUAAUUUACUGUUAACAAAUGGGGGUCUGAGUGUCUUUUUUGAAAUAUUAAAAAAUUUUGUGUCCCUUAUUCAAAUGUUGGGGUCUCUGUGUCCUUUUUCCUUAAUUAAAAGCGACUGUAGAUAGUCAAAUAAUCAAAACAUUUCGCAUAAAGUUUUUCUCAUUCUUUGUCCACUCUUCGCAUUCAUUGACCUACGUACCCAGUUAAUUUAAUUCUGCUGACUUAACUUUUUAAAAUAUAAAGUCAGUGAAUUCCGCUGGUCCGACGCACAUCUCCCAACUAUGCAAGUCUUUCUCCAUCUCAAUCACCUUAAUUGCUUUUAUUCUUCAGCUUUGUUCAUUUCUAAAGAUUUUUUAAGAAGUGAAUUUUUUUUUCAAAAGAAUAAAUUAUUGCAUAAACUUUGUAAAUCCUUAAGCGAUUAAAAUGAGAUAUAUUCAAUAAAUAAGUAUAAAUUAUUAUUCUUGUACUGGAAAAUUCUUUUCUUUUUUUUAGGGUUCCUUUAUAUUUCUUGAAUUGAAAACUUUGAUGAAAAUAGGGUUGUAGUUUACCGAUAUUAAUUUAUAGAUUUGAGCCCAAGUUCCUUCAUUUACAUUACUGAUUAGAUUUGAUGGUGAAAGCUAAUUGAUUAUAAGUAAGCGACGAUAAUAAGAAGAUAAAAGUACUUGCUCAAAUACUUUGCCGUGUGUUCUUACUUACAAAUCUGCUAGCUUCGCUUUUAAUCACAUAUAUAAAUCAUCACUACCUUAUCAUAUAUUAUUACUUAAUAAUCAAAGCUAAUUAUUGAAACCUUGAAGGGUCUUCCAAGUUUGAUUAUGGAGGCAACACUUGCAACUUCCAGGACAGAAACAUCCGUGUAAGUGCAGCUGCCGGGUAUAUCAACUGUUACAUGAAAUGCCCGUUUGGCUGUUCCCAACUUGGGCAUGAGUUUGAUUAAAAGUUCUUAUAUCACUAAUAUAAUGUAUUAACGUAAUAAAUGGGCUAUUUUCCUAUCAUCUAGCGCCCACGGUAAUAUUUCAGUAAUUGAUCAUAAUAUUAUUAAGCUUUAAUUUCUAUCCUACACUCUUUUCCUAUCAUCUAGUUUUUCUCAAGCGUGUAAGGUAGAAAUAUUCUCAUCUUCGAAAAAAGGUCAUACAAAUUACAAGCUCUGAGCUUGUACAUAUUUGAAGAACAAUACUAGACUUUUCCUUCAAACUAAUAUCGAAAUAAGUUUAGCAAGAACAAACUUAUUUAAUAAUUAAAAGAAUUAUUUAAUGAUUUGGAACAAGUCAGCUGAGGCUAAGUAUUUUUAUUAUAUCGGCAAUUAGAUGAUGAAUGGGAAUUAUUGAACAAUUAUUUUUAUUAUUUAGGCAAUUAAUUAAGGCUACGUAUUUUUAACGUUGUUGCAAGUUGGAAGAUGUCGGCAGCAUUAGCCACUGUCAGCAUUAGCCACCCGAGCCGAGACUCAUUCUUUUUUUCAUUUCAUUUUCGUUUACUUUUGAGAACAGAAAAUGUAAAAUUUGAAUAAGUACCAAAUAACUUUUGAUAUUAAAACUUAAAUAAGCUUAGUUUUUUUCAUUUCAUUUUCGUUCACUUUUUAACAAGACAAUGUUUACUUUUGAUAUGGUUUAUUUAAGAGUCACAAGUGCUUAUUUAAUCUUAUAAACUCUUAUCAUAAUUUUUGUUGUUGUUUGGUUGUUUUUAUAAUUGAGCUUUUAAAACUUAAAUAAGUUAUUUUAUUUCUAUUAGAAAAAAUUCAAAUUUUAGGUUUUGGGAGUAGAGGUUAAUUUUUUUUAAAUGUUAAAAUAUCUAAAAUAUCAUCUCCUUAUUGACAAUUUUAUUUUAUUUUUUUCAUUUCAUAACAUAACUUUAAAAAAUUUACCUCUUAAAGUAAUUUUAUAAAUUUUUAAUAAAAACUCUUAUUGACAACCAAAUAACUAAUUUUUUUUGGUAAAAUCUCUAUUUAUAAAAGCUCUACUUAAAUAAACUCUACUUGAAAAAAUGUACCAAACAGAGCCUAAGAAUCGCUUAUUUGAAAAUUAGAAAAUCAUUGGAGACAAAAAAAAAAAAAGAUAAAGAAAUAUAUUUAAAAUGAUGUGGUUUUGGUUUUAUUUUAAAAAAAUUAACCUAAAUGAUAUAAUUUUAAGUAUAUUAUUUUUCAUUUCCCUAAUAUUCUUCAUAACUGAUCUUUGUACAACUCCGACCAAUGUUCACUGACAUUACAGUGUAAUUGACAUUUUCUUUUCACCGCUUUCAAUGUUUUUCCCAAAACAAUGGAAUAACCCAAGGGUCCGCCUACGUUACAUUUAAUGUAACGUACAGUCAGCCUGUGGAAUUUUAUCUAGCCCCUUAUACUCUAUGUUAUUUAUAUUUUAUUCAUGAAUAUUAUAAAUUUUUUGAAAUGUAAAAUUUCGUUUAACCCCUUAUAUUCAAUUUUAUUUUAUUAAAAUCCUAAAGUAUGAAUUCGCCCCUAUAAUAUUAAAUUCUCAAAAUAACCUCCAUUUAAUUAAAAAAUAUAAUUAUUGUUAAAUGAAUUAUAAUUAUAAUUAUUAUUUUAUUAUAAUCAUAAAUAUUUUUUUAAAUAGAUUAUUUUUAUUAUUAAUAACAAGAAUAAAAAGUAUUAUAAUUAAUUAAUCUAUUACCAAUAAUUAAUAAUAUUUUUUAUUAAAUUGUUAAUAAUAAUAAUAAUAAUCAAUGAUAAUUAACAUAUUUAUGAUUAUAAUAAAAUAUGAAAGGAGAGCGGAGACUUUUAUUUUGAAUAAACUAGUUCCGAUUAACAUAUUUAUGAUUAUAACAUAUUUAUGAUUAUAAUAAUAUUUUUUGAGAUGUUUGGGCAAGGGGGUCUCAUGGGUGUGUGGACUUUUAGGCUGCCAGGAGAGCGGAGACUGGAAAAAUACCUUGCGUUUAGAUAGUGACUUGUGUGUGAGUAAUAACAAUUUUUAUUAUAAAAAUAAGUUUUAUACCAAAUAUUAAAAAAAAUCUGGAUAAUCAUUAAUUAUUAUUAUUAAUUAUUUAAUAAAAAAUAUUAUUAAUUAUUGUUAAUAGAUUAAUUAAUUAUAAUGCUUUUUAUUCUUAUUAUUAAUAAUAACAAUAAUCUAUUAAAAAAAUAUUUAUGAUUAUAAUAAAAUAAUAAUUAUAAUUAUAAUUCAUUUAACAAUAAUUAUAUUUUUUAAUUAAAUGGAGGUUAUUUUGAGAAUUUAAUAUUAUAGGGGCGAAUUCAUACUAUAGGGUUUUAAUAAAAUAAAAUUGAGUAUAAGGGGUUAAACAAAAUUUUACAUUUCAAAAAAUUUAUAAUAUUCAUGAAUAAAAUAUAAAUAAUAUAAAGUAUAAGGGGCUAGAUGAAAUUUCACAGGCUGACCGUACUUUACAUUAAAUAUAAUGUAGGCGGACCCAUAACCCAAACUUGUUUUUUUCCUACCUUCACCAACCUCAUUGACAAAAAUAAAAAGGGUCCGCCUACGUUACAUUUAAUGUAACGUACGGUCAGCCAGUGAAAUUUUAUCUAGCCCCUUAUACUCUAUGUUAUUUAUAUUUGAUUCAUGAAUAUUAUAAAUUUUUUGAAAUGUAAAAUUUCGUUUAACUCUUUAUACUCAAUUUUAUUUUAUUAAAACCCUAGAGUAUGAAUUCGCCCCUAUAAUAUUAAAUUCUCAAAAUAACCUCCAUUUAAUUAAAAAAUAUAAUUAUUGUUAAAUGAAUUAUAAUUAUAAUUAUAAUUUUAUUAUAAUCAUAAAUAUUUUUUUAAUAGAUUAUUGUUAUUAUUAAUAAUAAGAAUAAAAAGCAUUAUAAUUAAUUAAUCUAUUAACAAUAAUUAAUAAUAUUUUUUAUUAAAUAAUUAAUAAUAAUAAUUAAUGAUUAUCCAGAUUUUUUUUAACAUUUGGUAUAAAACUUAUUUUUAUAAUAAAAAUUGUUAUUACUCACACACAAGUCACUAUCUAAACGCAAGGUAUUUUUCCAGUCUCUGCUCUCCUGGCAGCCUAAAAGUCCACACACGCAUGAGACCCCCUUGCCCAAACAUCUCAAAAAAUAUUAUUAUAAUCAUAAAUAUGUUAUAAUCAUAAAUAUGUUAAUCGGAACUAGUUUAUUCAAAAUAAAAGUCUCCGCUCUCCUUUCAUAUUUUAUUAUAAUCAUAAAUAUGUUAAUUAUCAUUGAUUGUUAUUAUUAUUAUUAACAAUUUAAUAAAAAAUAUUAUUAAUUAUUGUUAAUAGAUUAAUUAAUUAUAAUGCUUUUUAUUCUUGUUAUUAAUAAUAAAAAUAAUCUAUUUAAAAAAAUAUUUAUGAUUAUAAUAAAAUAAUAAUUAUAAUUAUAAUUCAUUUAACAAUAAUUAUAUUUUUUAAUUAAAUGGAGGUUAUUUUGAGAAUUUAAUAUUAUAGGGGCGAAUUCAUACUCUAGGGUUUUAAUAAAAAAAAUUGAGUAUAAGGGGUUAAACGAAAUUUUACAUUUCAAAAAAUUUAUAAUAUUCAUGAAUAAAAUAUAAAUAACAUAGAGUAUAAGGGGCUAGAUGAAAUUUCACAGGCUGACUGUACGUUACAUUAACGUAGGCGGACCCAAAUAAAAAAUGCUGUCAAUUUCUCCAACCAUGUGACAAUGCCCUCACCACGUGACCUUUUGCUCACAUCCGGUUGCACAUUAACCAUCAAAGCCGGUUUCCCAUGAAUGUCCAUUUUUUUUAGGGUGACCCUAAGUUACGUUAAGUGUAUCUUACGUUUUUUGUCUUUUUCUUGUGGCAAUUUUCAUACAAGUCCUUACAUUUAUUACUUUUAUAUUUAAGGAUGCAUUUGCCUUCUUCUAUCAAUUAUACACCUAUUUUUCAUUCUUUCUAAUGUUUUCUUUAUUUCUUUAAACAACAAUAUAUGGUUAUCGAAUUCAUAUAAAUCUGUAAAUUCAGAAUAAAUUUCGGGUCCUAAAUUUAUUAUUCCCAUUCUUUCUUGUUCUAAUAGUUCUAUUUUUUGGGUUAUUUGAUUUAUAUAACUUAUUAUGAUAUUUUCCCAGCCUAGAUUCAUAUGAUCUAUAGUUUCUGCUAAAUUAUGUAUCAUAUUAAAAGCAUGUUGGUUCAUGGUAAUGCUUCUUUUUUAUACCAGUAUACUAAAAAUUUUAUAAAUUCAUCUAUAAAUUUCAUUUUCUUUUCUAUUAAAAUAUCACCCCCUAAAGUUUCUAUAUUUCUUUCUUGUAAUUCUUGAGUUACUUCAAGCUCGAUAUUUCGGAUGUUAUUCUUUUUCAAAUACCUUUAAAGUAUAUAAGCUAUCUGUUAUAUUUUUUAUAGGGUCCAUGGCUCUGAUACCAUUUUAUGGGUUGUGUAAAAAUGUAAAAACAAAAACAAGACAAAAACAAAACUAAUAAAAACUAAAAUAAAUUCAGUCAACAAAAUUAAACAAAACAAAUAAAUAAAUAAUAUUAAGUAGAUGAAUGAAAACUAUUAGGAUAAUAGAAUUUUGAUGCAAAAAUUCAAAAAGAUAUAUCUAUUUUAUGUCUUUAGUAUUAUUAUUCAUCUAAAAGAGUAUAUCUAUCAUAUCUUGUAUUAUCAUUAUUUCUUAAAUAUAAGGCUAUAACUUCUUCCCCAUUAAUUAUACUAGGUAUAUUUCCGGGAAAACUAGGAACAUAAAAAUCGUAAUAAUUAUUAUGAGUUUCUAUAAUAAAUGUAGGGUUAUUAAUCUGAUUUGAAAUUUCUAAAUUAUGGGAUAUGUUUACUGGAUAAUAGAAUAUUUCUACUUUUAUGAAAUAUAUAUUAUUAUUUAUUAUACUAGUAUAAUAUCUUGUUUCCUUGUAGGUGUUCAUGAUUACAGAAUAUUAUAUCGACUUAAGAUUUUAUAUUUCUAGUUCUUCAUUAUCUGAAUUAUCUAUAUAUUCUAUGUAUGAGGGUUCUAUUCUUAAACUUUCAUUUUCUAUUUUAGCUUUAAUUAUAUCAAUAGUCUCAUCUAUAGUUAACAUUGUAAUUAAGUGUUUUAGAUUAUCUAUUUCUAAAAUGUUUAAGAUUCUUCGUUUUAUUUCUGGUGGUAAUUCUAGUGUAUAUAUAGCUUCUAUCUUUUCUUUACUAAUAAGUUCUUCUUUACUAAAUAUGUAUUAACUUUGCUUAAAAGAUCCAAGAUUAAAAUCUAUUAUCAUCAUGUAGUUAUUAUAUGUUAUCCUAGUUGUAGGAUUUAUCAUUUUUUCUUUUGGAUUUCCACGUCCUAAUCUAACACUCAUAUUUUGAUAAACACUCAUUUUUCUUAUUUUUAAUAAUUUUGAUUAAGAAUUCGAAUAAGAUUCACUUCUGAGAGAUGCUCAUCCACCAUCAAUCUCCUCAUCUACAAUCAUUACCCAACUUCUACCAACAGAUAAGGUUAGAGAAUUAUUACCUAAGUUAUCCUUUUUCUUCGUCUUAAGAUCUGUCUCCAGUGACCUGCAGCAUAUGCGUCCUUCAUUCCCUCAACGGCCUCCUGCCUUAACGGGAUCAAGCGGACUCCAAUGGCCUUUCUGUAUGGAUCCUGAUCUUCUUUCUUAGAAAUAAAGAUAAUUUUAGGUUUCUCUUUCCUUUCUAUGGGGUUGUUUGUUUAUGAUUGAUGAUGUAUUGAUUUCUGGUUUUGAGCUUAAGAGAAUUUAGCUAUUCAUUUUCAUAGAGUUUUUCCACUAUCGAAAAUAUUGCAAAAGUGAAAUAUGGUGUGUAAUCUGAGCCCCUUGCUCCUUCUUUUUUCUUUUUAUUUCAAAACUUUUGCCUCGAGAUUACAUUCUUGCCCUUUUUGCUUUUUCUAAUUAUUACAAAUGCUUUUCUAAUUACAUUAUUACAAAGGCGUUUCUUUCCUCUAUCAUGCGCUUCUGCUUUUGCCUUUUUAUCUUGUCUGCUAAAGCAUCUUUUAUUUGUCUGCCACGUUUAUUGUCUUGAUCAUGCUUUUUUAUCUGAUCUGCUAAGGCAUCUUUUAUUUUGUCUGCCACUUGCAUUAUUCUGAUUACGCUAUGCGUAUCUGAUUGCUUGUCUCCAUGAGCUGGAAAGCAUGUUGUAUGGUUUCACUGCUGCUUGGAAAGCGCCUAGUGCUUAUUUCAUUGAUUAGCUCCAGCAAGAUAUUUGAUGGUGUAUGGCUGUCUUCUGCUGUCACUAAGAUAUAAUUCUGGAAUCUGAUGAUGGUUAUGAAAUUCCUCUUGUAUAGGUCUUUUGCUAUGCUCCAAAUGGCUUUUAUUCCUUUGGCUCUUCGGGUUUUUAUCCAGGACUUGGUUAUAUGAGGAACUUCUGUGUAUCCAGUUCCUACUUCUACUUUAAAAUUUUUUGUGAGGUGACCUACGGAAAUCAUAUAGAAUGCUUGAUAUUCUAUAUUUUGAUGGUAUUCUGGACUUAUGGUGUAGAAUUUGAGGUAUAUGGGUUUUUUCUGGGCAAAUUUUGACACUUCUUUGACUAAAAGUUCGUCAAAGCUGGCUAUUUCUCUCAGAUCUAUAUCUGGAUAAACUAAAUCUAAGAAUCCAUAUCGGGCUAUUUUUCCAACAAUAAGGGGGUCAGCCCCCUUUGUGGCUAUAAAUCUGGGAUAUAUGUUUUUUCCUGGUGCUUUAAAGAUGCUAUUAUUAUGAGAACAAAUAGAGUAUACCCAGGUAGCAAACUGUUUAUACUCAUCUUCUUUUUGGUUCAGAGGUUCUUCUUUUUCUUCAGUAUAGGGACUGUCUAUUUGAAUGAAUUUCUUUGUUGGGCUUAUUUUUGGAGAAUCAACCUCUAUGGAGAUUGUUUGGGUAGGAGCUGUAUCAGAGAUUGGUUUAUAGUCUCUCAGGGGUUCACUACUGCUUCCUGUAUUCAUUGGACUAGUGCACACUGGCACAGUGUUUAUUGAGAGUGCCUUUGUGAGAUCUUUUAUGUAUGAUCCCAACAAAUGGACUCCUUUUUCAUGGGCUUCUGAAGCCUCUUUUAUAUAGUUUAUUGCAUCAAUUAUGUCUGAUGCUUCUGUUGCCAAUCUUUGUAUUUCGGCAUUUAUUUCAGAAAGGAUUUUAUUUAUGUCUGGAUCCAUCUCCAAAUUCUAUGUUCCUGCUUAAGAAAUCUGCAAGAAAAUUGUUAGAUCCCUUUAUAUGUAUAAUUUUAAAAUUAUAAUAUGAUAAAUAAGCUUGCCAUCUAUGUAACCUUCUGUACUGGGGUUCAUUUGGUAAAACUUUAUUUAUUAAUGAGUUUCCCUGAGAAUUGUCAGUUUUUAUAGUAAAUUGUUUUUGUAAUAAAAACAAAGAAAACUUUUUUAUUCCUUUAUAUAUAGCAAGCAGUUCUUUUUCAUGUACAGGAUAAUUGACCUGUGCUUGGUUGAAUGUACCACUGGUGUAUCUACAUAUUUCAUUUAUGUCAGUCUUAAGUAUAACUCCCCAAUAUAGAUCAGAUGCAUCAGUCUGCAUUACUAACUUAUCAGUUUUAUCUGGUAAUCUUAAAGAAGGGAGAUUUUUACAUUCCUCCUUUAAGUUUUUUACAGUUUCUGUAUGUUCUAUACUCCAUCCUCUAGUAUUAUUUUUCCUAAGUAGCUUUUGAAGUAUAUUUUUCUUUUUAGCUAGAUUUUCUAUAAAUCCUUCUGCAUAAUUUAAGCAGCCUAAGAAUUUUUGUAUCUGUUGUUUAUUUUCUAAUUUAUCUGGAAAAUCAAUAAUUUUUCUUCCUAUAUGGCUUUGAAGUCUGAUUCCUUGUUUAUCUAGAAUCAUUCCUAAAAAUUCAAUUUUCUUAUGUUCUAUUAUUGCCUUUCUUUCUGACAGUAUUAUUCCUUCUUUGACACAUACAUUUACAAAUUCUUUUAAAUGUUUUCUGUGUUCUUCUAGUGUUUCAGAGGCUAUUAAUAUGUCAUCAACAUUGUUGAGUGUUAGAAAAUGCAUAUUUAUAAAGGAGAAAACCGUCAUUUUACAUUUCAAGUCUUAUUAACAACCCUUACUUUUAUGUAUUUAACCUUCUUGUGAUUUAAUUACAUGUGUUUUAUUUUAAUUAAGUAUUUUAUGUAUUUUAGGGGCAUUAUAGUCAUUUCACAAUAAAGGAGAGAUCAGAUGGCAAAACGGACAUCACUUUUGAACUCAGGACGGUCGAAAACCUUAGGAGGGGCAUAAAAGGAAAAAUGGCACUAUUCACAUGUACGGUACUAUUCACGUAUACGGUACUGUAUAUGUUACUGUUCACGGCACUGUUCACAUAGACGGAUCGAUGACGUGGCAUUGACCGAUGAUGUGGCAUUGACUGAUGAGGUGUCACGAUCCUGUUGGACUAAAAUUCUUAUGUACUGUUGAUGGUGACGUGGCAGCAUAUCAGUGGACGAAAAAUCUCGCGUACGGUGCAUGCAUCACACAGGAUUAUUUUCAACCAAACCGCGUUACUGUUCAUCCGGGUCAAACCGUGUUACUGUUCAUCCGCGUGGUCAAACCGUGGACUGUUGACUGAUGACGUGGCGCAAUCCUGAGCGUCCAAACUGUUUUUAAUCCGAUGGCCAUGAUUUACUCCAUGUAUCUAUAAAAAGGGGGCCUUCCCCCCCUAAUUUGAUAUCUCUGAAUCCAUUUUUGGGAUCCAUUUUCUGUAAUUCCCUCUCCAUCUUGUAUUUUCUUUGUAUUUUAAUAAAUUCCCAUUUUGCCCCUAGUUCAAUUAUGAGUGGCUAAUUUUCUUUCAAGCUUGGGUUGAAGGUGAAGUCUCAACAUGUGUCAUGGGCUUAAUUGGUAAAUUUAUUUUCUCUUCCCCUCUAGUUUUUGUGGAUGUUUUGACUUCUCGUCGACAAAUAAUACUGAUCUUGUCUAGAUACCGCCUUGGUUACACCGGCUCUCUAGUAUAAGGUUAUUAUUAUUUGGCACGAUAAGCCCUUAGCACCAUAUUGAUUAGAGCGUGGUUCAUGAGGUGUGGAUUCCCCCUCAUGAUUUAAUUGGCAUUAAUACGGAUUAUUUAGCCCAUGAUGCAUGUUGAUACGGAUCCAGAUACCCAAGUACGUCAAUUUAAUCGAUUUUCUCUACAAUUUAUUCUCGCCAUUGCAAUUCCAAUUUUAGCAUAUUUUAAAUCACUUCCACCACAAUUCCAACCACCCAUUUACAAAAUUAAUUCUAUAUAUAAUUAAAAAUCCACCUCCUCGUGGGAUCGACACUCGUCACCAUUAGUCUAUACUACAAUAGAUUCGUGCGCUUGCGAGUACAUUAAAAUUUGCACAACAAACAUAUACUAUUAUGUAUCUAUAAUCUCUAAAUAUUUUAUUCAUUCUACUUUGGAAUAUUUGUGGGGCAUUUUUUAAUCCAAAAGGCAUUACUAACCAUUCAUAAUGUCCUUGUGGAGUACUAAAGGCUGUAUAAGGAAUACUAUUUUCUUUCAUUUUUAUCUGCCAAAAGCCUGAUUUACAGUCAAACUUUGAAUAAUAAGUUUUAUUUUUUACUAGAUUUAUUAGUACUUCUUUAUUUGGUAAAAAAUAUCCAUCAAAUUUUGUAUAUUUGUUUAGUUCUUUAUAAUUUAUUACCAUUCUAGCUUUACCUCUAACUUGUUCUGCUCUUUUUCUAACCAUGAAAGCUGGGCUGUUGUGUGGACUAUUACUAUUUCGUAUUAAGUUUAAUUUUAAUAAUUCUUUUAUUUGAAUUUUAAAUUCUUCUCGAUCUUCUUCCGUGUACAUCAUAGGUUUAAGUCUUAUGAUUCUAUUUUCUAUUAAUUCUAUUUUUGCUCUGGGGUGAUCUGGUUUCCAUAAGGCUAAUGGGAUUUUCUUUAUAGACAUUUUCAAGUUGGGAUUUUAUUGUUUCUAAUUUUAUGUUUAUGUGAUAACUCUUUCCUUUUGAAAUUAAAUAAUGUUUUUCAUAUAUUGUCUUAUCACCACGCGAGGCUGGCUGAACUCGAUAAGGACGAAAUUCACGAGGAAUGCGAAGAAUAUGAUUGCAUGGGGUUUUAAGAGUAAUCAUAUAGGUCGUCUGUUGGUAAUAUUGAAAUUGUUGUAAGAAAUCAUUACCUAAGAGUAUAUCACAGUCCAUUUGGUCAUAUUGGAAGAUAUGAUUAAUACGGACAAUUUUACUUCCUAAAAGAGUUUCAAAAUUCUCUAAGGAUUGAGUGAUAUGUUGUUUAUCUCCUGUGAUACCUACGAGUUUUAUUUUGCUAUUUGAUUUCCAUUGGUUUGACAAAAAGGUUUUCAUAAUUGUAAUUUCACUUCCUGUGUCUAUCAAGGCGCAAGUGUCUAUAUCUUUUUCUACUAUGUUUAUUUGUAUAUAAACAGACAUAGGAUAUUUUAUAUAUGCUUGUCUUAACAUGUUUCACAAAUUAUCUUUUGUCCUUCUAUUUGUAAAGUUAUUUGGCCUUUUUCUAUUUUAUAAUAUUCUAGACUGUUUAGGAAACUAUUUCCCAAAACUAUAUGUUUUUCUGGAUCUGUAGUCAUAAAAGAGUCUAUGUAGCAAGAUACUAUUAUUCGUAUUCCUUCAAUUAUUAAUGGAACUUUUACUUCUUGUCUACAUAUAUGCUUAUUACCAUUGAAGUCAGUAUAUUCAUACGGAAUUUCUUUUUCUUUUAUUAAGAGUCUUUUAUUUUUUGUAUGAUUCAUAUAAUUAUGACUUGUUCCUGUAUCUACUAGAAUAGGUAGUUUUAUUGUAUAUUCUAUUCCAUUGAAGUAUUGUCCAAGUAUUUUUACUACACUACUAAUUAGUAUAGGUUUUACUAUUUCUUUAUUUAUAUUGAUUAUUUGUCUAUCAGUACUUAAUCUUCUAGAAGACCCUCCUCGCAAAAGGGUUCUUCCUGCAAAACUUAUAGGGAUUAUAGAAUUCUCAUUAUUAUCAUUUAAAAAUUAUUUUUUAUCAUCUACAUCUAAUUCGUAUGUUAUAGGAAUUUUAUAAUCCUGUAUGAUAGGUUCUAUUAAGGUUGCUAUAUCCUCACAUUCUUUAUUUAUUUCUAUAUAUGGUUUAUUUCCAUAAAUUUCUCCAUAAUUUGAGUUACAAAAACUAUAUAAUGCUGAAUAGAGUAUAGUCAUUAAUCUAUUUCCUUCUUUUAUUAAGUUCUUUUUUAGGAGUUUAAAAUGUAGGCUUAAAGUUUCAUCUAUGUUUUUUUCUUUUAUAUGUACACAGUAUCUAGGGUGACAUGCAAAUAGUAAUUUAGUAUAACAUAAGUUUCCUUCUACUGUUCCUAGAUGUCCUAUGCUAGGAUCAUGAAAUCUUUGGUCAUGGAUUGAUAAAACUAUUGGGCUAUCUACCCCUUCUUUGAAGAGAGAUUUUAUCAAAAUUUGGAUUUCAGCUAAAUAUACAUAUUGUAUUUUUUCUUUCGUUGAUUCAUUCUUUAUUUUUCUUAAGGCUAAAUCUAUUGUUCUUUUAUUUAUUAAACUGAAUCGUAUAUUUCCUUCAGCUUGUGUUAUAGUUACAGCUUUUUCUUGUUCAUAGUAUUCAUGUAAGAUUAUCCUUUUUCUUUUAAAUAAAUCUCUUAGUUUUUGUAAGAUACCAUACUCUGGUUUUUCCACAUUUAAUCUUAAAAGUUUAUUAUAUUUUUCCUUAUUAAAAGUGGCUACUAAGCUAUAUCCACUUUUGUUUUCUUCUCUUUCUAUUUCUUCAAUGUCUUCUAUUUCUUCUUUUUCCAUUAUGUCUUUUUCUUUAUUCUGAUUCAUUUUCCUCCUCUUUUUCCAUAUAUACCUCCAUCCCUUCGUAUUCUGACAUGCUUGUUAUUUCUUCUAAUUCAUCUUGUAUUUGAUCAAAAUCUUCUUGUAAAAUUCUAACCUUUUUCUUUUUACAAUCUGUACUGAUAUGUCCUAUUUCACCACAAUUCCAGCAUUUGCAUUUUGAUUUAUCUACUAAUUUUCUUUGGUUUUUAUGUUUCCUUUUGUAGUAUUUCCUUCCAGGUUUCCUGUAUUUAUUUUUAAAAUUGUUAUAUUUUUUAUAUCUUUUUUCUUUUUUAUGCCAUUUUCUUUUUCUAUUAUAGGCUAUAGAACAUCCCCAUUGCGUUGGCAUUUCUGUCUUUUCACAACAUAUUUCUGUUAUGUUUCUACUCUUUUUUAUUAGAUUUCUCUGGAUACAUAUACCACUAAGUCUUGUAUUUACAAAUCUUAUUCUAGAUCCUAAGUUAUCUGGGAGUUUAUUUGAAGUACUAAUUUUCUCAUAUUCAUUUAUAAAGUAACUAUUCCAAGGGUAUGGUAACUUGGAGUAAUAUAGGUUUUUAUAAACUUCUUGAUCUUCUAAACUCACAUAUUGUUCAUAGUAAUAUUUACUAAAUUCACAAGUAUAUUCUUUGAUAAAACACAUAUUGCAUAUUGUUAAGUUUAAUAGAUUUAAUCUUGCUCUUUGUUUUUCAUUAUUUGCUUCUCGCUCUGAAUUUUCUAACCAAUCUUCUCCUAGAAAUUCUCUGGCAAUAUAUUCAAGUAUUCUUUCUAUUCCUAGAGCAGUGCUCCUUCUAAAAGCUAUUUUGGUUGAAUCUUUUAUUAACAUUUGUGUAUCAUCACUUAAUCCUCUCCACCAGUUAAAUAUAUUUCCUGUAAAACUGGUUAUUAAGAUGUCUGUAAAUAUGUCUAUUUUUUCUUCAUUGGUAGUUACAUUCCAGUCAUCAUUAGCUCCAUUAUAUGUGAAGAAUAGCUUCAUUUGCAUUCCCCAUUCUGCUAAUGUUUUUCGAGGGUUUUCCUUGCAAUCUAUAUUUAGAAAUGAUCCACUAUUGCUUAUAGGUACUAAUGUAUCCUGAUUGGGUUUGUAUUCUUUUUUCCAGGGAGUAGCUUUUACUUUAGGUGUAUAUUCAUAAAAAGGUUUAUUAUUUUUCUUAGGUAUAAACCUAUGGCUAGGUUCUGCAACAUUUGGUUUCAUCUCUGGUCCUCCUGCUGUAUUCAUUUUUAUUUGGUAUUCUUUUUCAAAUUCUUCUAAAUCACUAAGAUUUAUGUCACUAAAUUUUUCAGUUAAAUUUUCUAUUGUAUCUUCCAUUAUUCAGAAUUAGACUCAGUUUGUUCUUUUAUUUCUAAUUUCUCUUUUCCUUUUUCCUUCUUUUUUAUUUCUGCUUUUAAUUCUUCAGCUUCUUGUAAUAUUUUUGGAUAUUGUGUUUCCAUAAACCAGUAGUCAUAACUACCUUUUUGGGGUUUUUGUGUAGGUUUCUUAAAGUUUGUUCCAAUAAUACCUGAUUUUAUUAUCUCAAGUCUUUCUAUUUUCUUAUUUUUCUUUUGCCCUUUUUGUAACAAGGAUAUUUCUAUCUUUAAUUUUCCUAUCUCUUGUCUUAUUUCUUUUAUUUCUUCUUUUAGAUUUAAAAGUAUCUCUUUUAAUUCUAUUAUUGUGGUUUCCAUAAAGUACAAGGGAGUUUAUUAAUAUUUUGUUUAUUUGAAUGUAUGUUACGUUGCAUGUAACAUAGGCUUGGCCUUUUUUUUAACUUCUUUUUCCUACCGUUAAAUUUCUCAUGAAUGUCAGUGAGUGGGAUCUAGCUACGGUACCACCGUGGUACCCUGCCACUGGUUUUGUCUUUUGUGUCAGUAGUGUUGUAAAAUUUCAUAGAGCCCCUUUCAUUCCUUUUUAUUUAAACUUUACCUCAUAAAUAUUAAAUUAAUUUCUAUUGCAUCCAUAUAAACAUUAUAAUAGCACCUUAUACUAUUUGUUAUUUAUACAUUUUUCUUCUAUAUUGCACAUUUAUCACAAUACCCCUCUCUUUACCACAAAUAUCAACAAACCCGACCCGAAUUUCGUUUCUGUUUUCGUCCACGCCACCGGCCAAGGUUGGUACCGAUCAGAAGAUCGUGCGACGCCGAUCAUUUCCACGCCAUCCUUGUCGAAAAAAUAACCGGGUCAACCUGACCCGCGAACCCGACCCGAAUUUUGUUUCCGUUUCCAGCUACUCCACCGGCCAAGGUUGGUACCGAUUAGAAACUCGUGCUGCGCCGGUCAUCUCCAUGCUAUCCUUGUCGCCAUAAAGCAUUCAGAAAGAUGCCGAUCGAAGUCGUGAAAGUUACAGAAUCCCUGCUUCAAUUCGCGGCGGUUUCUCCGGUUUCCGGUGACGCCACCACUUGUGGCUUGUUCUCCACAAUUCCCUCUGUCUUUUCUGACCAACCACAGCCACCAGAGGAGCCGAUUUACCAUUGAUCGACCGUUGAAGGAUUCAUGGGUUUGGGAGAAAUGAACUUAAUAUUUGUGAAGCAAAGUUCAAAUAAGAAUAAGUGAAAGGGCUUCAUGAAAUUUUACACAGAAAAGACAAAAGCGGGGGCAUGGUGCCACUGUUGCACGAUAGGCGAGUCCUUAUUUGUAUAUCUAUUUCUUAAAAAAAUAAAAAAUCAUAAAGUCCGGCAACGACAGUAUAGCACUUAAUGGUAACAGGAGAAUUCAAUGAAAUGCCAAAAUGCCACCUUGCGCUGUCCAAUUAACCUAUAACUUUAACACUAUUUACAUGCAAUUAUAACUAUCUAUCUCAGUUAUUAAGAAUCUAGUUGACUUGGAAGCAUGAGCCUUCUCCUGUAUGAAUUUAGUUUGGCAUUUUUGCAUUAUUCAGAUUACCCUUGAGACUUGAGAUCACAACUGCCUGCCUCUGCAUUUUCCUAAUCAUCCCUCUUGUCUAAUCUCUAGAGUUCUCUGAAAUCUCUUCUUCAUUUUCUGUCUCCCGUUUCUGUAUCGUUCUUGUCCUCGAUCCUACACCUUCUUUGCAAAUCUUUCAUUGCACUCGCUUUUCAAUUUGUCUUAGCAGAAAAUGGAUCCCCCUUUGUUUCAUCUCCAGAUUUUUCACUGCUUUCCCCUCCUCCUCCUUAAAUCUAUUCAACCUUUUAUUUUAACAAUUUAUCCAAACUUCUUAUUUCCCUCUUCACAACUGAUUGAUUAGUUCUGCUCAGUUUGAUUAGUUUUGUUUUCCCCUGUUUUCUAAGAGCAAAAAAUAAAAAAGAAAGGGAUAAUGGAUAUUGUUAUUUCCGUUGCUGCAAAAGUUACAGAGUACUUGGUUGCUCCUAUAAUUCAUCCAUUUACUUACUGCUGCACUUAUAAGACCAACUUCGAGAAGGUGAAUAAUGAAGUCGAUAAGCUCAAGAAUGCUAGAGACAGUGUGCAAUAUAAGGUUGAUGAUUCCAGAAUUGAAGGGGACGGAAUUCAACACCACGUUGAGAAGUGGAUGAUUACUGUGGACAAGGCCAUCAAUGAAGUCGAAACACUUAUUGAAGACAAAGAGAAGUCAAACAACCGGUGUCUGAAAGGGUUGUGUCCUAAUUUGAAGACUCGGUACCAGCUUAGCAAGAAAGCAGAAAGAGAAGCGAAUGCUAUAGUUGGACUCUAUGAAAGAGGGAGAUUCGACAGUGUUUCUUUCCGUACCAUUCCAUGUUGAUGCUAGAUUCUGGUUGUCCUCGUUCUACGACCAGGGUCUCUGCUCGAUCAACUUCACCACGACCAGGAUCUCUCCUCGUAAAGCUUCUUCUCCAGAGGUUCCUACGCACACAGACAGGUCAGAGUACGCCGGUUGUUUUCCCGGCGCAAACCCUCCAACGCUCAAGUCAGAUAUGAAGGUUCGGGGAACGCUUGCCACAGAUCUUAUGGCUUUUGGGUAGUCUUCUCUUCUUUAGAAUUGCUUUUAUCUCUCUUCUAAUCUCAAAAUUGCUAACCCUUUUACCUUCGUUGGCUACAUUUUUAUAGGCCUCCUCUGAAUCCCAGUUUUCCACAGUCUACGUCCGUUAUCCUCCCACCUCUUGAACGUGGAUUCCCCAUUUUCGUAGUUGUGGGUGGUUGCGUGGCCUUCGUGCCUAGAUUCUCGGGCUGGAGAGCAUGCCUCGCCAACUGUCGUUGACCGGGUCUCCUCGAAUCAACCCUUAGCAAGAAUACAACAUGAAUGGCUUUAUGCUUCUUACAGGAAAUUGGCCUCGCAGAUGACGUGCUCGUGGAUGAGCAGGAUAUUCCUGCCCCUGUUCCCCUGCUACCUGGCUCUUACAGGACACACCUGCUCGCAGACUUCUGCCAACAAACAUCUGCUCAUCACGUCUGGUCUCGUCGGAGUAUUUCCCUCAAACACCGGUCCCCCAGUUUCUGGUGUUGGGUAAUGUAAUGGACCAGCAGUAGAAACUUAGUGGUUCUUGGUCGCGCGGGACUGGAAAAGGCUGCCAAGAGUCAUAUCGCAUUUAAUUGCGGACGAGGUGAUGUGGCAGAAAUAUGCCCCUCUAUUCGAAUUUCAAACCAACGGUUAUGAGGCCCUUGGGGUCAAGUUGCACAAAUAGACGGGAAGGAUUAUCGCGUCCCACCCCGUUUCACGGUCCCAGGUUGCCUGCUCGCUUUAGAUGUCUUGUGUCCGUAAUUGUUCUCGCUUUGUUGGUUUGUCUCUAACCAAGUGUCUGUUUGUGUUGUAGUUUCUUGGGGUGUUCAUUUCUCGCUCAAACCUGGCCAGCUCAAACGGGUCGAGGCUGUGCUAGCCAAUUCCUGCUCGAGCCGGGAGCUGAUAACUAUAUACAACUUGCUCGAGUCUCGCUUGAUACUCCCUGGUCAUAAGAUGGAGGACGCUGUGAUUGGGGCUCUGAACAGGAAACGUUCUCGACCUCAAACCACGAAGAGAGACCAGAAUAAGGACGCCCCUACUGCAAAGCGGGCCAACUUCGUGCAGCAGGUCUCUCCCUUGAAGAUUUUACCUCCUGCUCCUGCCAAAGUCGGGGAAACUAGUGGAGCAGCCACCGAUCCUGCUUCUUCUUCUCCUCCUGUCGGGCCUCGAUCUCGCUUACCUGACAGCCGAGCAGAACACUUGGUCCCCUAUCUCAAUGAGUUAUCUAAACUCGUGAGCAAGAAGGACCUGGAGGACUUUGAUGGCUGCACUCUGGGCGAGCUGGUGGGAGCCAUGCAGUAUAGCGCUUUCCAUCUCAGCUGCAUGACCACCUACUAUAAGGCCAAGGUCGGCCGUUAUGACAGGAAGAUGAAGGAGGACAUUCAGUCAGCGAUGACCAGAGCUGACGGCGCCGAGAAGAAAGCAGGAGCGCUGAAUGUCGAGAACCUGAAGCUGAUAGAGCAAGAAUCUCUUGCUCAAGCGAAAGCCAUUACCCUCGAGGAGGAGCUGACCAAGGUCAAGGAGGAUCUUCAAAGGCAGAAGGCUAUGUAUGAGGCUCAGCUCGAAUCUCUCCGUGAUUCCCAUCGGGUUCAGGUCGAGAACUUAGAGAAGGAGGCUGACAACCAGUACGACCAGGGACUUCGGCAUUCUUAUCGUUGCAUCAUGGCCGUCCUCGGGAAGCAACACCCUGAUCUGAAGAUGGAUGACCUUGCAGCUGGUGUUGCUCAACAUAUGGACGAGGAGGCGGCCAGGGAAGACGCUGAAGGGGUAGAGCCGAUCGUGAUUGAGGAGGAAAACUCUCUUCCUCGUGCAGUACCUGCUGAUGUUGGCGAGGCGAGCACCCCCCCCGGAUGCAACUGGUGAUACCCCCCUGCACCUGAGGAGGUCCAACCAACCGAUGCUGCUCGGCUUACUGAUCCACCAUCUUCUUGAUAUAUUUCUUGUAUUGUAAUGAACAAUGUUUGUGAAGAUUAUCUCCUCUGUUAAUUAUUAACAAAUUAAUAAAGAUGUUUUUGAUUACUUUCUUGUGUUGUAAUCAUAAGUUAUUUUUCGUUUGAGAAUCUGCUCGUCUUUGUCUGGUCGAGCAGGUUCUGGCUUGGCACAUGGUUUUGCCACAUGCCUUUGAAAAUUCUUCAAUGCUUGGGAUUCUGCUCGCCUUCGCGUGGUCGAGCAGAUCCUGGCAUGCUUGGCUUCUGGUCUCGCCAUAAGACAGGCUUUGAGACUUGGUGAGCUUUUGCAUGCCUUAGGAAUUUUUUCGAAUGCUUUGGAGUCUGCUCGCCUUCUCGUGGUCGAGUAGAUCCUGGCACGCUUGGCUUCUGUCUCGCCAUAAAACAGGCUUUGAGACUUGGUGAGCCUUUGCAUGCCUUAGGAAUUUUUUCGAAUGCUUUGGAGUCUGCUCGCCUUCUCGUGGUCGAGUAGAUCCUGGCACGCUUGGCUUCUGUCUCGCCAUAAAACAGGCUUUGAGACUUGAUGAGCCUUUGCAUGCCUUUGAUAAUUUCUUGAAUGCUUUGGAGUCUGCUCGCCUUCUCGUGGCCGAGCAGAUCCUGGCACGCUUGGCUUCUGGUCUCGCCAUAAACAGGCUUUGAGACUUGUCGAGCCUUUACAUGCCUUAGGUAAUUUCUUCAAAGCUUGGGAUUCUGCUCGCCUUCUCGUGGCCGAGCAUAUCCUGGCACGCUUGGCUCUGGUCUCGCCAUAAACAGGCUUUGAGACUUGCUGAGCCUUUGCAUGCCUUCAAUUCUUCAAGGAUAGGGAUUCUGCUCGCCUUCUCGUGGUCGAGCAGAUCCUGGCACGCUUGGCUUCUGUCUCGCCAUAAAACAAGCUUUGAGACUUGAUGAGCCUUUACAUGCCUUUGAUAAUUUUUCGAAUGCUUUGGAGUCUGCUCGCCUUCUCGUGGUCGAGUAGAUCCUGGCACGCUUGGCUUCUGUCUCACCAUAAAACAGGCUUUGAGACUUGAUGAGCCUUUACAUGCCUUUGAUAAUUUCUUGAAUGCUUUGGAGUCUGCUCGCCUUCUCGUGGCCGAGCAGAUCCUGGCACGCUUGGCUUCUGGUCUCGCCAUAAACAGGCUUUGAGACUUGUCGAGCCUUUGCAUGCCUUAGGUAAUUUCUUCAAAGCUUGGGAUUCUACUCGCCUUCUCGUGGCCGAGCAUAUCCUGGCACGCUUGGCUCUGGUCUCGCCAUAAACAGGCUUUGAGACUUGCUGAGCCUUUGCAUGCCUUCAAUUCUUCAAGGAUAGGGAUUCUGCUCGCCUUCUCGUGGUCGAGCAGAUCCUGGCACGCUUGGCUUCUGUCUCGCCAUAAAACAAGCUUUGAGACUUGAUGAGCCUUUACAUGCCUUUGAUAAUUUUUCGAAUGCUUUGGAGUCUGCUCGCCUUCUCGUGGUCGAGUAGAUCCUGGCACGCUUGGCUUCUGUCUCACCAUAAAACAGGCUUUGAGACUUGAUGAGCCUUUACAUGCCUUUGAUAAUUUCUUGAAUGCUUUGGAGUCUGCUCGCCUUCUCGUGGUCGAGUAGAUCCUGGCACGCUUGGCUUCUGUCUCGCCAUAAAACAGGCUUUGAGACUUGAUGAGCCUUUGCAUGCCUUUGAUAAUUUCUUGAAUGCUUUGGAGUCUGCUCGCCUUCUCGUGGCCGAGCAGAUCCUGGCACGCUUGGCUUCUGGUCUCGCCAUAAACAGGCUUUGAGACUUGUCGAGCCUUUACAUGCCUUAGGUAAUUUCUUCAAAGCUUGGGAUUCUGCUCGCCUUCUCGUGGCCGAGCAUAUCCUGGCACGCUUGGCUCUGGUCUCGCCAUAAACAGGCUUUGAGACUUGCUGAGCCUUUGCAUGCCUUCAAUUCUUCAAGGAUAGGGAUUCUGCUCGCCUUCUCGUGGUCGAGCAGAUCCUGGCACGCUUGGCUUCUGUCUCGCCAUAAAACAAGCUUUGAGACUUGAUGAGCCUUUACAUGCCUUUGAUAAUUUUUCGAAUGCUUUGGAGUCUGCUCGCCUUCUCGUGGUCGAGUAGAUCCUGGCACGCUUGGCUUCUGUCUCACCAUAAAACAGGCUUUGAGACUUGAUGAGCCUUUACAUGCCUUUGAUAAUUUCUUGAAUGCUUUGGAGUCUGCUCGCCUUCUCGUGGCCGAGCAGAUCCUGGCACGCUUGGCUUCUGGUCUCGCCAUAAACAGGCUUUGAGACUUGUCGAGCCUUUGCAUGCCUUAGGUAAUUUCUUCAAAGCUUGGGAUUCUACUCGCCUUCUCGUGGCCGAGCAUAUCCUGGCACGCUUGGCUCUGGUCUCGCCAUAAACAGGCUUUGAGACUUGCUGAGCCUUUGCAUGCCUUCAAUUCUUCAAGGAUAGGGAUUCUGCUCGCCUUCUCGUGGUCGAGCAGAUCCUGGCACGCUUGGCUUCUGUCUCGCCAUAAAACAAGCUUUGAGACUUGAUGAGCCUUUACAUGCCUUUGAUAAUUUUUCGAAUGCUUUGGAGUCUGCUCGCCUUCUCGUGGUCGAGUAGAUCCUGGCACGCUUGGCUUCUGUCUCACCAUAAAACAGGCUUUGAGACUUGAUGAGCCUUUACAUGCCUUUGAUAAUUUCUUGAAUGCUUUGGAGUCUGCUCGCCUUCUCGUGGCCGAGCAGAUCCUGGCACGCUUGGCUUCUGGUCUCGCCAUAAACAGGCUUUGAGACUUGUCGAGCCUUUGCAUGCCUUAGGUAAUUUCUUCAAAGCUUGGGAUUCUGCUCGCCUUCUCGUGGCCGAGCAUAUCCUGGCACGCUUGGCUCUGGUCUCGCCAUAAACAGGCUUUGAGACUUGCUGAGCCUUUGCAUGCCUUCAAUUCUUCAAGGAUAGGGAUUCUGCUCGCCUUCUCGUGGUCGAGCAGAUCCUGGCACGCUUGGCUUCUGUCUCGCCAUAAAACAAGCUUUGAGACUUGAUGAGCCUUUGCAUGCCUUUGAUUCUUCAAGGAUUGGGAUUCUGCUCGCCUUCUCGUGGUCGAGCAGAUCCUGGCACGCUUGGCUUCUGUCUCGCCAUAAAACAGGCUUUGAGACUUGACGAGCCUUUGCAUGCCUUCAAUUCUUCAAGGAUUGGGAUUCUGCUCGCCUUCUCGUGGUCGAGCAGAUCUUGGCACGCUUGGCUUCUGUCUCGCCAUAAAACAGGCUUUGAGACUUGAUGAGCCUUUGCAUGCCUUUGAUUCUUCAAGGAUUGGGAUUCUGCUCGCCUUCUCGUGGUCGAGCAGAUCCUGGCACGCUUGGCUUCUGGUCUCGCCAUAAACAGGCUUUGAGACUUGGUGAGCCUUUGCAUGCCGUUGAUAAUUUCUUGACCAGUACAGUUGGCUGAAACUCCUCAUUGAUUCAUUUAUUAUUGAAUUCGGCUUACAUGAGAUUGCUUUGACAUAAAACAUAAAAAAUGAAAGAUAAAGAGCACGAGCAGAAAUUGCUUUAAAAUGUGAACAAGUCUUACUGGAAGUAUUUUCAUAGGUGUACUGCGUUCCACGGGCGUUUCACCUCGUGGCCGUCCGUGCGAACCAGCUUGUAAGCUCCGGGUCCCACUAUCUGCUUGACUCUAUAUGGCCCUUCCCAAUUCGGUCCCAGGCUUACUGUCUCCAGAUCCUCUACAGACUCUUGUCUGUCAUUCUUGUUUUCCACUCGGGUAUCAAGCGAUGUUAUCUGCAUUGCAUCCUUUGCUGCCGAGGAGUAGCAGCUUCUCGCAAUUCGUUGAGCCUCAUAUCACCCCCUUGUGCACUACUUCCUCCCGUCUCCAUUGCUUUUCACUUGCUUCACUCCUCUUCUUGCUAUCAACAGAAGCUUUUUGAUCAGCCCCCCACAGACGGCGCCAAAAUGUUGAUGCGAGAUUCUGGUUGUCCUCGUUCUACGACCAGGGUCUCUGCUCGAUCAACUUCACCACGACCAGGAUCUCUCCUCGUAAAGCUUCUUCUCCAGAGGUUCCUGCGCACACAGACAGGUCAGAGUACGCCGGUUGUUUUCCCGGCGCAAACCCUUCGACGCUCAAGUCAGAUAUGAAGGUUCGGGGAACGCUUGCCACAGAUCUUAUGGCUUUUGGGUAGUUUUCUCUUCUUUAGAAUUGCUUUUAUCUCUCUUCUAAUCUCAAAAUUGCUAACCCUUUUACCUUCGUUGGCUACCUUUUUAUAGGCUUCCUCUGAAUCCAAGUUUUCCGCAGUCUACGUCCGUUAUCCUCCCACCUCUCGAACGUGGAUUCCCCAUUUCCGUAGUUGUGGGUGGUUGCGUGGCCUUCGUGCCUAGAUUCUCGGGCUGGAGAGCAUGCCUCGCCAACUGUCGUUGACCGGGUCUCCUCGAAUCAACCCUUAGCAAGAAUACAGUAGGAAUGGCUUUAUGCUUCUUACAGGAAAUUGGCCUCGCGGAUGACGUGCUCGUGGAUGAGCAGGAUAUUCCUGCCCCUGUUCCCCUGCUACCUGGCUCUUACAGGACACACCUGCUCGCAGACUUCUGCCACUAAACAUCUGCUCAUCACGUCUGGUCUCGUCGGAGUAUUUCCCUCAAACAUUCCAGAGGAGACAUGGCUUAAGUCUACCCGGGAUUUCAUGCACUUUGAAUCGAGAAAGUCCACCUUGAAGGAGAUACUAGACGCACUCAGCAACCGUAACUUCAACAUGAUUGGAGUGUACGGGAUGGGCGGCAUUGGAAAGACCACGCUGGUGGAAGAAGUUGGCAGACAGGCCAAGGAAAAUAAUCUCUUUGAGAAGUUCAUUUCUUCACGUGUUUGCCAAACACGGCAAAUAAAGAACAUACAAGGAGAAAUCGCUGAGAAGAUAGGCUUAGAAUUGGCUGAACAGAGUCAUGAAACUGUGAGAGCAGGGAGGCUGCUUGAACGAUUGAAGAAAGAGACGAAGAUCCUUAUAAUCUUGGAUGAUAUUUAGGGGAGUCUUGAUUUGGAGGCGAUUGGAAUUCCAUUGGCAGAUGACAACGGCGGAUGUAAAGUUCUGCUGACAGCAAGAAGUCAGGAUGUGUUAUCUUGUAAGAUGGAUUGUCAACAAAAUUUUUUUGUUGAUGUUCUGAACGAAAAAGAAGCUUGGAGUCUUUUCAAAAAGAUGACAGGUGAUUGCAUACAAAAUGGUGAACUGAAAUCUGUAGCAACAGAGAUAGUCAAGGAAUGUGGUGGUUUGCCGAUUGCCAUUGUACCCGUAGCAAGGGCAUUGAGAAAUAAGAGAUUGUCUGAAUGGAAGGAUGCUUUGCUGGAAUUUAGAAGGCCUUCCUUGAGAAACUUCACUGGAACAACGCAGGUGGCGUACAAAAGUAUAGAGCUAAGUUACAAUCAUUUAAACGGAGAGGAACUGAAGAAAACAUUUUUGCUAAUAGGGUACACGUUCUUCUCUUGUGUUGAAGACCUACUCUAUUAUGGCAUGGGUUUGGGUCUGUUUCAAAACAUCAACACGUUGGAAGAGGCACGGGAUAGAGCACAUACAUUGGUUGAUAAACUCAAGAACUCUUGUUUGUUGCUUGAUGGCCGUUCAAGUGAAUGGUUUUCAAUGCAUGAUGUUGUUCGUGAUGUAGCCAGAUCAAUUGCAUCAAGAGACCAACAUGUGUUUGCGGUGGAAAAUGAGGUUGUUCCGCUCACCAGCUGGCCAGAUAAGGAUACACUGAAGGUUUGCACCGCAAUCUCCUUAAAGAAUAGUAAUAUUAGUGAGCCUCCUCAAGGGUUCGAAUGCCCGCAACUUAAAUUCCUUUGUAUUGGCUGUCAUGCUUCUUUGAGGAUCCCAGAUAAAUUUUUUACUGGGAUGACAGAGCUUAGAGUUUUAGAUUUCACUAAGAUGCAUUUGUUGGCAUUGCCUUCAUCGCUUGGUCGCUUGCAAAACCUUCAAACAUUGUCUCUCGAUGAUUGUGAACUAGGAGACAUGGCCAUUAUCGGAGACCUAAAGAAAUUAGUCAUCCUUGCGCUUCGAGGUUCUGAUAUGGAGGAACUGGCUGGAGAGAUAGGCCAGCUGACUCAAUUGAGGUUGUUGAAUUUGCGCCUAUGUUACCGACUGAGAGUUAUUCCCCCAAAUGUGAUAUCAAGCUUAUCACGAUUAGAAGAACUUUAUAUUGGUGAGAGUCCCAUUGAGUGGGGGAGGGUUGAAGGAGUCGACGGUGAAAGAAGAAAUGCCAGCCUUGAUGAGUUGAAUAAUUUAUCUAAAUUGACCUCUUUAGAAAUACUCAUCCAAGAUGAAAAGACUCUAUCAAGAGACUUGUCGUUCUUCAAAAUGCUGCAAAGGUACAGGAUAUCUAUAGGACAGUUGUCGCAGUUUAUUGUGGUUCCCACAUCGGAUGGGAUUUCUAGAAUAUUGAACGAGGGGCGUAUCAUGCAAUUGAAGGGUAUUGAAGGCCUAUCUCUAGAUGGAUUGAUCGACAUGAAGAAUGUUCUUUUUGGAUCAGACAGAGAAGGCUUUCCAAAACUGAAGGGUCUCCGAAUCGAAAAUAAUGGCAACCUUUCUUGUGUUGUUGACACAAUGGAUUGUACGCCAGCUCGGACGACUGCAUUCCCCCUUUUGGAGUCAUUAUUUCUGAGAGAUUUAAGGAACCUUGAGGAAAUAUGUCGUGGUCCACUCACAGCAGAGUUUUUUUGCAAAUUAAAGACCAUAAGGGUGGAAGGGUGUGAUAAAUUGAAAAAUGUAUUUGCCGAUGGUCAUAGGCAGAGGCCUUCAACAACUUCAGUCCAUUAAAGUGAGUAGUUGCCCAAAUAUGGAAGUGAUUUUUGCUGCCGAGAGAGGAGAUGAAUCCAGCAAAUUCCCCCUUUUGGAGUCAUUAUUUCUGAGAGAUUUAAGGAACCUUGAGGAAAUAUGUCGUGGUCCACUCACAGCAGAGUCUUUUUGCAAAUUAAAGACCAUAAGGGUGGAAGGGUGUGAUAAAUUGAAAAAUGUAUUGCCGAUGGUCAUAGGCAGAGGCCUUCAACAACUUCAGUCCAUUAAAGUGAGUAGUUGCCAAAAUAUGGAAGUGAUUUUUGCUGCCGAGAGAGGAGAUGAAUCCAGCAAUAAUAACGGUACUGAAGUGAUUGAACUCACUCAAUUGAGGACACUUGAGCUUCGUUCUCUUCCGCAGCUUACAAGCUUCUGCACAGGUGAUCUGCAUUUUGAAAAGGUACACGUGCAAGAUUUUUUUAAUUAUUUUUCAAUUCUUACGUACUGAAAAGUAUUUCUACUUUGAGAGUUCAGAGUUUUAUUGUCGUCAUCGCCCUCAUCACUUCGUCUUUUAGUAACAAAAUGUUAGUUCUAUAAAUCAGUUUAUUUAAUUAUACUUUAUAAUAUCCGUACAAACAUAAUAAUUAUUUUUUUUUUGGAUGUCAGUUAGACCGAAUGAAAAAAAAAAGAUAUAUAGUAAACAAUUAUUUUUUUCCUUCUUAUUCAAUUUUUUUUUCUCUUAAUUAUCAGAGUUUUUCUUCUCCCUCUACUUUUUAUUUUAUGUCUACAUGUUUAGUUAAAUACACGGAAAGAGACAGUGCAUUUGAUUAGCCAAAUAAAGAAAAUACUCAUAAGAUCUAGAGGCUUUCAAGGCACAGUUAAUUCCCUAAAAAUCGUUCAAGAGCUAUUUCCAAAUUAGUACUCCUUAGUACAGUAUUGUUACAUACAAAAUGAUUAUCAAUUUUGAUGUUGAAGAAGAAAUUGGUCAUCUCGUGUUAACAUAAAUAAUAUUUUUAAAAUAUAUAUAGAGAGAUGGACAAAACUCAAAUUAAGAAAUCUUAUUCUAUUAAACUUUAUGUACAAUAAAAUCCAUUCUUGCACAAUAGUAAAUAUAUCCAAUUCCAUUGAGUUGGAUGAAUAUUAAUGAAAUACCAACUUCUUACUAUAUUAUUAAACUUUUAAAAUUCAUAUUAUUUAUUCAUUUCUGCUUUAAGAAAAAGUUAAAAACUCCAAUAUUUUUUUUAAAUAUAUAGAAAUUUGUAAGAUUUUCAAUUCAAACCAAAUAAACGGAUCAAUUAAAAGAAUCUCAAAGUUUAAAUGCAAUUUGAGAAUAAUUGAAGUCUUUUUCAUAGAGAUUAUGCACAAAUCUAAAAAAAUUUGAAAAUCUAUCUACUGGACAAGAGUUAAGAACAGAGAAUGGAAGAAAAUACACACUACUUAAAUGGAAUGCUUUGUAUUUACAGCUGAAAAUCAUACUCUCUCCGCAUAUGUAUAAAUUUGUCCGGCCAUCAAUAUGCAUCAUUGGAAUGCUUUGUAUUUACUGUAAUUUUUGAAAUCGUUAGAAAGAAGUGUUAACUCCAUCUUGCUUUUUUCGUGAUUGAUGAUCACCCAGGUGUUCCCCAAUUUGGAGAAAUUGAGUGUUGAUGAAGAGCACAUAGGCCUAUUUCCAGAAGACUGGCUUUGCAAACUUAAAUGUCUUGCUGUCGGGAUUGAUGAGUCAAGUACAAUUUUAUCACUUGACGAUUUCCUCCAGAGAUUUCACACCAUCAAAAUUCUCUCUAUAGGAGGAGACUAUUUUGUUUGGGGAGAAUCAUUUGAAAACCUUGAAAAUGGGAUGAAUGCAAGGAUGAGAGGGAUAAACCAGCGUCGUGAACUGAAGCAGAUUUUCAAACAAGAGUCAACCAAUACCAACAAUUUGGAAAAGCUGGAGAUAUUCGAGUGUAACAAUUUGACUAAUCUAGUGCCAUCCUCGACAUCCUUUCAGAACCUAACAACUUUGACGGUGUGUUUUUGCCAUGGAAUGAUAAACGUACUAACAUCCUCAACAGCAAGGAGUCUGGUGCGACUGAGACAAAUGGAGAUAGGUUGCUGCAAGAUGAUAACAGAAAUAGUGGCAGAUGAGGAUGAUGAGGGAGAUAAUUAUGCAGCAAAAGAGGAAAUUGUUUUCAGCGAAUUAAAGGAAUUGAAGCUUUUUAACUUAGAAAGUCUGACAAGUUUCAGCUGCUCUGGGAAUAAUUGCGACUUCAAAUUCCCAUCUUUGGAAACAUUAGUGGUGGAAAAUUGCCCCAAUAUGAAGAUUUUCUCAGAAGGGGAAUUAAGCACACCCAAGUUACAGAAAGUGCAGCUGAGCCAUCUCAAUAAAAAACUUUGGGCUUGGGAUCGGGACCUUAAUACAACCAUUCAAUACGUAUAUCUUAAAAGGAAAAAGGUAAGUAUUCAUUCACACUGAGAUGUUGAUUUUUUUUUUCUAAAAAUUACUGAUUUAAUAACAGAUAUAUAUAAAGAAGUAAAAAGAAAAAAGUACAUAUUAAUUUUUUUUUAUAAAUUCAUUUUAAAUCUUAUUAGGAAGAGAAGGAAAAAAAGAAUGAGAAGUCCGCUGAGGCGAAUGAAAAGGAGAAAGAUGCAAAAGAUAGUGGUAAGAUAAAAUCUAAACAAUUUGAAAGGUUUUGAUUUUAUUCUAUUUUGCUGACUAAAAAUGUUUUAUUUAUGUUGAAUUUUUUGUUAAAUCAUAUUGGUACAUCUUUUUAAAAUAUAACUACUCUGCUCUAUUGUUAUGUUGAGGAUUAGUUGUUAGAAAGACAUAGCGAAAAAUAAAAGAAUAAAAAAUGAAAUUAAUUGCUUACUGAGAGAAUUGAAGGAUUUAUGUGUCCUUAAUAGAGGCUAAUUUGUGCAAUUUAAUUAUGUGAAAACUGCACCUUCAAUGUGUUUUUACUCUUUGUCUACAGAGUCUCCAAACUUAUGAAGACGAUUCAUGCUACUUGUGCAGCAUUUUGGAUAAGGCUCGAGCUCUAGUUCUUUGUAUAUAUUAAGAGUCAGAUGGUGUUGGGGCGAGGAUUUUUGUUUCAGUUUUCAUUUAUUAUUAUGCUCAUAGCUUUGUUUGAGUACUCAGAAAUCCAAUUUGAAGCUAGUUUUAUUUCUUAUGGAUGGUGUCCAAGAGCUGCCAUAUUCAAUUUGUAGGCAUCUGAAAAUCUCUUUAAGCCCUAAUUAAUUAAAGAGAUGUGUGCAUCAUAUUUGUGUUUGUGCACCUAUUGGUAUUUAUUGGAGACAAUUUUGCGAGAAAUUAUGUGAUUUCAUGAAAAUAUCAAGAAUUUAUAAAGAAAAUUAUAGAAAAAUAAAAGUUUAUGUUGAAGCAACAUGUGAAUUUAUAAAAAAAAAGUCACACAAGCUCUAAUUUUGUAUAUAUUUUAUGAACAAUAAUAGCAAGUAAAAAAAUUAUUUAAUGAUUUGAAGCAAGUCAGCUGAGACCAAGUGUUUUUAUUAUUUAGGGAAUUAGAUCAUGAAUGGUAAUCUUUCAUUUGAUCAAUUACCUCAAAAUACUCUCAUUUUACGAAGAACGUCAAAUAAUCAAAACUUAAUCGUCAUUAAUUAAAAGCUACUGUAGAAAGCUUGAACGGUCUUCCAAAUUGCAGGUUGGAAGAUGUGGACGGCAUUAGCAACUGUCAGGAAUCUUCAUCCAAGUUGCGAGCCACCCGAUCCGAGUCUCAUCAUUUACUAUUUUUUUUUUAACCUUUUUAAUUUCAUUUUCGUUUACUUUUGAGAAAAGGAAAAUGUAAAGAUUGAAUAAGAUAAGAAUCAUUUGUUUGAAAAUUGAAAAAUGAUUGGAAGACACAAAAUUGAAUUUUAAAAAAUAUAUAUUGAAAAUGAUAUCGUUCUGGUUCUAAUUUAGAAAAAAAAAAUUCACCUAAAAUGACAUUAUUUUAAGUAUAUUUUUGUCAAUUUUGUUGACUGAAAAGCCAACGACUCAAGGAGUGGGCCAACUGUUCAAAUAUGUGACAAGCUUGCGUGGGAGCUGAGGUUGUGGGCCUGUGGCCAGUGGCACAAUCUACUGGUGCUCGGUUCCGUGAUGGAAUAAACGAAUCCCAUCAUGAAAUCUAUGGCUGGUGGGAUAAUCUAUUGGUCUACUUAUAAUCCGAUUUUGGGAUUCUCACUCUUAUCAUCACCUCACAUUUCGCGCAAGUUUUUUUAAUUCUUCGUCCACUCUUUGCGUUCAUUUCAAUGAAAAAGAAAAAGAAAUUAAUAUAAUCGAACACACUACCUCAGUUAAUUUAGUUCUGCUGACUUAAUUUUUUUUUAAAUAUAAAGUCAGUGAGUGCCGCUGUACAAAUCAAAUUAUUGGUUACCAUUGGGCCGACACACAUCUCAAGACUCUGCAAGUCUUUCUCCAUCUCAAUCAACAUACUCAAUCGUCUUUGUUAGGGUGAUUAUACGACCAGAGCACCAGCCACACAUGCUUUCACCUGGUCGAGGUAAGAAUCUCCUCGGGUCGGUGUAUUAUGAGCAGACACAAUAAUACCAGGGUCCUCUUCGAUGUAUGGCUAAAAGUCGACCAGAGAACUAUUCCUUAAAUAUCGGACACGAUACCAUAUCUAGGCGACGGUUCCCGACCAUGCGGGGAAAGCCACGAUAACGGAUGCACGAUUUUCACAAAUCCUCUAAACCCACGAAGGCUCGAAUAUGGAGGACGUGGGGAUGUUCUAGAUACAUGGGGAGGCUGCCUAUAAAAACCCCAAAAAAACAACAAAAGGAAAAAAGAAAAAAAGGAAAAAGGGGGGAAAACUCAGUCAUUUUGGAUCUAGAACUUAUUUCGAAAAAGCUUUCUGAAACACUUCCUUCAUUUAAGAAUUGUUAGUUUUGAUAGAUGGAUAAUUCAACCUUUUUUUCCCCCCCGAAACCUUGCAUACUGACUUAAGUGUUGGAGGUGUUUGAGGAAUUAAAUAGAGCGACCAUGAUCUCCUCCAAGUGAAAGUGAGCAAAUGGUUGAGCAGACCACCUCGACCAGGUGGUAUGAGCUUGAGCAGAUCACCUUGACCAGGUGGUAUGAGCUUGAGCUGAUGACCAUGUGGUAUGAGCUUGAGCAGAUCACCUCGACCAGGUGGUAUGAGCUUGAGGAGACCACCUCGACCAGGUGCUAUGAGCUUGAGGAGACCACCUCGACCAGGUGCUAUGAGCUUGAGCAGAUCACUUCGACCAUGUGAUAUGUGCUUGAGCAGAUCACCUCGACCAGGUGGUAUGAGCUUGAGCAGAUCACCUCGACCAUGUGCUAUGAGCUUGAGCAGAUCACCUCGACCAGGUGGUAUGAGCUUGAGCAGAUCACCUCGACCAGGUGGUAUGAGCUUGAGCAGAUCACCUCGACCAGGUGGUAUGAGCUUGAGCAGAUCACCUCGACCAGGUGAUGACCAGGAAUCAAGACUCAGUUAAAAUAAACCACCACAAAGCUCCUCCGAAAAAUGAGAGCACGAAUUUGAUCAAUUAAUGGUUAUUGUCACGAUCUAAGGUCGUGGGUGUGGGGUGUUUAUAAAAACCCCGAGAAAACCAUGCCAAAGGGGGAGAAAUGGGGGGCUCUUUUUCUCUUGAUCUCACUGAGAAAUUCUUUCUAGAUACUCUACUUUACUUUUCUGUAAAUUAUUCAAAAAGCUUUUGGUUUUAAGGCAAUGUUUAUUAAGCCAUAUGAGAAACAUCAUAUUUGGUUUUUCCUGUAAACCCCAUAACUGACUUGAGCGUCGGAGAGUUUACGCCGGAAAAACUUCCGGCACCUCUGACCAUUCUCUGUAAUUUCAGGUACUUAUUGAUCGUCAGCUUGAAGAUUAUAUGCUCAUGAAUGUUCUGCUCAUAGUCAGAGAAUAUUCUUGGAGAUCAACCAGCAGCUUCCCACCAAACAAAUUUAAUGCUGAUGCAGGGAUCCGAAAUUGAGUCACUAACCAAGUGGUUCGGAUUUCGGCAUCAACAGGAGGGUUCUGAUACCAAAUUGAAGUUUAAUCAAGCUAUUUGUGCUUGUUUGGUUGUAGAGAAAGUGAGGGAAAAUUUAAUGAGCAUUAAGAGAAAAUAUAAGAAAAACAGAUCAAAUCUUAUUUAACUAAUUAUGAGUACAGAAAGUGAGCUUAUAUACUGAGAUCCAGAACCUUCUACAUUUGCUCACACACGUGUAAAGAAUAAGCUGUGAUUAACUAACUUUCCCAGCUCUAUAACAAACAUACAAACUAACAAUAACAACCUUGCUUACUCAGCUGCCAUAUCAGCAGAACCAUUACAAGAAUAUUCUUUACAUUUAUAUCUCUAACAGCCACAGAGCCCAGUCAUCGGAGGAAUAGAAAUGAGGAGAUCCCUUCAAUAAGGGGGACAGCUCAAUGGGGUGCCUAACAAUGGAGUUGGAACUCAUACUUUGAGAGAAUGUGAGCAUGAAGGGAGAGAUCAAUUACACAACGGACGAAUCUUGGGAAGUUGUAGCAGAGGAGCGAAUGCCGAAAAAAGGGAGCUCAGGCAGCACCUGCUCGGGCCUUGGAACUGGAGGGAGAAGUACGGCAAUUGGCACAAAUAAUAGACGAAAUGCAGGGUAGGAGAAAGCCCCUCAGUUGGAGAAUAAUGCUGGAUGAUUAAUCUCGGCUUUCAGCUGAAAUCAUAGGCACUAUGAUACCAAGAUAUUUUCAUUUUCUCGACCUCAAAUACUCAGGAAAAAGUGGCCUGCUGGUGCACGUCGAGCGCUUCAAUGACAUGACUGGAGUGCAGGGACUAACACCAGCGUAGAGGUGCAGAGUAUUCCCUUUGACAUUGGAAGGACGAACACGAGAUUGGUACCUUCCCUUUGACACCAGCUGGGACUUGCAACUUCCAGGAACCUUCGAUUAACCCAAAAAAAAAAACACAUAUAGUUUGAAAUUAUAUGAUGAUUGAUAGGAAUGUAUUUUUGUAGUAAUCUUUUAUUUGGUCAUUUAUUUUUUGGUAUUCCGUGAAAAGUGUGCAAAAUUAGAUAAUAUUUCUCUGAAACUGGUAUUCCUUGUGCGAAGCAUCACAUGCUGAGAGCUUCGACUAAACUAGUUUCAAUUGUACUUUUACUUACACGCUGCCGCUACAGCUUUGGAAGCGUAAAAAUAUGUGUGCAAUUCCUUCAUUUGAUCAUCUUAACUAAAGAUGUGUGAACUUACCAUUUCUGUGCAUCCCUUUUAUUAUUGUUAUGUGCAACAAUUUUCUGGUGAAUGUGAGAGAUUCUAUUCAAGUUUAUUUUUGUGAUCACGUGCGCACGUCAGGCAUUGCAAGCGUAAAUGCAAAUUAAGUCACCUGAACAUGCAUGCGAUAUAGUAAUUUAUUGUUAUUAUCAAUUAUUCCAUUCUUUUCUUUCGAAACUAAAUUUCAACUACUUGAGAUGUGAAAUUCUUAAUAGCAGAUAUUCUUUGUAUAUGUAUGAUCGGAUCCUGAGUACAGGGCACCUGCUGUCUCUGUUUUUAAUUGAAGCAUGUUUUUCGGCUUGAGUCAUUGAGAAGGCAAGUGAGCUGGAUGUUAUCUGGAUUCGACCUCCUAAAUAAUAACACAACUAACUGAGUCUAUUCACAUUUCGUCUCAUAUUUGACUGGCAAUAGCACAUCAAAAAAGUCUUGUGAGAGUCACCUCGUAUUGAUGUGCUUAAUUUACAAAGAUCAAAACCAGUAUCACGUUGCUUUAGUAAUUUGAAUUUGUGUUGGACUGAGUCGACAAAAAAGUCCUUCACCUCGCACUGAUAAUACAUUUAAAUUACAAAGAUCGAAACCAGAUCUGUCAUUACAUGAAUUGGCUGUAUAAAAUAAUCAACUCACUUCUUAUUCAGUCAUCCGUUCUGUCAGCUCUUCACAUUGGUCCUUUUCUUGUUUCUGUUUUCGUCUGAAAAAAAACCUUUGCUUCUGUUUGUUUUUUAAUCUCACUUUCCUUUGGCCUCCUUCACUUUUAGAUUGUUAUCUGCUUAUUCUACGAUUAAUGCCAUCUUUGAUGAUAUCAAGGCAGAAACAGAGAAGCAAAAGAGUGAAAGUACGGGCAUUCAGCGCGGAGUUUCUGAGACGAAAGCAAAAGGGCAAGAGAUUGAAGAGAAGGCUGAGAACAGUGCGGAACUAGAUCACUACUCAAGUCUCUCACUAAUCUCCUAAAUGGUUGUUUUUGCUUCCAUAGGCUACACUGGUUGGUUCAAAUCACAAAUUUGAGGAUCUUGCUGGAAACAUAUUGUCUAAAAAAUUGCCCAAUUCAAACUUUACUGCGGCUAUUCGAACAGAAAUAAGUGUUCUGUUUGGUUUCACUUUGAAUUCUGCAAUUUUUUGAACAAUAGCUUCCAGCAAGAUCCUCAAUUUGUGAUUAUAACCAACCACUGUAAUCUAUAGAAGGAGAAAUCAUUUAGGACAUCAGUGAAAGAUUUGAGUAAUGAUUAUUCUCACCAACACAUUCAUCAAUUUUUCAUCCAGGCUCAAUUUACAAAAUUAUUAGCGGGUAGCUACCUCGAUUAUGUUUACAGAAAAUAGAGGUUUGUAGGCAAACAAAGAGCAUUGUUAUUUGAACAGCUGCAGGAUAUUCGGAAGACAUGCAGAAAUAUGGGUAUUGCUUAUGCUAUAGUGCCAUUGCAGCAUAAAAUUGACAGCAAUGUUUAUGCCUCAGUACUGUCUUUUUUUGUCUUCUGAUUGUUUUGCUGAUACACAAAUAUCAUUUUCCACAAACAAAACAUGCAAUAGCAUGCUCCAGGAGCAGUUUCUUACACUCUUGAAGUAGCCUACAAUAAGAUCAAAUCGAAUAUUCUCCCUCAAUUUAGUGUUCUAAAACUGAUUUAUAUUUUAACUUAGAAAUCCAAUCUAAAAGCACUAUUAACGAAAGCUCUUCGUGUUUGCAUUAAAAACCAAGAAGCAGCUUUUUUUUUUGUGGGGGAGGGGGGAGAACCUCAGUCAAAUAAGAUAAAAUUACUUUGGAUGGGUUAUUUACAUUCUAGAAAAAAAAAAUAUUUCUGAACACUACUAUACUUUAUUGGCUCAUCUAGUAAAUUUAAAAUUUUUAUUUUUAUUUUGUAUACUCUAUUAAAUGUCAAAAAAAAAAAUCAUCACACAAAACGAGGAUUCAUGAAAACCAUCUGUGUAGCAUCUGAAAUGAGGCCAUUUCUGUAUAAUUUGUGAGGCAUUAUAUUAUAUGGAGCUUGACUUCUUUCUCUUUAUCAAGGGUAAGAUGGCAUUGGUGAUCAAGAGGGUCCCCCUGUUUCUUUGUUUUUAUUAAUAUUACUUCGAAUCCGCUUUCAGGUUGAGUGUCUAACGAUUUGAUUAAAUUUGUGUUUAGUUGAAUGUAUUGGAUUUCUGGAGUAUUUUGGUAGUUAAUGAUGAAACUCGGCAUUAGAUGAACUUACAAUCAUUCUAAUGAUAAAAAUUUUUGUCAUCGAAAGUCAUUGAGUAUUAUUGCGGCAGUAAGCUACAUUGAACUAGCAUUCAAGAAAUAACUAUCAGUAAUUAUUCUGGAUAUUCAACGUGAAUGAAACCUCUAUUACAAUAGUGAAAUGAAUUGAAGUUUUAGUGGAGCUCUGUUUAAUCAAAUCGUGGGAAAUAAAUUCAGUAGCAAAACUGGGAAAUUAUUAGUUGCUCCGUCGAGUCAACCCAAAAAAAUCAUAACAAUGACUGAAAUCAUUUAUAGAACUAAACACAAAUUUAAUCAAAUCAUUAAACGUGUACGUGAUUGCCGCUGGUAUUAAAAUGAAAACCUUUAAUUCACACGUACAUCACUCAGCGUUUGGAAUUCGUCAUUUGGGUCCUCACCUGUAAGCAUCACGUGCACCACUCAUUCUGAGUUUCUGACCAAGUCAAAGUUCAGUUAAGAUUCUUUGCAGCAGGAAGGUGGUUCGGUGACUGGUGAAUAGCUCACUCAACUUGUGAACCGUGAUUAGUCAAAUAAUCAAGUACACGUGGCAUCAUGAAACGCUUCGAAGAAUAACCUCGGAAGGUCUGUCCACUGUCCAGUAUGAUGACAUGUCAGCAACGUUUUACAACAGGAAGCAGCUAUGGUGUAAGCAUGGUAGUGAUCGCGUAGAAGCUGUGUAUGCAUAUCACCCGUCUGUUGAAAUGCUCGCAGUAAUCAAACCUCUUAUAACAUUGCUUCAUCUGUCAAGUAAAAUUUUCCUCGGAGUCAAGAAAUGGAGAACUAACAGGUAUGCAUUUCUUAAACCAUUAGUAUAUUCAAAAACAAGGAUUCGUAUAAAAGCAUAUUAAUGAUUAUGAAACUAAGCAUGACGGAAUCAGCAUUUCUUGAUUUUCUUCAAUAAGCAGAAAUAGUGUUUCCCAAUAAAUUUAUAAAAGAUGCGUUAAAACAUUAUAUUAUAUACUAGUCGAUUGAUUUUUCUUUUAAUCUUCCUGUUAUAUUCCACGACAGAGCUCAUUUAAAGACUUCUGGUCCCGUUUUCAUAAUAAUCGUUGUCCUAAACCUUCUUUGCAGAUCUUUCACUGUGUUCCCUUUUUUUUAUUUCUAGCUUUUUGCUUUUCUUUUUCACAUGGUCUUUGUUUAUAUUUGAUGUUCCCAAAUAUACACGCAACCAUUUGUGACAGCGAAUAUUUUUACCUAGUUGUUGGAUUGUGGCUUUCUGUGUUUUGUCUUUUUGGUCGACUUUAACAUGAUUUAGAGCUUUUGAACGCGUCUUCCAAGUGCACAUGCCGAGUAUAUCCACUGUUCGAUGAAAUGCCCAUUUGAAUAAUUUGAGGACCCACGAGGCCACGCCACUGGUAUUAGACUAAUUGGAAAAGAAAAAAAGAAAAAAAGAUAAUAAGUACAACUGUGAUGCAUUUUCACAUUAACUUUACAAAGUCUGGUUAUAAAUUUAUAAUUUUACGCACAUGAAAUCACCAAAGUAUUAUUUAAUUUAACUCUUCUCAACUGGGGACGUGAGUUUGAUUCAAGUAGUAUUAUCACUCAUAUAAUUUAUUAAUGAGCUCUUUUCCUGUCAUCUAAUGCUGAUGCUUGUAUAUUCUAUUCUACCAUUCGAUUUUUUUAUGUCUAGUGCUUGUAGAUCAAUUGAUUAUAUGCUUCAUACUUGAUGGAGUGAAUAUAAUACAUAAGAUUUUCAUUCAGUUAUAUGCAGAUAUGUUAAACUUUGGUUUAUAGGCUAGAUCGUCACUAAUUAUUCAUAGUACGUGAAGCCUCUAAUACAACAGUGAUAAGAUUUGAAGUAUUAGUUGCUCUGCUUAAUCAAAUCAUGACAAAUAAAUACGGUUGCAGGGCUGGGUACUUGUUGGUUGUUCCGUUGAGUCAACACAAAACAAAAAAAAAAAAUCAUAAAAAUGAAUGGCAAGAAUAGGAAUGAAAUCAUCCACAGAAAUAAACACAAAUGUAAUCAAAUCAUUGAACACUCUUGCUCUAAGUUUUCUUCUUUACUGAUUCUUUGUUUUGUUCAUUGUUUGAUCAUUGAUUCUUGUUAAGCUUUCUGUCACUUCUUGUUUGGGAUCUGCUCUUGGGUCCUUCAAGAUUGUGUUCUUGGUUCAAUUGAGCUUUGGGAAUAGCCAUUACAUCCACGACAUGGAAGUAAUAGUAAAUAUAUAACAUCAUUUUUAUCUUCCAAUCACAAGUUACAAGAUAUAAAAUUCCCAAGGAAAAUUAAAAAGGUAAAAUUAUCUUACAUCACCUGUUGAAAAAUGAAAUAUUUUAUCCAUGUACGUAAGCGAAAUUUUGAAGGAAAACGAGAAAGAAGAAAUGGUCAAUUUCGCAGAACAACAGAGAGAUUUUGGUAGUUUCCUCCAUAAAUUUAUCACCCCAUUAUCCUCAAUUGAUAUCAGUAACACUCAAAUCUAUCCGAAAUUCUUUACAAUCCCUAAUAUAUUUAAAAGGGUUUAAUUUUGACUUUUUAAUAACUUCCAUUAGGCCAAGCAUAUUUAGUUUCUUGAAGAUUUAUUCCUGAAAAAUCCUCAAUUGUUUAUUAAUCAAGAUAGAGUUCGAGUUUAAUGAUAAAAUGAUCAUGAUUUUAAUUUAAAGAUAUGAGCCCAAAAUCCUACCGUUUACAUAUUAAAAUCACUUGAUUAUCAUAUAUUACUCAAUAAUCAAAGUUAUUUAUUACACAUCAAAGUUAAUCACUUGAUUACUUGAAAAAUGCCGGCGGCACUUGCAACUCCCUGGAACCUUCGUGUAAGUUUUCGAGUUCAUCAACUGUUGGAUAAAAUGCCCAUUUGAAGAAACUAAUAGAAAAUUGAGAUCCUCUCUUGAAUAGAGUUUACCCUUGAAAAAUAAGUAUACAUUAUCAUUCAUGUAUUGUCAAAAUUUGAGCUUAAGAUCCAACUAUUUACAAAUUAUUAAUUAUUUUUGUUGGUGAAAGCAAAUUGAUUAGAAGAAUGUGGCAAUAAGAAGAUAAAAAUGCUUGCUCAAAUACUUUGCCGUGUGUUCUUACUUACAAAUCCACCAGCUUAGCUUUUAAUCACAUAAAUAAGUCAUCAUCAUCACUAGAUUAUCGUAUAUUACACAAUUAUCAAAGCUAAUUAUUGAAACCUUUCUUUCAAAGAAAAAGAAUUAUUGAAACCUUCCGAGUUUGAAAAUGCCGGCAGCACUCGCAACUUCCAGGAACCUUCGUGCAAGUGUAGAUGCUGAGUACAUCCAACCGUUCGAUUAAAUGCCGAAGUGAUUUCGAGGAACCCACACGACCACACAACAGGUUUUUUUUUUUUUUUUUUUUCAUUUUAUUUGUACAUCUAUUUCUUGAAAAAAUAAAAAAUCAUAAAGUUCAGAUUACCCUUGAGACUUGAGAUGACAACUGUCUGCCUCUGCAUUUUCCUAAUCAUCCCUCUUCUCUAAUCUCUAGAGUCCUCUGAAAUCUCUUCUUCAUUUUCUGUCUCCCUUUUUUGAAUCGUUCUUGUCCUCGAUCCUACACCUUCUUUGCAAAUCUUUCAUUUAUUGUACUCGCUUUUCAAUUUGUCUUAGCAGAAAAUGGAUCCCCCUUUGUUUCAUCUCUAGAUUUUUCACUCUUUUCCUCUCCUCCUCCCUUAAAUCUAUUCAACUUCUUAUUUUAGCAAUUUAUCGGAACUUCUUAUUUCCCUCUUCCCAGCUGAUUGAUUAGUUCUGC